This 152577-nucleotide long non-coding RNA is filed under the name Lathyrus oleraceus (garden pea). RNAcentral's name for it is "Pisum sativum (pea) long non-coding RNA (PSAT_LNC000912)". The stretch from base 75973 to 76044 matches the Rfam family "tRNA". The record is from RNAcentral. Lineage: Eukaryota; Viridiplantae; Streptophyta; Magnoliopsida; Fabales; Fabaceae.
CGUUUGCAGAGCAAACGUCAACUUAGUGAUUUCGAGCAAGAGUACCUGGAGUUUGCGAAAGGAAAAGAAAUGGGAAAUUUGAGGGUUGGGUUUCGUGAGGGUGAGCGGAGGAGUGUGGUGCGGUGACGGAUUUGGGGUUUCACCGGUGGUUUUGCAUGGCAUUGAUGAUGUUGAAACCGGAAUGGGUUGAAGGUGAAUGGGUCGCGAUGAAGACGGAUUGAGCGAUUUAGGUUAGGGUGAUGUUGAAGGUGGUGGCGGCGCACGGUGAGGGUUUUGGGAGUGUGAGAGAUGUGUGGAAGAAGGUUUUUGAGUGAUGAGUGAGAUGGAGUGAGCUGUUAUGAUGAGAGUGAGGUAAUGAGAGACUUGUGUGUGAGAGAAUGAAGGACAGAGCUGUAGCGAUGAGAAUGAGAGCGGGUGGAGGUUCGUUAUGAGGAAUGUGAGUGGAGAAAAUGAGUGGCCAGAGAGUGACGCGUGUAAGAGGAUAAGAAGAAAGAUUUUUUCAAUUUUGUUUUCUUUUUUCAGAGAGAUAAUGGGAAGAGAGAUUUUUGAGGGAGUGUGAGAUAUUUGUGAGAUAACAGCUGGCAAACCAAAAGAGAAUCCAAGGCUAAAACAUUUAUUCAUUUAUUUUAACAAUCUCAUAAAAACAUUAAUAAUAAAAAAAACUAAUUGACAUUUGAUUAAAAUAAAUUCUACCUAUUUUAAUUAACUAACUAAUAUUAAAAAAAAUCUAACUAAUAUAUAUAAAAAAAAUUAACUAAUAUUUUAGAAAAUCUAAUUAAUAUUUAAUUGAAUAAACUAAAAUUUAAAAAUCAACUAAUAUUUAAUUAAAUCAAUAAUAUAAAAAAAACUAACCAAAAUUUAAUUAAAUAGCUAAUACUUAAAACUAACUAAAAUUUGAAUAUUUGACCAAUUAAAAAAUAGAAAUCGAGUACAAAAAAAGAACUGGUCACACUAAAAUUGUCAAGACAAAACAUACUUAUUAAAAAUACAGUAUUUCCUCAAAUUUUGACGAUUCAACCGAUUUUUCUGUAUUCUCAAAUAAAGUCAUUCUGACUGACAUUUCAGGUGUUAUUCAUGAUGAAAUGCAUGUCACGCUAUGCAUAUGAUGUAAACUGAAAAAUGAAAUCGAAAUUAUGAAAAUUUAACAUGCCCGGACAAAAUUGGGGUAUGACACUAUGCAGAUGAUGCCAAACAAUAAAAAAUUUAAAUAUAUGAAAGUUUUUAAAAUAUCCGGAUAAAAUUGAGAUAUGACACCAUGAGAUAACAAAACACCUCAAAACCAAUUGUCCCUUGAUGAGAAAAAAGGUUCGACAAGGUCUGGUAAUACUUCUAAUAAUUCCUUCUCAAUACCAACUUGCAGGAUUUUCUUACAUAGCCUUAGUAUUCAACAAAGUUUUGUUGGUGAUUUUAGUAUCAUCAAUGUAUUUUAGUAGUAAUGUGAUUUACUAUAGGCCGAUGCAAUUAUGCGUUAAAGCUUGGAAACAAGUUAGGGGUAGUGCGGAGUGCACGCUCGUCGAGCCAACGUAUAAUUGAAUGCGAAUAAUUGAAACGGGGUUCCAAGGGGUGAAGCCCCUGGCAGGGUGCGGGGCAGCGCCUCGUUCGAAAUUUUCUUUUGAACAGUUGAACCCUUUCCCAACCGACGUAAUCGUUUCUGAACAGUUGCGUCUUUUCGAUUUCUGUUAUUGAUCUCCUAUAUAAGGAGUCAUUUGGCCUCAGUUUAAAAGUGAUAACAAAACCAAACUUUCUCUCUACAUUCCUGAACAUUUCUCUUUGCCAGAAACAAAUUGUUCUUCAAGAAUUAUCCCCACAAAGAUUUCGUGAACCCAGGCAAGAAUUGGGUCAAAAUACUUUGUUCGGAAAGUGUACGAACACGAUUCUUCGAAGUUAUCCAGGAUUAUCAUACCCGAUUCUCUAACAAACGAACAAAGUACUUUCUGAUAAUCAUGGCUGGAGGAAGCACCGUCAAGGAGAUGACUAUAAACUUCGGAAAAUUUGACAAGUUUCAAGGACAAGACUUCAGGCGUUGGCAAAAGAAGAUGCAUUUCAUGUUGACAACGUUGAAGGUGGUGCACGUCCUGUUUACACCGAUUCCAGAACUUCUGGAGGAAGACACGGUUGAAAAUCUGAGACGCAGAUCAAAAUGUUGACAACUUGGAAGUCACUUGCGCAUAGAAGAAUCUCUAAGAGCGCAGGAGGAUGACAAAGGAAAAGGCAAAGAAAUUGCUGGACCCUCGGUUAAUAUGGUCGAAGAGGGUGGUAAGAACGGUAACAACACUACCACAAAACAAAGCACGAAGCGUGCUUUUCAAAACGCAUACAGGCAGAUUUCGGUGCUCCACAACAGAACACGCGAAACUUAGAAUGCUGCGUAAUGUGCAAAAGGGCCAACGUUCAGAAGGUAUUGCCGUCUCGGGCAUAAAAGCAGAUAACACGAUGCAGUGUGGUUCAGGAAAGCGGUUAAGGAAAAUCGAAAACCAAUGGUGAAUCAACUGUUCGGUCUUGAAAUAGUUUUACCGAGCCAGUGUACAUAUCGCAACUUCGUCCAGUUUUCACCUUACAGUGUUUCGUUGAGGGCGAUUCUAAUUGGGUGCCAAGGUGGUGCUGUAACUCGGCAGCGUCGGUGCGUGUGGAAUGGAAAGCAUAGCUCGUGACUAAGGCGCACAGCGCAAGAACGAUAGAUCUCAAUCAAGGUAUGUUUGCAACGGAAUACGGUCUGGUGCAAGUCGGGUCUAGUGGGAUUGAUCGGCCAUGUCCGGAGAAACAUGAUGGUAUCAUAUAUGUCCAAUUGCUCUUACUACUGGGAUGAUGAUCAACUUACUGGCGCUCGGAAUAUUUGAANUAUAUAUAUAUAUAUAUAUAUAUAUAUAUAUGUGUGUGUGUUGGCUUUAUAAGGUUUUGAACUCAAAUAAAAUUUGCAAUUUCUUCUUUUAUUUUCAUCAUGUUAAGCUUAGUAUUCUAACAAUAUAAGAGUUAAAAUCAUGAAGGAGACAAUAUCCAAGUGAUUUCUGAACGUUUCUAGAUGUUUCAAUUUGAUGUAGGUGUGCAGGGCGGAUAUGUGAUGGUUACGAAAUGGAUCUUUUGCAUAAUUUUAGCGUGUUUAGGAAUAACAUUGUUAGUAUUGCAAAAUAUCCUAAGAUAUGGAAACAUGGUUACCUACUGUGAGAAACAUGCCACUUUUUAUAUUAGCAUAUUAAAAUAUCUUAAUAUUAAUUUAAUAUUAAUUGUAUUAAGCAAUUAUUUUCUGUAGAGGAUUUAGUGAUUUGAGACGAAUUUGGUAAGAGAUUUUGGAUUCAAUUAUAAAUAUUUAUUAUGUGACAGAUUUAGUGACCAAAUUAUGGUCUUUAUAUUUUUAUUUAAUAUUGAUAUAAAAGGAUCCAAAUGUUAGGAGGCAUACCACUUCAGCAUCUUUGUUAUAUUGUCACAGUCAUUUAUGCAUCAAGUCAUAAAUAAUUUGCCAUGUGACAUGUAAUAUAAAUUUUUGUUAAUUGAAGGGUCUAAAAAUGUGGAUGGAAAACAUUAGAAGAACAAAUGUUUGAAGGAAAUAUUUUUAUAAUUGAAUAUUGUAAUAUUUAGAGGGGCCAUUAACUUAUUAAACCCCUAAAAACUACUUCGAUACCACUAUUGUAACUACCCAUUUAUCAUUCGGUGUUGAACAUCUUGGAAUGAAUAAUCAAUGGGAAAUAUGUUAAUACUAUGAGCCAACACAUUUGGUUUCUUUAAAUGUGUCUCUACUUGUACUUUCCAGAACUUUUGAAUUAGUUUAACCCCAUCUUUAUUCACAAUGACAAUCGUAUCUUGAUGAAGUUUUUGAUUCGCUACCAACUAUAGUCUUGCAAUUUCACCUCAUAUUCCUAACAACUACAUUCACUAUAUGUUCUAACCUCUAAGGCCUCUGACUUCUCUAAAACAUACAUAUUUGUUAUAGAUCCUCAUAUAAUAUGUGAUGACUUAUCUUCGAUUUUUCAAUGUUUUGUGAAAGGUAACUAUGACAGGAUCUUGAUGGUCAAGGAGAUCCUAUGUAGUUUAAAGCUCGGAAAUAGUAACUGCAAAACCUUGGUCGAUCAGAACAACCCUCAUUGUGUUGUGAGGCAUAUUGAAAUUUUGCAACACCUACUACAAGAAUAUGAGUUUGUAGUACCUAACCUAAAAUGUUUUUUUUACUAUCAUUAUAUUCUUGAGUUUUCUCUCUUAAACGGGUAUAAGUCUCAAGCAUUUGAGAUAAGGUGGUUUAGAAAUCAUUGUCAUGUACAAAUAAAUGACAUUUUUUCUUGAUAGAAUAAAAAGUAAACCUUUGUUUUCUCAUGUUUCAUUUAAAUCACUCUUUAACCUUUGGACUGACUUCUAGUGCUAAGGAUCAAGGCACAAUCUCCCAAGUGCUCACGCCUCAAGAACCUUAUUCUCUAUUCCAAACAACUUCUCUAUUGUUGGAUGUCUCUAUUAUAUGGGGAAAUCCUUACAUCAACCAAAGACAAUGCCAACCAGUUGGAAUUUCUCUUUAGAUUGUACUUAUCUAGCGUAGUACUUCUAGUUCUUUAGAGCCUGCUUGGUUAGAUGGUUCUAUAACUAAACAACUUCUCAUAAAGAUGCCUGAGAUGCAAAAAGAAAUUUGAUCUCACCUUACAUGAUCUGGAUAAGAUGCAUACAUUGCACGAAACUCAAAUUAUACUCAAGAUGAUGUAUUGUGAAAUAAACUGAAGAUAAAGUGAUUUCCCUUCAACAAAAUAAAUUUGUAAAGGAUGGGAUGCUUUUUCUUGAAGGAAUAAAUGUCUAGAAUUGAUGAGGAGAUGAGUCGGAUGGAACUUGAGACUUUGAUGCUAGCCGAGAGACUAAAGGCGACCAACAUUUAAAAGGUAAAUAUAUAUAGUCAAUCCACAAAACUGCAUAAUGAAUUGAAAUUGUUGGUUGAUAAGUGUUCCUGCCUAUACUAUGACCAUGCUAAGAAUCCAAAAACAUAUGGAGCCCAACAAAAGCAACAUACCUUUAUGUUGGAAUAUGCCACCAUAGAGAUAGACUUGGAGGGAUGUCGGUCUUACUUCUUAGCAUCCCGCAAUCUCCACCAAGAAAAGACUAAUGGCAGAGACAGAGAAUCAUUAUUGAUAAGGAUUUUGAAGAAACGAAGAGCAGAGUCAAAGGGAAAGUGAAUUCAAAAGACCACUAAAAGUUCAUUGUCAAUAAGAGAAGAUUCAAAUAAGAGAUAAGAACGACUUGUUGCUAAGGGAUUCUCUCAACAAUAAAUCAUUUUCUAAAUGCUAAUCUUCAAGAGGAAGUUUACACAAUAUAUUCAUGAAUUGUUUCACGUAAUCAAGAGGAAUUAUGUAAGUUGGAAAAAUGCCUUAUAUUGUUUGAAAAAAGCUCCAUCAUCUUGGUUUGAGAAUUUUACUACUAUGAUUGUAUCACAAGACUUCUUCUCUAGUGAUCAUGAUUUUUCUUUGUUUAUCGAGACCACUUCUCUUGGUCAUAUUGUAAUCUAUUUAUAUGUUGAUAAUAUGAUUAUUAUAGAUGAUGGUGCUAAUGGUAUUGAUGAUUUAAAAUUACAAUUAGUUAAGCAGUUUGAGAUGAAGGACUUUGGAAAUUUUUUCUACUUCUUAGGGAUUAAAGUUAUCUAUUAUCCCAGAGGCUAUCUUUUUUUCUCAAUCCAAGUACAUUUCCAACGCUCUUGGAUAAGCAUGUCUUUGUGGUACUAAACGAGCAGAUAUUCCUCUUGAGUUGCAUGAAGUAUAAUCCUCCAGAGGGUGCAAUCUAAGAGGGGUGAAUUAGGUUUUCUGGAUUUUUAUUAAUUUAAGUAAAUAUUCUUCUCCUUUUUAUUUUUCGAGAAUUAAUUUAUUUGACUUGAAUGAUAAAUGUAGAAAAAAUGCAAGAAAGUAAAAGUUACAAAGAUAUAUACUAAUUCCUCUUUCCAAACAAGGCUAGUUCAAUCCCUUCACACUCUAUGAAGGAUCUUCACUAUGUUAUAUCUUAAUACAAACCUCGCACCAAUACUUCUCUCACAAUCUUAUAACACACUCAAGAAAGCCCGCCACUUUCUUUUUACAAACAAUCUUGAGAAAGCACGUCACUCUCUCUUAUUACACAAAUAACUUAUCACCACAACUUUGAUGAUUAAGUCACAAGAAACUCUUAGAAUAAUUUUAAGAAAUAUUGUCUUGUUUUGAAUCCAAAACUUUAACCUUGGAUCUUAUCUUUCAAUAUGCUACAAUUCGAACUAUGACAAUUCAAGUGCUUAGAAAUAAUGUAUGAAAACUUUGGAUGAUGUGAAAAUAAUGCACAAAGUUUUAAUGAAUGAGUACUUGACAAUAUGCUUGAAUUGAUAUGAGAAUUUUGAAUGUUGGAAAGAGGUAAAUAUGAAUUUCGAAAUGUGCAUCUUAUAUACUUCAUGAAAUAUUGUAAUGAAAAAUUGCAUAUUCUUUUAGAAAUCAUCAUGGAGCAUUUCAAUUAGUUUUGAGUCUUGAAACAAUGUGCAAUGCAACUAUUCAUAUUUAUGAAACCAUGGAACAAUGCAAUGAUUAUGGAACAUUUUCAUUUUGAAAAAUGCAUGAUUUCAGGUUAGUAUUCGGAUACCAUAAUGUGAUAUUCAAAUACCACAUCAGAAAUACGUUUAAAUUUCAAAUUUUAAAACCUCGUAUUUAGAUACCAUAUAUGGUAUUCGAAUACCACCCUUUAAAAGACGGUAAAUUUGAGUUUGUUCAUCUGGUAUUCGAAUACCAUAUAUGGUAUUCAAAUAUCGCCCUUUUAAAAUAAAAAUAAAAAUUACAUUUUGUUCAUAGGGUAUUCGGAUACCAAAUAUGGUAUUCCAAUACCACUUUUACAAUAUGCUUAAAAAAUGAAUUUUUAAAGAUUGUAUGAUGCAUACAUAUGAAUAGUAAUGCAAAAAAAGUGUAGAUGAAGUGAAACAUGAAUUUUAUGAACAAUGAAAUGUCUUAUAACACAAAUUGCAACGAGUACCUUUGAACAUGUUUUCGUUCACUUAUUUCUUGAUUAUCUUCAAUUGAUACACAUCAUAUAGCUUGGUUUAAAAUCUUCUUUGAGAUCUUUUGUCUUCAUCAAAACUACUUCUUGAAUAAGAUGCAUUUAUAAUUUCCUUUUUUUUUAUGAUGACAAAAUAGUUUGAGGAUAGUGUUGUGAUAUGAUUUGAAAAUCUUGUCCUUAAUAUGUGACUCUCCUUAAUGUAUUAUUCGUCUUUUAUUAUAGAGAUUUCAAUCAUAAACUUUAUUGAAAUGUCUGCAAAAAAGUGUUAAUCCAAAAAAAAAUAACAACACAUACAUGUAAACUUUCUCUCCCUUUUUUACAUUAACAAAAAGAGACAUGAAAAGCAUAUAUAUCAUAAGCAAAUCAUAGAAUCAUUGAAACAAACAUUCAACACACAUGAUUAAGUAACAAACAUAAAAAAAACAUAAAAACAUAAGAUAUCAGUAAUAUUACAAUAACGAAACAUAAUGUUUAAAACAGGAAGAAAAGAUAAUCAUAGAAAAUUAAGAAAAUAACUAUAUGUUUUCUAUGAUUGUUGGAUGUUUGUUACUUAAACAUGUGUGUUUAAGAAAACAACUAAUCUUAGUUUUCAUAUAUGCUAUUAAAUUAUUGAAUCAAAAUACCAAACAAAGGCAAAAAAAAACAUAAUUUUGGCAUUUGAAUAACAUAUAUGGUAUUCAGAUACCGCCUAUUUAAAAUUGAAUAAUUCAUACUUUUUGAAGACUUUGGCCUAGGAAAACAUCAUACACACGUGGGAAAACACUUUAAAAUAUGGAUUAAGGAUAAUAUUGAUUUAGAAAGACAAGAUAACAUGGAAUAAAUAACUAAAACUUUAAUUAAUUCAUUAAUCAAAUAACAUAUGAUGGGCAUUUAUCAAUUUGAGGAAUACAUAGCAUGUAGCUUGAUAUUUUUUGAAGAAUCAUGAGAAACGAUCAUUAUGUAAUAAGUAGUUAUGAAUUGUGUGAUAUUUUAUAUAUCAAUUCCAUCCAAAAUGCCAAGUUCUCUCCUUAUCUUGUAAAAUGGCUCCUUGGCUAGCAGAUUCGUGAUGAUAUAUGCUAGUUGAUCAUGUGUGUCUACAAAUGUAACUUCAACAUCUUCGUUAAGGACAUGAUUUCAUAGGAAAUGAUGUCAGAUGUAUAUGUGUUUAGUUCGAGAACGCGUGAUCGGAUUCUUUGUCAAGUAGAUAGCACUUGUAUUGUCACACCUAAGGGAAAUGCAUUCUAGAUUCAAGUUGUAAUCGGAAAGUUGUUACUUAUAUCUGUUUGGAAAGUUUAAGGAAAUGUUAUCUACACUUCAUGUGAGUAUUUCGUUCUAUGAAAUUUUAGAAAUAAUGCCUAAGUUUUCUAAAUUUAUGAAGGGAUUACUAAAGGGGACGAAAGUGAAAGUGGUUAAGGAACAUGUGAGCAUGACAUAGAAAGAGGAGAUGAUAGCACCUCAGGCAGUGCCACCAAAGAUGAAGGAUCCAGGAAAGUUCACCAUUGCUUAUACCAUUAGUGGGACGAAGAUCUCACAUGCAUUAUGUGAUUUAGGAUCGAGCAUCAAUGUCAUGCCAUUAAGAAAAUUAAGAAUUGAAGAUAUGAGAGAUCAUACCGAGCAAUAUGACUCUCACUUUAGCCGAUUCACAUGUUACUCAUCUGCUUGAUAUUGUACAAGACAUGUUAGUUCAUGUCAAUGGUUUGACUUUUCCUGCAUAUUUUAUGAUGAUUAACACGAAAGGAGAUUCAGGAGGGUUGGUUAUUCUCGGACGCCCAUUCUUGGCAACCGGGAAGACAAAAAUAGAUGUGGAAACAGAUGAACUUGCUUUGAAGUUCAACAAGGAAAAGAUGGUGUUUAAUGUGUAUGAAUGGACACCAUAUACGGAGGAUUUAGGGACAUGCUUCCAAUUAGAAUAAAAAUGUAGUAAAGUUCACAAAGGAAUGAUAAUAAUAGCUUUGACCGGCAUGAGGGUAUCUCUUGCGCCUGACGUGUUUUAAGCAUUGGACGUCAAGCUAAUGACGGAAAGUAAGCACUGAAUGGGAGGAAACCCAUCGGAUAUAACCAGUUUUUUUUUUGUUUUGCAAAACUUACAUUAUAUUAUUUGAGAUCUUCCAAGAUAGGAAUUAGCUACUCGAGCAUGCCCAUUCCAUGACUAUUUAUGAUGUCUUUAAUGAACAAGUUUGUAGCUGUGUUUUUUUUCAGAUACCUCAACUAGUAAGGUUUAAGCCAAAUUAAUUCCAUUAUACACUUUUCUUUCUUUUUGAGUGUAUCCGUGCAUUAUUAUUUUAUCUGGUUUGAUCUAUUUCAUCUGGUUUGACUGACACACGCGGAGGCAUUUUUUGUUUGUAACUUUGAGCCUUUUUAAACCACCAUGUAGUAAUAGGUACAUCCAUUACUAACCACUUUGAGCUUAGUAUUUCUUUCGGUGACGUAGCCUAAAAUAAAUUCUUAGCCAUAUAACUUGAAAUAUAUUUUCUUUCCACCCUCUCUUUGGAGUUAGGUAGAAGUAUAAUUUCUAAAGUGUAUGAAAAAGAUUAAGUUUGGGGUUGCUCAUGGAAGUGGCAAAAUUUUAAAUUUGCUCAUUUGCCAAAUUUUCAAAAAUCAUGAGGAAAUAAGAAAUGGGAAAAGACAUUUCUUCAAAAUAAAAAAGAGAAAAGAAAAAUAAUGUAAGUAUAAGAAGGACCAAUGAUCUCUAGUACCGUUAAAAAGGAAUAAAGAAGUAUGGUGAUAGAAGGAGAACUAGGCACAUAACUCCAAAGGUUUAAACCUAAUUUCCUAAAAAUAUCCUACCCCAACAGAAACCCAAUUACAACUUAAAAAUAACUCUAAUGUGUGUGUUGUAAUUUCUAUGAUGAACUAUAUUAGAACAUGAUCAAGCUAACCAUAAUUAGUUUUGCAUGUUGAUUGAGAGAUAACCUUAUGCAUUGAGUGAGUCAAAGUGAGCUGAGAGACAGUUUGAGUACUCGUCAAUGUUUGAGGAUGUUUUCUGAAUUUUCCAGAUAGAAGUUGGAAGCUAGAAUGAUGGUCAUGCAAAAGAAAAUUUUAAUUGGGUCAUGUUCGAUUGUUAUUGUGGGACUUGUUUUCUGUUGAAAUAUCCAGUUGUCUGCGAGUUACUUAAGGACAAGCAACAAUUCAAGUUUGGGGUUAUGAUGACAUUCCGUCAUUGCACGAAUUUAGUCAAAGAAUCAGACCAAAACAAGUGAAAGAUGAGCUAAAAUGAAGAAGAAUAAGGAAACAAUAGCUAAGUGUGAAGAAAUUGGACUUGGUAAAAAUUUAGGUGAAAAAUGGAGCAAAAGAGUGCAACUUUGGGGAAAAUCACGCACACCAUCGUGUACGUGCGAUUGUGGCAUAAAGGUAGCAUCGCACGCGCGAUACAAUUUUUCACAUGCGUGAUGACUCCUUUUUCUGGGCAUUUUCUAACGUGUCUGGUCCAUUUUGAGCUCUUUUAAAGGUUAAAUUAUGCCCUUUGGUAAGGGUUACGAAUUUUGGAGAGCAAAGCACGAUUUUUGCAACAUCAAAGAUGAUUUUUAGGGCAUUGGAAGUCGUUGGAGGCUAUUACUUCAAGGGAAUUCACAUGUUAUUUUCAACUAUCAUUUUUGGUAUUGUAAUCUAAAUUAUGAGUCUCUAAGCUCCUCUAGGUUAGGUUGUGUUAUGAUGAACUUAUUUCAAUAUUGUUGGGUAAUAUGUUGAUUUGACUUUAUAUGAACCUUUUGAUCUAUAAUCCUACUCAAUUGCUUAUUGUUCUUAAUAAUUUUUAUGUGAGAUACUCUUUUAAAUUAAUUAUGGGCAUAUAGGGAAUACUAAUCAUUAGUCUAUGUGUUGGACAUAGGGCAAUUGUUGUACUUACGUUGGUUGAAUAGAAAUAGGAGACCCCAAGUAAUGGUAUAUGGAAUUAACAUUUUGUGCAUCGUCUAAUCCUACUUACGAUGGUGGAUAAGGGAUAGGAAACUCCUAAUAAUGAGUAGUAAGUUAUUUCUCGAGGGAUCGGCUAUAGUGGCUUUGUUAAUUUGUCGUGGGGUUAUAGUGAUAAUAUUAUUCAUAUAAGUCAUCAAACAUCAACAAUAGAGAAAUAUGAGAUUCUAAGCACAACCUUACCGCUUGCGACAUUUUUUUAAACACUUAAUUACUUUUCACAUUGUAAACUCGAACCCCCUUCCUUUUACUAUUUUUUAUACAUUGCACACAUCUUGUCUUAUUAAAAAGCAGUCAUUGUGGAUUCAAUAUUUUUUUACUGCUAUACUAUCGAUACACUUUCCAAGAAGUCAUCAGUGGCCAGCUGCAACUAUCAGUGCAAACCAUCAACCAGAGUGAAGGAGGCAAGUUUCAGAAGCAUGACGGACGAUCCGUCAGCAUGAUGACGUAUGUCAUGACCGUGAUUGAUAACCCAUCAGCAUGAUUACGACCAUCAUGAUACCUAGUUUUAGAAAUUACAUAUUUUUCUCAACGAAGUGCUCCAUGAUUCAAGCCAUUCUUUGCACGAUUUUUGCAUGAUUUUAUGCACUUUCAGGGUCCGAAUUAGCUAUAAGUACCCCCUGUAAUAAAGAGAAAACACAUCCAAGCUUACUUUAAGCCAUAAAUUUACUCUUGUAAAACAUAAAUACUUUACAUUGAAGUGUUAAUGUAAUUUUUAUUUCCUGCAUUAUUUUAGUUUAAUUGAUGUUGUAUUUUUCAUUCCGCUACCGUUGCUAUUAUUUUUUUGCAAUUUAUUUCAAGUCUAAGCAUUGUACUGGAUCAAAAGUAUCCCUUCGAAGCAAUUAUCUAUUCAAGUUUUAUAAAUUCAUGUUAUUUCUAGGUUCUUUUUAUAUCCAUAAUUUUAUUAUGUAUUCUUUAUUGUUAUGCCUUUUAAUUAUUGAUUUCAUCAUGCCUGAGUAAAUUUAGUGAUUCCGGAACAUGAGGACUGUCAUACUGUAGCGGUAAAUUCAUGAUCAUCAAGCUAUGGAUAAGCUAGAGAUCAAAUAACAAGAGUCGCCACCGCGCUUUUAUUGUUUCCAAAGGAAAAGGUAAAAAGUAUGAACAAAACCCAAUAGUAAGAAGUUUUCAAAUCAAAACUAAUAAAAUGUCAGAGAUUACAGGUAAGGGGGUUGGUUACACAAAGGGAAGGUGUUAGCACCCAAAGUGUCCUAGGUACUCCUAGGAGCCCCUUUUUGUGUGCAUAUGUAUUUGGUAACAAAUGAUGUUUAAUAAACAAAUAGAAUGAGGGGGUGGGGAUGAGAAAAGAAUUCAUUAAUUAAUAUUUUUGUGUUUGACAAACCUUCGGUAAUUGUGCCUAGUACAAACAUAAAAAUGAGGGAUCAAAACCUCGUAGUUCGUGAUACAAAUUUCAAAGUGGAUGCAUUGCUUUUAACAAAAAUUAAGUUUGAAAGGCACAAAGGCCUAAAAAUGGUUUGAAUGAGUUAAGUUCUUUUUUGGCUUUUUGAAAGUUUAAGUCAAGUAUAGUUAAGUUUAUUUACAAAUUUGAUUUAAGAAAAGAAGUUUGAAAAUGCAAUGGCAUAAGGCCAAAGUUUCUAUCUUUUUGCAAAGUGGUCAAAGUUUGGAACAAAAUAAGUUCAAUCAAAGAAGAUUUUAAAAAGGAGGGAGAGAUUUUGAAAUUAAAUAAAUGGGGAGAAGAUGAAUGGACUAAUCCUAUGCACAAAAUUAAAAGUUAAGAGUUGAAAAGAUCUGACCAAAUGGGUAGCAAUCCAAUAGACAAGAAUGUCAAUAGAAAACCCAGAAUUCCCUUGGACAUUUAGAAUCAAGCAACACACAAAUGCAUAAUUAUAUUAUCUUGAAGAGAAAAGGCAUCAAAUAAAGAUAGACACAUUCAAGCUUUAGCCAUUCCAUGAUCUUCUUCAAGAUUAGCCCAUGUAACAGAUGGAUUCCACAAGUCACAGGUUCAAAAUAACAACUUCACAAUGAUCAUGUUGCAGAUGAACUCAGAGGGAUCUUGAGUGAUGUAUCAGAUGAAGUUUCAAAUGACAAGCACUUGGUUUCUCAAUAAGUUGACAUUGGCCAAGUCCUUUAGCAUAGGAGUGUUGCCUAAGUUCUAAGUCCAUUUGCUCAAGAUCAAGCCAACAGUCCACACAAAAGUUUUUUAGGGUUUUUUGUUGUUAUUAUGUACAUUAAUGGUCAAAGACCACACAAACAAGCAAAGUAUACACAAACAAGAUAUAUCACACAAUAUGGUCCAAAUGGAAAAAGGGAAAAUUGCAUUAACAUAAACAAUUAGAAUGAUAUGAACAAUGGCAAAUGAGUAAAGGCUAAAAUUAAAUGACAUUAAAGUAAAUGACUUCAAAUUAAAAGUUAAUUGUUAAUGAGUUAGAAGUUAGUAUUGUUUUGCUUUUGCUUUUCAUUUUAAGACAUUCUUUGGAGAACACUCAACCCACUUAUCACAAGCAUGGAUCCUUGAGCCAAGACAUCUUCCAAAGGAAGGAAAAAAGGUCAAGUUUCCACACAAUACCAUGAAAGAGGGGAGACUUACAAUCUCACUAACUAGAAUGCUAUGCCUUUUGUGUCAAAAUUUUAGCGCUAUGUUAAGCAAUCGUAAUUGGACUUAUGUAGAAGUCACAACUAUUUGAGGUCGGGCAAUAGAAUUUUGGUGUUAAUGCAUGUUAGAGACAUAGUAUAAUGGACUAUGCUCAUGAAACAUACCACACACAAAAAGAAUAUGCAAAAGAGGUGGCCUAAUCUCAUCCAUACUUAUGUUGAUUUUUCAAUCAACUAGCCUUAGGACUUUGAGAUAUCAUAGGCCAAAUGAGAUGAAUGCAUAAAGAAGGGGAAUGAGAUGAAGAGGGAGGGGAAUGGAUCAAAACUCAAAUUGGUCAAAGGAGGACUUUUACCAAAUUAAUAUCAUCCAUUCAUUUUGGGAGAUGGAAUGUACAUUCCAUCAAUCCCCUAAAUCCAAUGAUAUUAACUUGACAAAGUCAAAUCAACCUUGACCAAGGCCCAACAACAAGAGUCAAACACAAACAAGUCAUCACAAUUGGUCAACAAAAUUAUUUGGCAUUUAUUCAAAUUAAAAAUACUAAAAUAAUACAUUUAAAUUAAAUAUGGUUUGUCAAAUUCCUAAAACCUCAUCAAAACACCAAAGAAAUGGCCAUGAGAUUUAUCAUAGGUCAAUCAAGGUAAAAGGACCUUGGAGAAAAAAAUUCAGAAUUUUUAAAGACUUAAAAGUAUUUUUAAACAAUUAAAAACAAAUGCAAAAUCAAUUAAAUCAUGAAAAAUAUUAAUAAUGAUCCAAAAAAUAAUUUAAUUCGGAAUAUGAAAGAGGAAAUUAUUUGAAAAUUUUUGGUGAAACUCUCAUAUUUUUUGGAUCAAUAUUAAUAUUAAUAUGAAUUAAUGAAAAUAAAAGAAAUAAAAGAAAAUCAGAAAAUAACAAAAAAAACGUGGACCACUUGAUCUCCCUCAUUAAUUGAGGUGGCAGAUCAAGUGGUCCUCAGCGCGUUUUCCACCGUAGACUUAAGUCAAUGCGCCACAGGAAUGGUAAUCAGAACCAACGCGUGAGAUUAAAACAAUUUGAACCAGAUCAAUGGCUCUGAACACUUCCAGUGCAUCGCGGCGCCCAAAGGCCGGUCAUCUUCUCCGGUGACCCUAGCCGGACUGGUUCACUCAUCACCAUCAAGAAAAUGAAAAAGGAGGAUAUGAUCUGAAAGAAAAAAUGGUGUAGAGCACGAAUUUGACCUCAAUUUUAACUAACUCCACAUAUAUAGAGAGAUAUGAGGAGUUGAAUUUUGAGGUGUGUUAACUGAGUUGCUUCGAUUUGACCUCUAAGCAACUCAAUCUUCUUGCCUACAUUGGUAGGACUUCAGACAACCAAAGAUCCAAGAGAACUGAGUGGAAUUGAGAGAGAACCGAAGAGAUGAAAUUUUCUGGAAAAUACCUUCAAUGCAGGGCUGGAUUCAAUUGUUCUUGCUUUGGCUCGUGCUUGAUCUUGCUCAGUAUGCUUGCAGAAGUAGAUUAGGAUGCACAAAAGGUCUUGGAUCCCUGGAGUUUUGAAUCUCAAAACAGUGAGAUUCCAACUCAAUUUCCAAAGGAAAUUCUCAGGAUUAUCCUCUCAAAUGGAAGGGUUUGGUGUUUGGGAUCAAAGCUAGCGCGAAUGGGUCCUUAGUUCUGAGCAUAAUAAGCUCUAUUUAUAGCUGAAUCACAUGAAAUUUGCACCUUUCAAAUGAGCUUCUAAAAUUGGCAAUGAGUGGUGCAUGUGUGCAUGGGCGUGUGCAGGCCCAUGAGAUCAUUCCAUUUGGUCCAUAAUUGAGUGUGAACAAGUCUGAAAUCAAAUUGGAGUGCUAGGCAAUUGUACAUGGAAGCUUGAAGUUUGAUUUUUUCCAAAUGAUGAUGCAAUGUAGAAGACAUGCACAGCUCAUUUAAACCUUGUCCAAAAUGGAUGAAAUUAGACUUUUUGGAAAGGUUAGAUCAAGAGGAACAACUCUCAUGUUCAACAAUUUUCCAUUUGAAGCUUGUCUCAUGAUGAAUUUUGAGGUGGAAGUUUGGAAAUUUCAACAUAUCAAAAAAAAUUCUAAGUGUCAAGCCAUAUAUCUCAAUAUUCCACCUUGCUUAACAUUUUAUGUGAAAUUCAAAUGAGAAAAGUGUCUUCAUCAAAGUUGUAUCUCUUUCAAAGACCUUCAAAAUGGUCACCAAUUUCAUGUCAUUUGGAUUUGGGAUGAUAGAGUUAUGCAUUUUUGAAGUUUGGAAAAAUCACUUGUUCAAUGGUAUAAGUCAAAAGUGACCUAUCAUGUAACCUCAUAUCACAUGCUCGUAAAAGUUUAAUUAGCUCCCACUCAAAACAUAAAAUUUGAAGUAGACAUCUUGAAUUUGAUUAUGAAACUUGUAAAUAUUUCAUCUCAUAAAUAUUGAGAAAGUUAUGGCCUUGGGAAGUUGACUUUCAAAUUAGGGUUUAGACAAAAUGAUCUAUAAUGUUUCAACAUAGAAAAUGAUUUUCCAAGCAAAACUAGCUCUAUGUCUCAACAUGAAACUUGUUUGGAAUGUCAUUUAGAGUAACGUUUCUCUUUGAAUAAUUUUCAUAUGGUGAAAAUUGUAGGAGAUAGGGUCUAGGGAGACCCAGUUUUGAUCAGAUGAAUUCAUCUGGCCAACCACCAUCAACCAACUUGCUAACCUUCAAUUAUUUGUACUUCCUUGGCUCACGGUAGAUCAUAUAUGCAUAAGAUGAUGAAUUUUUAAGUGUACCUUGAGAAAUUUGAUCAAUUGGUAAGAUAGCUUGUUGGAGAAGUUACUCAAGAUACCCAGUCAAACUAGGGUUUCCAAGACAAAUCACCCUCAAACUCUUGAAGAAUGCUUGACCAAUAUAACAUGUAGGAAUCAAUGGAACUCAUAUAUGAUGCUCAUAACCAUUAUUAGAUCAAUUUAUGGUUGUGCUCUUUGUCAUGAGGGUCCUAAACCAUAGAUAUGAACUUGAUAGAUCAAUGGUGAUCAUGCCCUACCUACAAAAAAGUUAGGCAAAUGCAAAGACAUAUUUUUGUAUUUUGGUUAGUAAAAUGAUAAUAUACAAGUAUGAUACAAUCACAUAGUGCUUGGUGAUCUCUCCCAAAACAAACCUAAUAAAAGAGGGGUAAGGAGAAUGUCAAGGUAUGAUCCCAAUGUUAAUGCUUAUGAUGAAAUUGCAUGAGGGAUCUUAGGGUCAAAAUUGGGGUCUUACACACACUGACAAUACUCGAAUAAAUUGCAUGUUUAAUAAUUUGUAAUGAAAAUUAUUUUUUACUUCAAAAAAAUUAUGUUUUUAAAUUAAAGAUUGUUUGCUACGAAAGUAGAAUCACAAAUAUACCAUUUAUGCACCUACGAGGGCGGUAUUUGACAUAGAAAUUCGACCAAUAAAUUAUGAUGGUCGUGAAAAAGCAAGAAUAGAAUCAGAAUCUAUUUAGAGAAUUUAGCAUUUUUAGAUUUUUUGUAUCGAAUUUUUUGCUUGUAAAACUCAUUGUUCUACUACAAAAAUAGUGACACUGAAAUUCUAUUUACAAUUCAAAAGAGCGAAAACAAUAUUAGGCUUAGAAAAUUCUUAUUUUUAAUUAGUAGAUAUGCAAAAUAGAUUUUUAAUUAAUUAUGAAAUUACUACUUUUCAACUCGUAAUAUGUAUCUCGCGAAAGCAAACGAAUACGAGUCUAAACCCCAGUAACGGACACACGAAAGUGGUCGAUACCUCUAACUAGUUUUUCUGCAAAAAAAUAGCAAAAUUGUUUUUUCGUUACAAUGUAAUGCUGCAAUUUAUGAGGGUAACACGGGUAGAUGGAAAUCAUGUUACGGUCUCUUGUUAUUAGAAUUAAUUUUAAAACCUUUAUUUUCCAAUCACGCGAACAAGCACAAUAACACCGCCUUAGAUAAACAACGUAGUAGUAGAGAACGAUAUUUGUCAUUUGGUUUAUGUGAGAUUUGAUAUCUUUUAUAUUAAAACGAUAAAGUCGUGCACUUGUAGGCAUGUCAAGUAUUAUAAAUAUAUAAGACUAAUUAUUAAAUUACUAAAGCAAUAUGCACACACACACUUAAAAUUAGUUUUAAACUUAUCUCUUUUAUUAAACACCAUAAAACCUAUAAAGGAACCCUCAAUAUGCAUGUGGGAUUGACCAAGAGUGUUCCUAAUCAUUUAUGAAGCACUUGUAUACUACCUAAUCAUUUCAAAAUACUUAUAAUCAAUUACAACACAUAAUCGUUGUAGGGUUUUCUUUUUGGGAUUAUUGUUGUCGUAUAUUUGAAACUUCCAAUUGAUUAAACCUAUGUCAUAAUCAUAUAGACCAUUAAAAGGCCAAUGAAUCUUUUUAGUUUUUGAGCCAAAAUUUUCUCCUAUAAAUAGAGGGUUUCUCCUCAUUUCAAAAUACACAAGAAAAUGUAUUUCUAUAUUUCUCACUUUCUACUCUCUCCAUUUUAUUUCUUUCUUUUUUCAUGAAAUUGCCUUAGUGCUUUGAGUGUGAAAAAUAUUAGUGAGACUUUUGUUGUUUUGGUGUUGUGGGAAUUUUGUAAGUUACUCAAAAUGGUUUGUCUCUUGUGUAAUAUCUUUGAAAUGAUUUUUUACUUAAUUCAUGAGAUAAACCAGUGAAAUGAAGCUGGCAAGAAACACAAGAAAUGGGAGUUUGAAUUUGGUUUCUAAAAACAAAAGCUUUUUCAAAACCAACUCAAUAAAACAAUAUCAUGAACAAGAAAAAUAAGAUAUUUAUUUUUAUACUUGUUCGUUGUUAACGAAGUUACCCUCAGUGCACCCUAUCGAGGUGAUUUCGCCUUCUCAAGAAGGACUUAAUCCACUAUAAUCAAAACUUGAUUACAUACACCACAAGGACAAAUCGUCCUUGUCUUCUUGAGUCUAUCUGACAAAAACCUAAUGACUCAAGGAAACCACUUAAACAGAUUAUAGAUUUACAAGUUGUGUUUACAAAGAAUGUUUCUAAAAAGAAGAUUAACACAAGUUAAUACAAUGAAUAUUUCUCACACAAUAAUAAGCAAAAACUCGUGUGUGUUUAUAAAGAAUAUACACAGAAACUAUUUACUAAGGAAAAAGCGUGUGUAUGUUUAGUAAGAGUGUUAUCAAAGCAUUAGCAAAGAGUUAGAAACUUCUUCCAAUCUUCAAGUCUCCUUUAUAUAGCCAUAUAAAAGAUCUUUUGGAGGUUAGAAUUGGAGUACUGAAAUGCAGCUGUCUAUUUCAUAAUGGUUUACAUACAAGCGAAAAAAUGGUACAAUAGUAAUGUCCUUAGCCCAUAAAAUCAGGGUAGUGGCGAAAAGGGAGAUCUUGUACUGUGCACUAUUUUCCUGAUGUAAAUCCUUUUGAUCUAAUCUUCUAAUAUUCAUAGGCUUCUGAUAAAAUGAUGUUGAAGCAUGCUUAUAAGGAUCAAGAUAUAAAUUGACAGAAUCUUCAGAACCUUGGUCUUUAGAUCCUUGACAUAACUCCUCAGAACCUAGUCUUCAGAGUCUUCAUAUCUUGUUCUUCAUAAUCUUCAGAGCUUGAUCGCAGAAUCUAGAAGGUUGACAAAUCUUCAUAGUCUCUAACAAUCAGAGUCACAGUUAAAAGCUUUAGCACAAAUAUUCAUCAGAACUGUUGUCUAAGAGCUUUCUAGAACUUGACAGCAUCUUGUAAAACACUUGUAUCUCCUCAGAGACAGAGUGUGUUGAUUCCAGAAUAUGAUAACGUCACGCAUCAUUUGUUCAGAGUCAUAACCUGUUAGAAAAAUCUACACACUAGAUAAAAACCAUUAGUGUACACAAUUUUUCUCUAAGAAAUAAUGCAUUAUUAUCAUCAAAACUAAAGGCCAGAUGUAGAACCAAAUCUUGUUCUAACAAUCUUACCCGUUUUGAUAAUGACAAAACCAUGUAUUAUGAUGAACAAUUUUUACAAAGUUUAAUCACAUAAAAAUAUCAGAGCGAGGUUUGUAAGCUCCCCUUGAAUUUUAUACAAUUAAAAAUUAUUUUUCAGCUUAGAAUGUCAUAGUUAGGUUUGCAAGCUCCCCAUGAAUUUAAGACUUAAAAUAAUCUCAACACGUAUAAAACUUUCAAUCAACAUGAAAGAAAUAACUUCCCAUAAGGCAAAAGCCUGGUUGUUUCUCUCUUUUAGAAAGUGAGAUGUUUGGUCAUCAUUUGAUUGCUAUCUUUCCAUGAUACAAAAGCCUUGUGAUAAUGGAUGAAAUAGCUUGCCAUAAUGCAUCAGCUUGGGUACAGAAGCAACUCCGUCAGAGUUCUUGCUUGAGUAUCAAAAAGUCUGGUUAUCAGCCUCGUCACAGAGCAUGAUUUGUCAGAGCUUUCAGAUGUCUGGUUACAUAUGCUUUCAGAUUCCUAAUUGUAUAACUUAUGUUUGAGUUAGAACUGGUUUCAUAGCCUAGUUUCAGAGCGAAAGAUCAACUUAGUUCACUUGAACAUAGUUCAGAACCUGAAUAAGCCUUAGAACCUGAAACACUUGGUUAGAAUAAUGAACUUUUACAAAGUUCUCAGAAAUAUUGCCAAGUUAGAAACAUGUUUCAGUUUCAUAAUGAAAUUAGAUAUAUCAAAAUUAUUCAUUCUUUUUCUCCCCCUUUGUCAUGAUUCAAAAAUAAAUAAAAGACAAAGUAAAAACAGACAUCAUUCAACAAACAUUUCAUUUCAUUCAUAGAAUAAGAGAAUACAAAGAACAUAAAUGAAAUAAACACAAAGUUUUUUUAAAACUAGGGUUUAGGAUGGGGUGACAGUCUUGAUAAGACUUCUCCAAGCAUCCCUGCUAGCAUAUUUGUCUUCUCAUCUUGACACUUGAGUUUCUUUUUUACUUCAUAAUUCUUAGUUGUCAGGCACUUAAAAGUCUUCAGAAUAAAUUCAUUAGAAACCAUAACCUUCUUAGAACUAGAGACACGUGUAACUUCUAGAGAAGGCUCAGCAGCAACCAAGGGAGCAUGAACCAGAGAAGGAGAAGGAGUCACAUCAGGACCAGGAAACAGAAGAGUUGGAGGGACCUUCUGCAGAAGAGGUUCAACUAUACCAGAGAGUCUGGCAUGGAAGUUCCUCGUUGCUUUCUUUAGGCAAGCAACCUCUAGCUCCUUAGAACUGACUUUAAUCCAGCCUCUGAAGUUAUUGGUCAGAGCACAUACCUUAUGUAGCGGGGUAUUCGUUACCUUAUGGUUUAUUGACUAAACCAAAAGUAAACAUACAAUUCGAGUCACCACCGCACUUUUAUUUGUCCAAAGGAAAGGCUAAAAAGCGAACAAAAGCCAAGUAAGAAAUUAUUGACUAAACCAAAAGUAAACAUACAAUUCGAGUCACCACCGCACUUUUAUUUGUCCAAAGGAAAGGCUAAAAAGCGAACAAAAGCCAAGUAAGAAGUUUUAUCAAAUCAAAAACUAAUAAAAUAGUCAGAGAUCUGGGUAAGGGGGUUGGUUAUGAAAUGGGAAGGUUUUACGCACCCAAAACAUCCUUAGUACUCUAAGGGAACCUCUUUUUGCAAAUGUGUGUUGUAGGUUGGUAUUUGUGAAAAUAUUUGUGCAAACAGAUUGGGGGGACGAGAAAAGAAUAAAUCAUAUUUACAAUUUUGUUGUUUGAAUGGAUGAACCCAUUGCAUACGUACCAUCACAAAGGUAGGAUCAAAACCUCGUAGUUCGGGGUAAAAAUCUCAAAGAUUUUUGAAUUGAUUUGAUCAAAAGCUUUAAGGUAUUUUGUUAUCAAAGGGAGAGAACUCAACCUAAACCAACAAUCCACCAUGUGAUGAGGGCUUCAUCAUACUAGUGAGGGGUUAACCCUAUAAUAAGUAUGGAAGACUUAUAUUCCAACCACUAAGGAUAAGGUGAGGUUUACAUCAACCACUAUGAUAACUCAAACCUAUGGCUAAUGUUUAUGAAAAGUUUUUAACAAAGGUGGCCAUUGGAACCACAAAAAUAACUUGAAGUGAGUUGUAUUUACAAGUUAAGUUUAUUUACAAAAUGAAGUCAAAGUUGAAUUAAGAUUUAUUCACAAUGAGUGUUAAUGAAAAGAUUUUGAAAAGUCAAAGGCAUAAGGCCUAGGUUUCUAAUUUGAAACAAAGUCAAAGUUUGCACAUAAAUGAGUUUGACUUGGGUUAGAGUGAGGAGAAGAAGAGAAGGGCUAGUCUUAAGGAAUACAAAGAUAAGAGAAGAGAUAAAACCCUUGGAGUUCCUUUUCUUGAAAUCAUAGAGAUGAUUCAAGAUACUCCUUUCCUUUGGACUUAGCAAUCACUCAAGCAAUCAAACAAAUAUUUAGAUUCAAGCUCCUAGGAUCUCCAAUUGACUUGUCUCUCUUAACUUGGCUACUCAUGACAAUGGUCCUUCUUACUAUCUCAAGAUGGAAUCCCUAUCACGCAAGAGCAAACAUCAAAAGGUUCACAACAUAAUAGGAGGAAUGGACAAAGAAUGAGUUUAGAUUAGGGGUCCUUUGAAGUCAACUUUAAGAUUUAGCAUUCUAAAGGCAUGAGGCCUAGUUGCUCUUUGAACUCCUUUAAGCAUAGGUAAGGUCCUAAUUUCAAGUCCUUCUCCUUUUUGCAUUGGGUACACACAAACAAAGACAAAACAACACACGCAACAAUAUAUUUAUAUACAAUAAUGAGCUCAAAUGAGCAAAAGGAAAAAUGACAUAAACAUAAAAUAUGUGCUCAGUGAGCAAAGGGAAAAGCAUAUGAAUAAAUGAGCAAGAAAGUAAAUUGCAUUAAGUAAAUUGCAAGAAAUUAAAUGCUCAAAUUAAAGUUAGUAAUUAGUGUGUAUGUUAGGUGUCAUAAGACAAUUUAGCGCUAUGUAAGCAAUCGUAAGUGGACUAUUGUAGUAGUCACACCUAUCUGAGCCGCGUCAAUAAAACUAUAGGCAAAUAAACACAAGUUAGAGAUCAUGACUAGUAAGCCAAGCUCCUACAACUUGCCAUGCCAAAAGAAAAGAGGAAAGGCCUUGUAUGGACUUUAGGUUUUUUGCUUGACCAAGAAGCAACCUAUCUUGGACACAAAGCAACUCACUUGAUCUUGGAUCAAGUUAAAUUUGAUUUGGAUCAAAGAAGGUUAAACAUCUCAUAUGUCAAGACCAACCAUGAGACAUUAACUCAUUGGCCAAAAAUAAAAAGAAAGUGAGAUGAAGAUGAAAUGAAAUGGAAAGGGAAAUAAAGUGUCAAAUACAAUUGGUCAAAAGUGAAUCAAAUCAUCAUCAACCAAUGCUAAAUAGAAGAGAAAUGAAGAUUAGAAGUCAACAAGUCAAACAUAUUUUUUUGGUAUUUUUGGAAUUAAAAUACAUGCAAAUUUAAAAUGGACAAAAUAUGGUCAAACCUCAAAUUCAAUUCAAAUCAACUUCAACAAGUCCAAUUAAAUUCUCAUAGGUCUAACAUGGUCAAACAAGGUUUGACAAAAAAUUUCAACAAUUUUUGAAAUCAGAACAUAUUUUAAAUCAAUUUAAAACAAUAAAAUAACACAAUAUGAAUUAAAAUCUCAAAUCAAUUAAGAAUUGAUGAGACUAUUUUUUAUUGACUUAUUGAUCCAUAUGUGUUAAGAAAAUAUUUUUGGAUUUUUCAGAUAUCAAAAAGUAUUUAAAAUGAAUUAAAAACUAUUAAAAACUAAAUAAUUCACAAAAAAUAUUAAAUGAAGUCACAAAAAUAAUUAAAAAUCAGAAUAUGAAACUAGAUUUUUCAAGAAAUUUUUUGGCAUUGAUCUCAUAUUUUUGUGACGUCAAAUAAAAUAUUUAUGAAUUUUUGAAAAUAAAAGGAAAUAAAUGAAAUUAAAACAGAAAUAAGAAAAUAGCAAAAAUCCAGCGUCACAUGAUCCUUUCAUUAAUUGUCGUGGCAUUAUCACACGGCUCAGAGGUGCUGGUGCACGAAGGACCUUGGUCAAGCGCGCCACAAAAGGAUUUAAAACAAGUCAACAUAACACACGGCCAUGAUUAAAACGUUUGAGAGAGAUCCAAGGGAUCAUAAGCUCCCACGUGGGGAUGGUGGUGGAAACCACCCUCUUCUCCGGCCAGCUAACUGGUUCCGGCCACCACGCGCAGGUUUUUAAAACUUAAUAAAAAUAAACAAACAAGGUAUCAAAAUGAAGCUGGGGUCUACAUGUAGUGGGGACAUUGGAACCUAGAAGCUCAAUGUUUCUAUUUAGAGAGAAACAAGAGGUUGAAGAUCAUGGUGUUUGAUCUGAAAUGUCAUGAUUCAUGAAAUUAAGACCACCACUGGCCUUCCUCUUGCUCGAGGACUUCAGAAAACAGGUCAAACUCAAGCAAUUCACAUUGUAUAGCAAGAUCCAGAUCAAAAUAGUUUAGUGAUAUACCUUUGAAAUGGAGCUUUUAACAGCACGAUCUCUACAAGCUUUUGAUCCAAAUUUAAUCUGGAGAUGUGAUGAUGAUGCAAGGCUAAGGAAUUAAGACUUGAAGAUCAACUAAUGAUGUUGAAAUUCAAGCUUGAAAUUGAAAAUGAAAAACUGAAAUUCCUUUGAGUGAGGUUGGGUUUCCAAUUCUGCAGAGUUUCAGAUCUCCUUCAGGUUGAAAUUUGAAUGAGCUAGCACUUCUAUUUAUAACUGGAGAUGAUGCAAUGGGGUGCUUUGCUCGUGUGCAUGGAACUUGGACUCUUCCUGCAUGGGCCUGUACAGGCGCGUGCAAAGCCCAAAAAUGGAUGAAAAUGCAAACUGAACUCAAAUGCAAAUGGUUUGGACGUGUAAUUGGAGCUGCAUUGGCUUGUGCAUGAAGUUAUGAUGUGAAUUGCAUAAAUGAACCUAAUCAUUGAGCUCUUCGAAACACAAACAUGAAAAUCCAAAAAUGGUCAUGUGAGUAAUGGUUGGAAAGCUAUUGACAUAAGUAACAAAAGUCAUGUUGGGAAAAAACUCAUUUGGAGUUUGGAAAUUUAUGAAAACUGGCUGUGAAGAUUUGGGUACAAAACAUGUCUUUGAAAAAUUUGCCAAAAACAAGCAACUUCAAACCCUUCUGUUUCGAUGAUGCAAGCCUCAAAUGGAAAAACCUUAAAUAUAAAAGUUGUAGAUAUUUUCAAGAUAAUAAAUUUGGACUUAAAUUUUGCAUCAUUUGGAUUUUUACUGAGAAAGUUAUGGGCACUUGAAGUUGGAUAUUUUUCAAAUUCAAUGGUUUUGGUCCAAAGUCACCUAUAAUGUUUUGUAUUAUCACAUGUGUUUCUUUUAGGAUUAUGAAAUUUUGUCCAACAUGACAAUUGAAUUGGAUAUCUUAAUAUUUCCAAUGCAAUUGGUCUCACCUCAAAAUCAUAAAAAAUAAGGAAGUUAGUUCCUUGGGAAGUUGACCCAAAAUUAGGGUUUCAGUCAAAAUGACCUAUAAUGUUUUGAAAUGAAUGAUGACCUUCCAAGUUUCAAAUGGAUUUUUUAUGAACAUUAAAGUUGUUCAUAUGGUUUUUAAGAACAUGUUUUCUCUUGGGGUAAUAUUCAUUUGACAAACACAUCAAAAGUUAGGUCUCAGUGAUCUUCAGUUUAGUCAGAUGAUUUGACUAGUCAACUUCUCAAGGCCAAACCUCAAAUCUUGAUGAAUGUAUGAUUGAGGAUACUCACAUAGGCUCAUAUAUGCAUAAAAUAAUGAAUGCAAGAACAUACCUUUAUUGAAUUUGAUCAUAGGUUGAGGUUGCUUCAUGAGCAAGGCACAAUCAAUGCACAGUUGAACUAGGGUUUCCUUGGGAAACAAUCCUCAAGCCCUUUGGUUUAUCUUGAUCAAAUUGGAAAAGUGAGAUACUUGGGAGACAUAUAUGAUGAUUAGGAACUUUGUGGACCAUUUUCAUGCUUGUUCUCAUCCUCAUCUAGCCAUUUCAUUGAGCAUUGGAGCACAUGAUCACUUGAGCUUCAAAACAAAAAGAGUUAGUGACAUAUUUUUGUGCUUUUGGUUAGUAAACAGAUAAGAAAAACAAUAAUAUACAAUUAAAGCAUUCUUGGUGGUCUCAAACCACUCUCAUAAGUUCCAACCCCCCUAGGGUAAAGGAGCCACACAUGUUAUGAUCCUUGAGGCAAUGCAUUAAGCAAAUGAUAUGAUGCCAUAAGGGAUCUUAGGAUCAAAAUUAGGGUCUUACAGAUGCCCCUAUUUAAGGUCAUUCUAGCCGGAGAUAUGAAGGUUAAAAUCUUCGUUUCUACGAGAUAGAAUGGGCUUAAAUAAUAACAAAGAGACGAAUUUUGGUCCCUAAGAGACCUCAUGAUGCAAAUGUAUGCAUGCAAAAUAAAAUCUUCAUGGUGAAUAAUUGCCAUGAAGGAAAAGAAAUCAGGAGAAACUGAAAAAUCCAUAGGAGUAAUACACUCACUAGGGAGACAGAGACUCUGGGGAAAAAGUGUAAAAAUACGUGAGCAGGUCACGUCUUGAAAACUUGCUGGGAGACGCGAAGGGAUUCCAUGAAAAUAAAUCGAUGGAAAGACUCGAGCUGACGCAAAGAUGCAUGUAUUGGGGAAUAUGCCAAUACAGCGAAACUAUCCACAAAGGAUACUUCGGAUGAAAAUCCGGACUCAGACGGGUAUGUCCACAAAGGACUCAGCUGAGGAAGAAACAACGAGAUAUUACCGGUUACUGGAUAAUAAACUCAAAGGGAGACAUGUCAUUAAAACACUGGUAUAAGUGUGAGAUAUAAACAUGCUCAGGGAGAAAGAAAUAUCUAAGACCGGUAUAAGGGUGAGAGAUAUCAAUCAUCCAAAAUACCUGAGGAGGACCCAAAAGGCACAUCUCAAACUCAGGAAACUCUGACUCCACGGGGGACAAAAAGUCAUAAUAGGGAGCAGAAGGAAGGAACACCAGGGACACCGGUUAUUGGGCAUAUAAUAGGUGACCAACCAGACGUGAAUUGGGAACAUAUCCAAGACACUCAUCAUCCGAAAGGAGGGCUGAAAAAGAAAACUCGAUUUACAGGAUGGGCAUUCGAUCUCAGAAGGAAAUACGAAUCUUACUCAACUGGGGAAGAAAAAGACUUCAACUGAAGAGCGCAUGAGAUAUAUUAUCUAUUACCGUCAGAAUGUAGAUAACAUACUCACAUGGAAGAUUAUCCACAACCGGUUACUGGGUUAAUAAAGGAUAAAUCGACCGAAAAAGAAAGGACAUCGGGAUAUCGGCUACUGGGUAUAAAAUGAUGACCAAUCAAAAGAAGAAACAGUCAUUACCAAACAAGGGUAAAUGAAAGAUGACUCGCAAAGGGGAUAAAUUGCUUGAUGAGAGCAAUUAUGCAAGAGAUAUAUCACCGGUUACUAGGUGGUAUACUCAAAACGAAGGAAUAUCAAUACCGAAUAUUGGAUAAAGAUAACCAACAAAUAGAGGAUUACAUCUACCGGUUACUGGGUAGAAAACCACAAAAAAAGGACUUACAACUACCGGUUAUUGGGUAGAAGGCCACAAAGAUCCACUGGGGAAGGGAUGAACAAUUACUGGUUACUGAGCAAUUGGACAACUAAACCACAGGGAACUGCAGGGGAAAUAACAAGAAAGGAGUCAAUCUAGGAACAAACUAGAAAGACACAAUCAAACAAGACUCAACCCGAUGAGGAUAUAACCCAGGGGAGUAAUUCCAUCUCGGUACACAACUGGGGAGGAAAUCGAAAUAAAAAUCAUCCACGAGGACAUAACUCAGUGGGGAAUAAAGAAAGAAAGAUAGGCACUUUCUGCCUAUGGGGCUGACUCUAUUUGGAGAGAUCAGACACGAGCAUCUGCUUAGGGAAGAACAUUUCACCAAUAGCAGGAGAUAACAAGCAAAGAUAUAUGGCAAAGAAUGCAACAUGAGUAUCUGAAUGCUAUAAUUGUGCAUGUAUAUUCGUGGUUUAUGUAUGAUUAAUGCUGACAAACAGACAUAUCUAACAUAAACAUGUUCCAGAGCCAUGAACGGACAUCUGGUAUAACAUCUCAAAAAGAGAAAGACAAGGCCCACAGAAAAAUCAGCUUUGGUGGGGAAGCAUCAAAUACCUGGAGACAUAGACCAUCGCUGGGGAUAGGCAAAGUCUCAGAUGGGGAACAUGCAGAGAUAUCAAUAAGAUCUGUCAUAAAAGAACUCUACUGGGGAACUUAUCAAGGGAUGUUGUGAGAUUCUGUGGGGAACAACCACCAAACAGAUACACAUUAAUCAAACAUUCUCUUCUAACUGCUAAAGAGACAUCUCUGCUAAUAGAAGAAGGAACAAAUUACUCUGGUGGGGAAGGAAAUAACACAUCUUCCUCAAAAUCCCUCAAUGCUGGAAGAGAUCUUCAGGGGAUACAAGCUGUCAUGAUCGGAUUGGGCAACCCUGCAGUGGAUGGACUGUAGGCGACCAUACUAGGGAUAGCCUGCUAUAAGCAACCUUACUGGGGAUGAGCUGUAGACAAACCUGUUGGGGAGAAACCACAAGUACCUCCGCAGGAACUGUCUUAACUGAGGGAAUCGAAAGUGAAUCCUUCAUCAACAUGUGCCAUGUUGGGGAUGAAAAGGGAUUCAGGCCCUUCGUCGAUUGCUCCAGGCAACUUCCUGCUGAGGAGACAAAUAUCUGGAAAGAUAGCUCCGCAGGGAACACAUGCUUACUCCGCUGAGAAUUUCUACUCAUAUCGGGGAAAGACAAACUUCCUCGUGAAUAGAUAGCUAUAGCGGGGUAUCCGUUACCUUUAGAUUUAUUGACUAAAUCAAAAGUAAAUCAUACAAUUCGAGUUGCCACCGCACUUCUAUUUAUCCAAAGGAAAGGUUAGAAAGCGAACAAAAACCGAGAAGUUUUAUCAAAUCAAAAACUAUUUAUCCAAAGGAAAGGUUAGAAAGCGAACAAAAACCGAGAAGUUUUAUCAAAUCAAAAACUAAUAAAAAUGUUAGAGAUCUGGGUAAGGGGGUUGGUUAUGCAAUGGGAAGGUUUUAAGCACCAAAAACAUCCUUAGUACUCUAAGGGAGCCCUUUCUGCAAAUGUUGUAUGGUAGGUUGGUAUUUGCGAAAAUAUUUGUGCAAACAUGAUUGGGGAGAUGAGAAAAGAAUAUACAAAUUAUUUAACAAUUUUGUUGUUUGAAUGGAUGAACCCAUUGCCUACGUACCAUCACAAAGGUAGGAUCAAAACCUCGUAGUUCGGGGUAAGAAUCUCAAAAAAUAAGUUGGUGAAUUGAUUUGGACAAAAACCUUAAGGUCUUUUGUUAUCAAAGGGAGAAAACUCAACCUAAACCAACAAUCCACCAUGUGAAGAGAGCUUCAAUAUAAUAGUGAGGGAUCCACCCUAUAAUAAGUAUGGAAGACUUAUAUUCCAAUCACUAAGGAUAAGGUGAGGUUUACAUCAACCACUAUGAUAACUCAAACCUAUGGCUAAUGUUUAUGAAAAUAUUUUAACAAAGGUGGUCAUUGGAACCACAAAAGCAAACUUGAGUGAGUUGUAUUUACAAAUUAGAACUAUUCACAAAAUGAAAUCAAAGUUGACUUAAGAUUCAAUUCAAAAUAAGUAUUAAUGAAAAGAGAUUGAAAAAUCAAAGGCAUAUGGCCUAGGUUUCUAGUUUUGAAAACAAUGUCAAUGUUUGCACAAAAAUGAGUUUGGCGUGGGUGAGAGUGGAGAGAAGAAGAGAAGGGCUAGUCCUAAAAAUGCAAAGAUAAGAGAAGAGAAUAAAACCCUUUGAGUUCCUUUCUUAAGAUCAUAAAGAUGAUCCAAGAUGCUCAUUUCCUUUGGACUUAGCAAGCAAUAAGCAAUUAACUCAAGCAAUCAAGCAAAUAUUCAAUCAAGCUCCUAUGAUCUCCAUUUGGCUUGUCUUUCUCUUAACUUGGAUGUUCAUGACAAUGGUCCUUCUAACUAUCUCAAGUUUGGAAUCCCUAUCACACAAGAACAAACAAUCAAAAAGUUCACAAUGCAAUAAGAGGAGUCUUUCUCUUAACUUGGAUGUUCAUGACAAUGGUCCUUCUAACUAUCUCAAGUUUGGAAUCCCUAUCACACAAGAACAAACAAUCAAAAAGUUCACAAUGCAAUAAGAGGAAUGGACAAAGAGAGAAUUUAGAUUAAGGGUCCUUUCAAGUCAACUUCAAGAUUUAAGCAUUCUAAAGGCAUGAGGCCUAGUUGCUCUUCAACAAGUUUAGCAUUCUAAAGGCAUGUGGCCUAGUUGCUCUUGAACUCCAUUAAGCAUAGGUAAGGUCCUAAUUCUAAGUCCUUUCUACUUUUUGCAUUGGGUUCACACAAACAAAGACAAAACAAGCACAAGGCAAUAGUAUAUUUACACAAUAAUGUGCUCAAGUGAGCAAAAGGAAAAUGGCAUAAACAUAAACAUGAUCUCAAGUGAGCAAAGGGAAAAGGCAAUAUGAAUAAAUGAGCAAGAAAUUAAAUUGCAUUAAAGUAAAUUGCAAGAGUUAAAUGCUUGAAUUAAAAGUUAGUAAUUAGUAGUUAGUGUUGGUCUGCCAUAAGGCAAUUUAGCGCUAUGUUAAGCAAUCGUAAGUGGACUAAUGUAGUAGUCACACCUAUCUGAGGUCGAUCAAUAAAACUAUAGGCAAAUAAACACAAGUUAUAGAUCAUGACUAGUAAGCCAAGCUCCUACAACUUGCCAUGCCAAAAGAAAAGAAGAAUGACCUUGUAUGGAUUUUAGAUUUUUUGCUUGACGAAGAAGCAACCUAUCUUGGACACAAAGCAAUUCACUUGAUCUUUGAUCAAGUUGAAUUUGAUUUGGAUCAAAGAAGGCUAAGCCUCUCAUAUGUCAAGGCUAACCACAAAUCAUUAACUCAUUGGUCAAAAGAAAAUAAUGAAGAAAGGAGAUGAAGAUAGAAUGUACAAAAUGAAAAUUCAAAUGACAUAACCAAAACACAAUGAUCAAAUGUGAAUGGAAUCAACAUCAAUCAAUGGUAAACAGAAGUGAAAUGAAGAUUAGAAGUCAAGAAAUGUCAAACAUAUUUUUGGUAUUUUUUGGAAUUAAAAUAAUGCAUAAAAUAAAAUGAACAAAUUAAGGUCAAACUUCAAAUCCAAUUCAAAUCAACUUGGAUAAGUCCAAUUGGAUCAUCAUAAGUCUAACAUGGUCAAACUAGGUUUGACAAAUUUUCUCAACAUUUUAUAAGGUCAAACUUCAAAUCCAAUUCAAAUCAACUUGGAUAAGUCCAAUUGGAUCAUCAUAAGUCUAACAUGGUCAAACUAGGUUUGACAAAUUUUCUCAACAUUUUUUGAAAACAGAAACUAUUUUUUAACAAUUAAAAAUGAAAAAAAAUAACACAAAUGGACUAAAAUCUCAAAUAAAUCUCAAAUCAAUUAAGAAAUUAAUGAGAAUAUUUUUCAUAGACUUAUCAUCAUCCACAUGUAUUAAGAAAAUAUUUUUGGCAUUUUUGAAUAUCUAAAAGUAUUUAAAAUGAAUUAAAAAUAAUCAAAAACAAAAAUAAUUCACAAAAAAUAUUAAAUGGAAUCACAACAAUAAUUAAAAAUCAGAUUAUGAAACUAGAAUUUAAGAGAAUUUUUUUGCAAUUGGUCCCAUAUUUUUGUGAUUCCAAAUAAAGAAGUUAUGAAUUUUUGAAAAUAAAUGGAUUAAAAGAAAAUAAAACAGAAAUUAAAAAAUAUGAAAAAACCACAGCGCUCAGAUCCACUUUCAUUAAUUAACGUGGUUGAUCCUAAGGCCAUGAGGCGCGCGCGCAUGGAGUUCACAAGUCAACAGCAUCACAUGUUGUAUUUAAAAAAGUAAACAUAAUGCAAGGCCAAGAUUAGAUCUGGAGAGUAGGAUCCAAAGGCCAGGAGAGUUCCACGUGGGGACGGUGGUGGAAACCACCGUCUUCUCCGGCGAGCAAGCUAAAUCCUGCCACCAGUUGCAGGUUUUGCAACCUCAACUAAAUCACACGAUCCUUAUACCAAAUUAAAGCUGGGGUGAUGUACAUCACCCCUGUAACCUUAGAUUUCACUCAAGAUCCCUAUGGAAGGAGAAAUCUGAGGUUGAAAAUCUAGGUGUUCAAUCUGAAGUUCAACAAUUCACAAAAUUAAAGCCACCAUUGGCUUGCCUCUCACACGAAGACUUCAGAAAACCAAAUCAACACAAACAAUGCACAAUAUAUAGUGAGAUUCGAAGCAAAACAGUUGAGCUGCAAACCUUUGAAGUGCAGCUUUGAUGAACACGAUCCACUCCAAUUCUUGAUUGCAGCUUGAUCUUGAGCUAUGGUAUGAGUGCAAGGCUUAGGAAUUAGUAUUGAAAAUCAACUGAUGUUGUUUAAAAUCAAACUUGAAAAAGAGAAAUGAAAAUUAAAAUUCCUUUGGUGAGAGGUUAGGAUUCAAUUCCAGCAGGGUUUCAGGCGCCUUCAGGUUGAUCAUUCAAUGAAGCAAUGUGUUUAUUUAUAGAUGAAAUGCAAAGGAGAGUCUGACAAACUCGUGUGCAUGAGAAUUGGGUCCUCCAUGCAUGGGCCUGUACAGGCGUGUGUGAGGCCCAAAAGCUAAUGCAAAUGAAUGCUGAAAUGAUUUGGAGAAGGUUUGGACGUGUAGUUUGCAUUACAUUUGCUUGUGUAUGAAGUUUCAUCAUGAAGUGCAUAAAUGGUCACAAAACUUCCCCUCUUCGAAAGUCCCAUUUGGAAAAUUCAAACGUAGGCAUGUGAGUAAUGGUUGGAAAGGUCUUGACAUAAGGAACAAGAGCUAUGUUGAACAAAAAUUCAUUUGGAGUUUGUAAAUUUAUGAAAACUGGCCAUGAAGUUCAAGGUACAAAACAUGUAUUUGAAACAUUUGCCAAAAAGGACCAACUUUAAGCCCUUCUGUUUCAAUGAUGCAAACCUCAAAUGGAAAAAAUUCCAACAUACAAGUUGUAGAUCUUUUCAAGUCAAUCAAUUUGGACUUAAAUUUUGCAUCAUUUGGAGUUUUUAUGAGAAAGUUAUGAGCACUUGAAGUUGGACUUUUUCAAGAUUUAAUGGCUUUGGUCCAAAGUGGCCUAUAAUGUUUUGUAUUAUCACAUGUGUUUCUUUUAGGAUUAUGAAAUUUUGUACAACAUAACAAUUGAAGUAGACAUCUUAAGAUUUCCAAUUCACUUGUUCUCACCCCAAAAUCAUAAAAAAUGAGUGAGUUAGGUCCUUGGGAAGUUGACCCAAAAUUAGGGUUUCAGUCAAAAUGACCUAUAAUGUUUUGAAAUGAAUGAUGACCUUCCAAGUUUCAAAUGGAUUUUUUAUGACCUUCUUAAGAACAUUUUUUUCUCUUGGGGUAAUCUUCAUUUGACAAACACAUCAAAAGUUAGGUCUCAGUGGAUUUCAAAAUAGUUAGAUGAUUUGACUGAUCAACUUCUCAAAGCCAAACUUCAAAUCUUGAUGAAUGAAUGAUUGAGGACACUCACAUAGGCUCAUAUAUGCAUAAAAUGAUGAAUGAAAGAACUUCAAUUGAUUGAAUUUGAUCAUAGGUUGAGGUUGCUUCAUGAGCAAGGCACAAUCAAUGCACAGUUGAAUUAGGGUUUCCUUGGGAAACAAUCCUCAAGCCCUUUGGUUUAUCUUGAUCAAAUUGACAAAUAAUGAGCAAGGCACAAUCAAUGCACAGUUGAAUUAGGGUUUCCUUGGGAAACAAUCCUCAAGCCCUUUGGUUUAUCUUGAUCAAAUUGACAAAUUGAGAUACUUGGGAGACAUAUAUGAUGAUUGAGAUAUUUGGGAACCAUUAUCAUGCUUGCUUUCAUCUUCAUCUGGUCACCUCAAUGGCCAUGGGAGCCUCCUAGGAGCUUUGGAUCUCAUGAUUUCUUAAGCUUCAAAACAAAAGAGGUUAGUGACAUAUUUUUGUGCUUUUAGUUAGUAAACAAAAUAAGAAAAGUAAUAAUAUACAAUUCAAGCAUGCUUGGUGGGCUCAAACUAACUCACACAACUCCCACCCAAGGGCAAAGGAGCCAAGAUGCUAUGAUCCUUGAGGCAAAUGCAAUGAGCAAUGAUAUGAUGCCAUGAGGGAUCUUAGGGUCAAAAUUAGGGUCUUACAAUUGCAUAUCAACUUUUAUCAAUUUAUAAGGGAUUUUAGGUCAGUCCACACAAGGGAUGACAACCAUAUAAUUGAUAAAACACAAAUGCUAGUGCCUGAUAUAGAGGUAUACACAUCUCUAAAAGAUCGAUGCCAAAACUCCAGACUCUCUGGGAAGUUGAUGAUGUAUCACUCUUCUUUGCGCUUGCUGGGGAGGCAAAUGAAAGCUGAUGAAGAGGAUACAGACAUUCCAGAAUACGAACAAAUGUCUUACCUUCUGGAAAUCUUACUAUCCUUGGGAGAGCACUGAAGACAUUCCAGCUAUCCUUUCAGUUUUUGUGAAUGUUCACUUUGUUUGAAACAGUUUAUAAAAACUUUAUUUGUUUAAAACAAUGAUAUUUAUCAAUUAAAACAUGCAAACAUUCGUUAAACAGAAACAAAUAAGAGUGCAAAGAAUUGGAUAAAGGCUCAAAUUUAUUUGAUAGAAUGGUAGUCCGCAAAUGGCGAGACUCCAUGGAUCUUUACAAAUUUGAAAUUGGUGAUAGUAUAUUGGAAAAAGGGCUAAAUGAACAUAAUGACCUUAUUCUCCACCAACUCUGAAUCCAAGUAUUUUAAGCUUCAGUUGAUGAUGACUGAGCGAGAAUCUUUGACAGAUGACAGCUUGUAGAACAAAGUCUUGUCAGGAUGCAAUUACUUGCCCAAUCCCUAAUUUGCCAGAUUGCCCCAAGGGUGAGGAAUCAAUCAGCGGGAUAUAUAUAUAUAUAUAUAUAUAUAUAUAUAUAUAUAUAUAUAUAUAUAUUAAUAUAUAUAUAUAUAUAUAUAUAUAUAUAUUCAUAUAUACAUUUUUUUCAUGCCUCUAACUUUUGCCUGGACCGCCCUUUCGGGUUUCAAUCCACCGAGACGCUCAUUUUUGCCUAAGUCACCCUUUCGGGUUUUCACUUAGUGAGCUAUUCUAUUUUAUUUAGGCGAAGUAUUUCUUGACUGCAUCUGAAUUCACAGGACGAAUGGAAUCCUCCCAUCCAUAGUUGUAAGCAUUAAAGCACCGCCUGAAAAGGCUCUCUUAACAACAUAUGGACCUUCAUAGUUUGGAGUCCACUUGCCCCUGGAAUCGGGCGCAAAAGAUAAGACUUUCUUGAGCACGAGGUCACCUUCUCGAAACACACGAGGCUCGACCUUCUUAUCAAAGGCUUUCUUCAUCCAUUGCUGAUACAAUUGACCAUGGCACAUGGUAGUUAAUCUUUUCUCUUCAAUCAAAUUCAGUUGGUCAUAACGACUCUGAACCCAUUCAACCUCAGUCAACUUGGAUUCCAUCAAGACUCUCUUGAUGGGAUCUCAACCUCCACGGGGAGAACAACCUCCAUGCCGUACACAAGAGAGAAAGGGGUUGCCCCUGUUGAAGUACAGACAGAUGUACGAUAACCAUACAAAGCAAAUGGCAGCAUCUCAUGCCAAUCUUUGUACGUAACAACCAUCUUCUGAAUAAUCUUCUUGAUAUUCUUGUUAGCAGCUUCAACAGCCCCAUUCAUCUUGGGUAUAUAGGGAGAAAAGUUAUGAUGCACAAUCUUGAACUCACUACACAGCUCUUUCAUCAUCUUGUUGUUCAAGUUAGAUCCAUUAUCAGUAAUGAUCUUAUCUGGAACACCAUAUCGGCAUAUGAGUUGGUUCUUGAUAAACUUCACAACCCCUUGCCUGGUCACAUUUGCAUAUGAUGCCGCUUCAACCCACUUGUUGAAGUAAUCAAUAGCUACGAGAAUAAAACAGUGAUCGUUUGACGCCUUUGGCUCUAUCAUGCCAAUCAUGUCAAUUCCCCACAUGGAGAAAGGCCAUGGUGAGGAAAUAACAUUCAAAAGUGUCAGGGGAAUAUGAAUCUUAUCCGCAUAAAUCUGACACUUUUGGCAUUUCUUCACAUAUUUGCAGCAGUCGGACUCCAUUGUCAGCCAAUAGUAGCCUGCUCUCAGCAUCUUCUUUGCCAUAGCAUGUCCAUUGGAAUGAGUACCAAAGGAACCUUCAUGGACUUCAGUCAUCAACAAGUCUUCUUCGUGUUUAUCCACUCAUCUGAGCAGAACCAUGUCAAAAUUCCUCUUGUAAAGCACAUCACCAUUGAGGUAGAAACUGCCUGAUAAUCUUCUCAAAGUCUUCUUAUCUUUAACAGAUUCCCCAGGCGGGUAAAUCUAACUUUGAAGAAAGCAUUUGAUAUCAUAAUACCAUGGCUUAUCAUCUUUCACUUAUUCAACUACAAAUACGUGAGUUGGUCUAUCCAAGCGCAUCACAUUGAUAUUGGGGACUUCAUUCCAAUACUUCACCAUAAUCAUUGAAGCAAGUGUAGCAAGAGCAUCCGCCAUCCGAUUCUCAUCUCGAGGAAUAUGAUAGAAGUCAACCUUAGUAAAGAAAGUUGAAAUCCUCCUCGCAUAAUCUCUAUAUGGGAUGAGGCCAGGCUGAUUCGUCUCCCAUUCACCCUUAAUCUGAUUAACAACAAGGGCCGAAUCACCAUAAACAUAAAGUCAACCUUAGUAAAGAAAGUUGAAAUCCUCCUCGCAUAAUCUCUAUAUGGGAUGAGGCCAGGCUGAUUCGUCUCCCAUUCACCCUUAAUCUGAUUAACAACAAGGGCCGAAUCACCAUAAACAUUAAGAUGUUUGAUCCUAGGAUCAAUACACUCUUCCAAACCCAUAAUACAUGCCUCAUACUCCGCCAUAUUAUUCGUGCAUUUGAAAGUUAGCCUUGUUGUAAAAGGAAAAUGUGUGCCCUGAGGAGUAAUGAUCACUGCCCCAAUACCAUUUCCAUACUGAUUGACAGCACCAUCGAACACCAUGCCCCAUCGGGAACCAGGCUCUGGCCCUUCAUCGAGCGUAGGCUCAUCACAAUAUUUCAUCUUCAAAUACAGAAUCUCCUCAUCAGGGAAUUCGUACUGAACAGACUGAUAAUCUUCAUUUGGUUGAUGUGCCAAGUGGUCAGCCAAUAUACUACCUUUAAUAGUUUUUUGAGCUCGAUACUCAAUAUCAUACUCAGAUAACAACAUCUGCCAACGGGAAAUCCUCCCAGUUAAAGCAGGCUUCUCAAAGAUAUACUUGAUUGGAUCCAUUUUAGAUAUCAACCAAGUUGUAUGAUUCAACAUAUACUGGCGUAAGCGCUUAGCGGCCCAAGCCAAAGCACAACAUGUCUUCUCGAGCAUUGAGUACAGAGACUCAAAAUCAGUUAACUUCUUGCUCAAGUAAUAUAUUGCAUAUUCUUUCUUCCCUGAUUCAUCUUGCUGACCCAAUACACAACCCAUGGAGUCAUCAAGCAUAGUCAAGUACAUAAUCAAGGGUCUCCCUUCCACAGGCGGAGACAAAAUCGGAGGCUCAGACAAAUACUCUUUGAUACUAUCAAAGGCCUUCUGGAAAUCCUCGGUCCAAUCAUGACGCUGAUCUUUCCGAAGGAGCUUGAAUAUAGGCGCACAUGUGGCAGUCAUGUGGGAUAUAAAUCUCGAAAUUUAAUUCAAGCGGCCAAAAAAACCUCGGACUUGCUUCUCUGUUUUGGGUGCAGGCAUCUCUUGUAUUGCUUUGACCUUGACAGGAUCAACUUCAAUACCUCUUUCACUGAAAAUAUAGCCCAAUAACUUGCCGGAACGGACUCCAAAUGUACACUUGUUCGGAUUCAGGCGUAGUUUGUACUUCCUCAAACGCUGGAAAAGCUUCAACAAGUGUUCUACAUGUUCAACUUCCGUUUUCGACUUUGCAAUCAUAUCAUCAACAUACACCUCGAUUUCCUUGUGCAUCAUAUCAUGAAACAAGGUAGUCAUAACGCGUUGAUACGUGGCUCCGGCGUUCUUCAAACCGAAGGGCAUCACUCGAUAACAGAAUGUUCCCCAAGGUGUGAUGAAUGUUGUCUUCUCUAUAUCCUCGGGUGCCAUUUUAAUCUGGUUAUAACCGGAAAAUCCGUCCAUAAAUGAGAAGACAUUGAAUUUAGUUGUAUUGUCUACCAACAUAUCAAUAUGUGGUAGAGGAAAAUCAUAUUUCGGACUAGCUUUAUUCAAGUCUCGAUAGUCCGCACACAUUCGAACUUUUCCAUCUUUCUUAGGCACAGGCACAAUAUUGGCCACCCAUUGAGGAUAUGUAGAAGUCACCAGAAACCCCGCAUCAAUUUGCUUCUGAACUUAUUCUUUAAUCUUCACUGCCAUAUCAGGAUGAGUUCUUCUGAGCUUCUGCUUCAUAGGCACGCACUCAGGUUUUAAUGGCAAGAAAUGUUGCACGAUAUCAGUAUCUAGACUAGGCAUGUCUUCAUACGACCAGGCAAAGAUGUCGACAUAUUCUCGUAGCAACUCAAUCAACCCCUUCUUCACAGAUUCUUCAGGAGUUCCCCAAUCUUCACUUCUCGAACACAAUCCUCAGACCCCAACUUGACUGUUUCCAGAUUCUCAAGGUGCGGCUGAAUGAUCUUCUCUUCGUGCUCAAGCAGACGGGUAAUCUCAUCAUGAAUCUCUUCAACCUCAUCUUCUUCUGCCUCAAAUACAGGGAACUCAAAGUUGGGAGAUGGUGUUGGAUCAUUAUGUUCAAUGGGAUUGAUCAACCUGCAUAAUGAUUUUAGAUAUAAAAGAGAUUUCAGAAUUCAAUCAAGGCAAAUCACUAUGCAGAUGAAAAGAUUGAUUUUAUUCUCUUUUUAGGAUUUUAUUGUGAUCACCAAUUUCAUACAAAAAGAAAAAAGGAAAAAUAAUUUGGAAAACAAACGUUUAACAUGUGAUUAUUGAAUGAAUAUCAUUGUUAUUAAUCAAAUAUGCCAACAAUGUCAUCACUUCUCCUUUUGGCAUGGGAGAAGGGUUUUCAAACAAAAUGAACAUAUUGCGUGGACUUAUGGAUAACUGUUGGAACAUCAACAGCGACCCAAUUAUUGCAGAUUCCGCCUGGUAUGACAAAGUUGCCAAGGUCUUCCUCUCCAUCAUCUUCAACAAUGGCAACAGCUUCCUGAUCUUCAACUGUGUGGAUAAAACCACCACUCUGGAACAACCCACGCUCAUUGGAAACGCCAGAAGAAUACCCUAUGCCAGCUCGGGAUUUAUUAUCUUCCAAUCUGAUCAUUUGCCCUAAACCGGUAGUUGCACCAUGCUCAAUGGCCAACUUCGCAUUGUUGUAGGAGACAAAUGAAGAAAGUCCUUUCCUAGAAGGCUCAACAAUAGACAAGGCUUGGAACGGAGUCCCAACCUCAUCCUCAGCAUCAAUAUAGGAGAAGGAAGAUAAAUGACUGACCAAGAGAGCCUUCUCUCCCCCUAUCACCACCAACAUUUUGUUUUUAACAAAUUUCAAUUUUUGGUGUAGAGUGGAUGUCACGGCGCCUGCCUCGUGAAUCCAUGGUCUGUCAAGCAAACAGCUAUAAGACGGAUGAAUAUCCAUGACCUGGAAAGUGAUCGGGAGUUCUACUUCGCUGAUCACGGUUUUGCGCGAUCCAUCAAACGCCUUAACAACCACUUCACUUUGCCUUAUGGGAGGCCCCUGGUAAGAAAGUUUGGCCAGAGUGGAUUUUGGCAACACAUUAAGUGAUGAUCCUGUGUCCACCAAUGUAACACCUCAAAAUUUGCCCUCCUCUCUUGGGACUAGCUUAGCAUAUUGCAUUUCAUUUCUUUGGACAUUAGUCAUUGCACUUUGCAUAUCAUGUGGCUACAUCAAUCAAUUCAUCCUCUUAGGUCUUGAUCAGAAGAUAAAGAGGUUAAGAUUCAAGCUAAGGGCUUUCAUUGAACUGAUCACUGAUCAUCUGAGGGUUGGUGUUUCAAAUUAGGGUUUCAUGGUUCCUCAAGGGGGUUGAGCAUCAUCUUGGUUGAAAUGGUACAUCAUCAUCAUCAUGGUCUUGUCAUCAACCAAGAGAUUCAUUGUGCUUGAUUAGAUUCCUUGAGAUUAGGGUUUUGACCUCUGGUCAACCCUAAUCAUCUGUAUUGUGCCAAUCAGGGCUUGUGAAGGAAAUGAGGUCUUCAUUGAGAUGAGAUAUCAUUUAUUGGUUUCAUUGAGCUUAUGGAAGCUAGGGUUUCAUGUUUGAGCCAUUUCAUCAGGAGAUUGAAGCUCAAGUUCAUCUAUGCAUGGCCAGUUUAUCUAUCAGUCAACAAAAGUCAACCAAAGGUCAACUGAUGGAUUUGGAGGUGGGAGAGGGUUAGAGACACUUCAUUCAUGUCCAAACAAGUUUCAUUUGACAUUUCAAACAUCAAGAAUGAAGAAAAAAGAGGGUUAGAGACACUUCAUUCAUGUCCAAACAAGUUUCAUUUGACAUUUCAAACAUCAAGAAUGAAGAAAAUAAAGUCAGAUGGAAACUUUCCAAAAAUAGAAAGUGACUUGUAAUUCAAAACUGUCAAAAAUGGAAAGGUUUUCUCCUUAAAAUUAUAUGUCCAAAAAUGCUUCAAAUGAAAUUUUGUCCAACAUGAAAGUUGUAGAUCUUGCUCUCACCUUUCCAAAAAGUCCAAGGACCUGAAUUUCUCAUUUGUGGUUGGCAAGUUAUGGAUUGAUCAUUGUCAAGAAAAGUUGAAUUUCAGAAGUGCAUAACUUUUGAUUCACAAGGCCAAAUGGAGUGAGACUUUUUGGAGCAAAUUUCUCUUGAUGUCCUCUAUCCAAAACAAGCAUUACAUUUCAUGAAUUUUGAUCACACAAAAAGUGCAUUUUUCAAGUGAACUUAAUUUGAAUUUGGAGGGAAAAAGGUGAAUUUGAAAAAUAAGCAUGGCAUUCAUUCAAUUCCACUUGCAUUUGCUUCUAAACAUCAUUUCCAAGUAAUUCAAACCAGAAAUUGGCACUGUUACAUUGGUUUGUACAUGUGAGGGUGAAAUGCUAAAUUUAGCAUAAAACUUGGAUUUCACUUAAUCAUUUGCCUUAACACUAAUUGUGAUUAGCAACAUGCUUAACAUAACAUAUAUAAGCUAAAUCACAACUGUUUUCUGAUUAACCAUAACAGAAUUGUGAAUUCUAGAUCUAGAUCCAAAACUUUUUCAUUUUUCUCUCAACUUUCUUCAUCAAUUUUCUUCGUUCUUUUUGCCUUGCCUUCGAUCAAUUCAUCAUCUACAUGCAUAUUGGAAGUGGAUUGAAGCAAAAUCUUGGAGAAAUCUUGAAGAAUCGUGGACUGUUAAAGCAAGCUUCAACAAUGGCAAAUGAAGAUUUGAGCUAGAUCCUUCAUAAUCAACACACAAACCUUGUUCCAUUCAUCAAUACUAGCAUCAAAGAACAUCUGUUUUGCAUUGCCAUGGCCUAGAACGCACGAUUUCACCACUGCAAUUUCUGAAAGGUGAGUUUUCGACUUUAAUGAUUCUUGCAAUUGAUAUAUGCUUUAGAUAGAUCUUGUUUAGGAGGUAAUUCUGCAAGUUGAACCACUGAAUUUGGUUGAGAGACAAGGAAGUUAUGCAUGCAUUUGUAAGUGACAUGUGAAACUUUCUUUAUCGAUUCUUUGAGCAUGAGUAGAAUUAGAUGAAACUAUUGCUGGAUUCGUUGUUGUACGUUAGGAGAUAUUUCCAAUGAUGUAUGUGUUUGUGAUUUUCGUGACAAAAAGUUCUUGAGCUAGGUUUGAUGAAGAAACAUGCAUGAAUGUUUGAAAAAAAAUUCCAGAAACGCUUGUUGAUCCAUAUUUUCAUGUUUGCUAGGCUUGGUGUUAUCACUGUAGCGCGCGCUCAUUUUUAAAUCCAUACUCCCUUCGAUCCCGCUCCAGUGCAUUUCCAAUAUUGGCUUGGCAUUUUUAUUCAUAUGCUUCACAUACUUCACAUGCCUUCACUCAUGAUUUUUUUAUUUUUUUUCUUUACAUUAGAAAAAUCAUAGCUCUCCAACCAUUAAUCCAAUUGAGAUGAAAUUUUUUGUUCCAUGAUCCUUGUAACCUCUACUAUUUUUUGGUUAUUUUUAUUCAAAUUGUGCACGUGUGGUUUUUUGAAUGGCUAGGGUUUGUUCAUAUGUGUUCUUUCAUGCACCUUGCUUGAUGUGUUGAUCAUGAAAUGAUGAUGCUUAAUCCAAAAUUCUUGAAAUUUUGCAUGUAUAAACUAGAGACCUUAAGUGACAUUUUGGCUUUGAGUUUUUGAUUUUAUCAUUCCUGGUUUGUGAGAUAUGAGUUGUUGAAUCUAGGUGUGACAAUUUGUGUCACACCAUUUCUUGUCUAACUUCUUGAUUUUAUUUGACAUGCCAUAUGAACUUGAAAUGAGCUGAAUAUUUUCAUGUUGAUACUUCUGGAUGUUAGGUUCACUCGUGAACUUUUAUGGAUUUUUUGAAUGCAUUUCCAAUUUGAUUGAGAUUUUCUCUUCUGUUUGACCAAGUGUGGACUUUUUGUGAGUCAUGAUCUCAUAUGAUUUGUGAAAUUCUUGAUAUGUAUUGGAUGGACUUGAAAUUUUGUGGAUUGAUUCUAGACAUCUUGAACUUUACCAUGGCUUUGGUUUGGUGCAUUUAUCAUGUUCCUACUCUGUUUUGUGCUUGCUGGAAGUUGAUGCAUGAUUUUGUGCCUUGUAUGAGCUUGUUUGAGCAUGUUUUGACUUAGGGAAUUUAAUUGACUUGCUUCCAAUUGUCCAAAUGGCCUGAAAUUUGGUGUUAUGAUCCUUUAAUGAGUUUUGUUUAGCCAUGAUUUUUCCUGGGAUUUAUUGAAUUAUUUUUGAUUGAGUUUGGAUUGAUUCAUUCUGUUUGGUCCAAUGAGCUUUCAAAUUGCAUAUUUUGCACUAAAUGCUUCAGGAAAUGAAAUUGAUGAAUGAUAUGAAUGUGAGACCAAUUGGAUUUGUUUCUAAUUUGAUUGAACUUGAUUUGUGACAAUUUUCAUGUUCUGUUUUGAAUUAUUUUUCCCCCUUUGACCCUAGGCUUUGUCCUAGGGGUUUGCUUAUGUUUAAGUUGUGUUUUCAGGACAAAGAAGCAUAUGGCAUUGAGGGAAUUGAUUCACACUUGGCUUGAGUUUCUUAUUUGAUUGAUGUUGAUUAACAUUGAGUUUGUUUUGUAGGUGGCUUCUAAGUCAUUUGUGUUGAGCAUUGGCUUAUGCUUUGCUUGAUGCAUUGCUUGUGUACAGUUAACUGUUAACUUUUAGUUUGUCUGUUUGACUGUUUGAGCUAUGUACUGAUUAUGUUAGAUUGAUUUCAGGUACAUUAGUUGCUAUAGUUCAUUGUGAACUUGCUUGUGCUGUUGCUUGGUUGCUUAACCAAUUGAGGUAUAACAUCACUAACUUCAUGUAGUCUGGAAGACCUGGCCUGUUACUUGGUCAGGCACCUGUCUGAAGUCCUCCUUAAGAGGCAAUGCUUGUGCUUGUUUAUCUUUGUCCCCAAGCAGGAAAAGACCUUUGUUAAGGCAAUUGGAUAGUCUGGAAGACCUGGCCUGUUACUUGGUCAGGCACCUGUCUGAAGUCCUCCUUAAGAGGCAAUGCUUGUGCUUGUUUAUCUUUGUCCCCAAGCAGGAAAAGACCUUUGUUAAGGCAAUUGGCAGAAACAAGAGAUGUGCAAUCCAUCUCCUGCUACUCAGUCGAGUCAUCCCUUGGCUCACAUUACAUGUUGAUGCCUUGAGGAUAUUAACCCAAGAUCUGUUGAGUCAGAGUCAUAAGUGUAGAAGGGUUCCCACUUUCUGAACCCACACUUCCUUUGUCUGAAGCUCUUCCUGGCCAGGGAUAAGAGCUGUGAGGCACACCCCUCACUCCCAUUUCAUCUGCUUCACCCUAACUCUCAAUGUUAGGGUUAAGAGCUAACAUCACCCGAUACAGUUGGCUUGCUUUUGCAGCCUAACCCUUGUGUGAGCCCACUUUGCCUGUAUAUAGUGUGUGUUAUUUGUGAUUGUUUGCUUUGAUUGCUUUGCCUGUUUAGGAUUAGCUUGCUGCCUGUGCAAGUUAGGAUAGAAACCUUAACAUAGGGCUAUGAUGCAUGAUAACUAUUAGGCUCGAGUCCAGCUCCCUAGUAGUUUGUGUCUCCCUUUGUAUCUGGUUAGGUGAGAAUUUCUUUCCCGUUCAGGGGAACUACGUCGCCCUGAUCCUCAUACCAGAUGAGGUACGUAGGCAGGAGACCGUGCGAGGUCUCUCCGGGCACCCUUUUUAUUUUUUUUGUGUGUUUGCUUGACAGUUACUAGGCUCGAGUGCCUGACUCCUUAGUAACUUGUUUGUUUGUUGACCCUCUCGUGUGUCGGGAUAUGGAUGUAAGACCAGCGAUUGGCUGUCCGUAUCCUGAGUGUGUUUGUUUGGUUCGGAAUCUGAUGUAAGUCCAGCGAUUGGCGUUCGGUUUCCAUGUUUGCCGUUUUGUGUGAAGUCUGACGUAAGCCCAACGAUUGGCAGUCAGUUUCCUGUUUUUGUGCGUGUGUCUGUUUCGGCGUGCGUGAGCCGAACUACGGCAGCUCUGAUUCUCGUUCCAGACGAGAUACGUAGGCAUAGGAUGCGAUGUCCUAGCGAGCCCUUUCCUCUCUUCCCCCACCUGUGUUGUUUUCAGUGUGUGUGUGUGUGAUGUUUGUGAGCAGUUUUAGCAACCUUGUUCUAUCUUUUUGAGCGUGGAUCCCGUCGAGUACGACGGAUGCGUAGGGGUGCUAAUACCUUCCCUUCGCAUAACCGAGUCUCGAUCCCAUCUCUUUGGUCGCGAGACCAUUUCCUUUCCAGGUUUACUUCGAGCGUUUCCUUUCCCUCUUUUGGGAUAAAUAACGCACGGUGGCGGCUCUGUUUGUUUUGGUUUAGCCCGCCGGUUGUUUUUUGCGGAUGCGACAACCAACACAUUGGACAAGCCAUCAUCCUUACAGUUCAUGGAAAUGUGUAGAGCCAAAUUGUGGUUUUUUCCCUCCUCGGGAAGAUCAGCAUCACAGAAGCUCAAGUUGUUGCAAGCGGUUAUGUUUGCAACAAUACUAUCAAACUGUUCUAUUGUGACAUCGUGAUCCACGUAUGCCACGUCCAACACCCUCUGCAAAGCUUCGCGGUGUGGCUCAGAAUUCAUCAACAAAGAGAGCACAUAUAUCUUUGAUGGAGUUUGUAGCAGCUGAUCAACAACAUUAUAUUCACUCCUCUUGAUGAGCCUCAGCAUAUCAUCAUCGUCCUCUCUGAAAAUGUCAGACUGGCCAACCAAGACAGGAGUUUUCACGGAUUUAUCAACAACAGGGUCAACACCCUUCACAAAAGGAUUAUUAGAAGAAGAAGCCCCCACGGGACUGGCAGGAUUAACAACUGCUUUCUUCACAACGUCUUCAUGGGGUUUCGGUUGCACCGAGAAAACACGACCACUACAGGUCACACCACUGACGUCUGAGAUGCUCACAACAGAGGUUGAGGGCAACGACACCUCCUUCCCGUCUUCUAGCAUCACAGCGUUAUACUUGUAGGGAACAACCUUGUCUGAUGAAUACGGGACCGGAGCCGCUGGCUUGAUUACAAGAGCUGGAGAAACCUUCUUCUUGCUGCCAUCAUACUUGACAAUAACAGGCUCAGGAAUUCUGAAUAUGGGAGAGAUAACAUCAACUUCGUCCUCAUUAGGAUUCUGAAGUAUUUUGAUCAUUCCCUGAUCCAGCAUCUCUUGGAUGUCUUUUCUAACUUGUCGGCAUCCUCUCUCGUUGGUAGUGCACACCUGGCACCUAUCAUGGUCAUGCUCAUAGUGGAUAUGUUCACACAACAGCUUAUGCAUAUCGACCAAAGAUUGCCUUACAUCAUUAACAUACAUGACUUUAUAUUUGCUAGGACAACCCUGGACCAUAUUCACAACAACCUUCCCAUGCUCGGGCAAUGGGUUCUUUUUAAUAUUAGGACCUACGUCCUCGAAAAACAAUAUUACACUUCUCACAAGGUCUUGCACCUUGGUCUUCAACGGGUAGCAGUUCUCCACAUCAUGUCCGGGGGCACCGGAAUGAUAUACACAGUGUAGUUCAGGCUUAUACCACCACUGAGGGUUGGUUGGUACAGCAGGAGGGUCUCGUGGAGUAAUCAGCUUUCUGUCUAUCAGAGAAGGAUAGAGCUCAGUGUAUGUCAUUGGAAUCGGAUCAAAAGUGACCCUCUUCCUCUCAUAGCUGGUGUUGGUGUUAUUGUUGUUUCGAGGCUGGUAGGCCUGUUGUUGUGGACGAUGUUGUUGUUGUUGAUGAUGAUGAUGAAUUUCUCUAAAGGCAGGUGCUAUGUGAGCCACCUGGUGUUAGUUAACGGCAGGACGCACACUCUUCCUCUUCACAGAGGGCCUUCUUUUAAUGUGAGAGGACACAACAUGUGUGUCUCUCUCAUUCUUCUUAGCAAAGCCUCCAUACCUCUUUGCUGAAGAGUUGUCUUCUCUGGAUAGUCGUCCUUCACGGACCCCUUCUUCCAGUCUCAUUCCCAUAUUCACCAUUUCGGUGAAGUCCGAGGGAGCACUGGCAAUCAUCUUUUCAUAGCAGAAUGAGCUCAAAGUCUUCAAAAAGAUCUUUGUCAUCUCUUUCUCUUCAAGGGGUGGCACUAUCUGAGCUGCCAAUUCGCGCCAUCUCUAGGCGUACUCUUUGAAGGUCUCCUUGUCCUUCUGUGACAUUGCUCUCAGUUGGUCCCUAUCAGGAGCCAUAUCCAUAUUGUAUUUAUAUUUCUUGACGAAGGCCUCUCCAAGAUCGUUGAAGGAGCGGAUGUUCGCACUCUCCAGACCCAUGUACCACCAGAGAGCAGCACCAGAUAAACUAUCCUGGAAGUAGUGGAUGAGCAGUUGGUCGUUAUCUGUCUGAGUUGACAUCUUGCGAGCAUACGUCACAAGAUGGCUGAGCGGGCAUGUGUUUCCCUUAUAUUUCUCAAAAGUCAGGUACUUUGAAUUUAAUAGGGGUCUUCAUGUUGGGCACAAAGCACAACUCAGCAGCACUCUUACCAAAGAGGUUCUUACCCCUCAGAGUCUUCAGUUCCUUACGCAGCUCAAGGAAUUGGUCUUUCAUUUCGUCCAUCUUUUCAUAAACAUCCAGACCCUCAGAUGGCUCGGAAUGAUAGAUGGUGUCUUCAACUCGGGGCAAGGUGUGCACAACGAAAGGUGGCACAUAUAGGACCGGGUUAGAUGUCGGCAGAGAAGCGAGAGUUAGAGCAAAACCCUCGGGCACAAAGUUGGCGGCUGUCGCAUUACGCGAAAAACCGGCGGGAAACAAGAACAACAGAGCCGCCACCGUGCGUUAUUUAUCCCAAAAGAGGGAAAGGAAACGCUCGAAGUAAACCUAGGAAAGAACAUGGUCUCGCGACCAAAGAGGAUGGGUUCGGGAGUCGGUUAUGCGAAGGGAAGGUAUUAGCACCCCUACGCAUCCGUCGUACUCGACGGGAUCCACGCACAANNNNNNNNNNNNNNNNNNNNNNNNNNNNNNNNNNNNNNNNNNNNNNNNNNNNNNNNNNNNNNNNNNNNNNNNNNNNNNNNNNNNNNNNNNNNNNNNNNNNNNNNNNNNNNNNNNNNNNNNNNNNNNNNNNNNNNNNNNNNNNNNNNNNNNNNNNNNNNNNNNNNNNNNNNNNNNNNNNNNNNNNNNNNNNNNNNNNNNNNNNNNNNNNNNNNNNNNNNNNNNNNNNNNNNNNNNNNNNNNNNNNNNNNNNNNNNNNNNNNNNNNNNNNNNNNNNNNNNNNNNNNNNNNNNNNNNNNNNNNNNNNNNNNNNNNNNNNNNNNNNNNNNNNNNNNNNNNNNNNNNNNNNNNNNNNNNNNNNNNNNNNNNNNNNNNNNNNNNNNNNNNNNNNNNNNNNNNNNNNNNNNNNNNNNNNNNNNNNNNNNNNNNNNNNNNNNNNNNNNNNNNNNNNNNNNNNNNNNNNNNNNNNNNNNNNNNNNNNNNNNNNNNNNNNNNNNNNNNNNNNNNNNNNNNNNNNNNNNNNNNNNNNNNNNNNNNNNNNNNNNNNNNNNNNNNNNNNNNNNNNNNNNNNNNNNNNNNNNNNNNNNNNNNNNNNNNNNNNNNNNNNNNNNNNNNNNNNNNNNNNNNNNNNNNNNNNNNNNNNNNNNNNNNNNNNNNNNNNNNNNNNNNNNNNNNNNNNNNNNNNNNNNNNNNNNNNNNNNNNNNNNNNNNNNNNNNNNNNNNNNNNNNNNNNNNNNNNNNNNNNNNNNNNNNNNNNNNNNNNNNNNNNNNNNNNNNNNNNNNNNNNNNNNNNNNNNNNNNNNNNNNNNNNNNNNNNNNNNNNNNNNNNNNNNNNNNNNNNNNNNNNNNNNNNNNNNNNAUGACUUGACAGGAAGCAAAAGCCAACACCACACUAACUGCACAGGAAGCAAGAAGGGUCCGAUUGCAACUCAGGGCAAGAGAAAAGGGGAUAUCUCAAUCACAACAGGGGGAGAGAAAAGAAUUAGUGUUAGUUGUUUAGUCACACUCGACCAGACAUCGCAUCUCGUGCCUACGUAUCUCAUCUGACAUGAAAUCAGAGUGCCGUAGUUCGGCAAACAUACUGUUGGUUUGUGUUUUAAGUGAGGCACACGUUCACUGCCAAUCUACCCUGAUGCUCGACCUUUGAGACUUACUCAUCUGUUAGUAGAAAGGAGUUAACGUAUCUAAGAGGGGAUGAUGUUUUUGUGUUUUAAGAAGGCUCAAGCAAGAAAGAAGUCCUAUACGAAGGAAAACCGUGCACCUAUAAUGACAUGCAAACAGAACUACAGCGAUCCCAAACAAACCUAAGAGGGAUGAACAACACCAAAAGCACACACAACACUCAAUAAAUAAAACCACCAACAGGGGGCUCAACAGGGUUAGGUUUAUCGAGGGUCAUAUCAACCCUCCAACAACAAACCUCUGGAAUGGGUGAAUGUUGCUCUUAACCUUGCCAUGAGGGGCUAAGGUGAAGCAGAUGAAAGGGUGAGCUGAAGAUAAGACUCACAGCUCUUAUCCCUGGCCAGGAGAGCUUUAGACAAGAAUGUGUGGGUUCAGAAGGUGGGAAACCCUUCUACACAUUUGAAACUGAUCACUGUCAAUUACAAGAUCUUGGGUUUGUAUCUCAAGCAUCAACCAGUGUGUGAGCAAAGCAGAAGACACACAGUAAUACAGGGAUAGGUUGCUUAUCACCUUGUUCUGCCAUAUCCUCUUCACUUAGGGGUCUUUGACUAGUACAAGGACAAAUAAACAUACACAACAUUGCCUCUAAGGAGGACUCAGACAGUGCCUGGCCAAGACAGGCAGGUCUCCAGACUACAAUGAAGAUUAAGGAAUACCCUCAAUGCAAAAUUCCUUAUACAAGCAAAGCAAAGCAAAAGUUCAACAAGGAAACUAAGCAACUAAAACACCUGAAACUAGUCAAGCAGAUGUUAGUAGCAACUCAAAUCAAGCAAAAGGAGACAGACAUAACACUCAAUCAGAAGCAUGUGUAUGUGCAAGGCACAUGACUUAGGCAUGUGAGCCAAUCACCUACCAAAAAAAACCAAGGUUAAAACAAUAUAUUAUCCAACAAACUCAAUUCCAAAGAUAAUGGCCCUCAUUGGCAUUUUUGGUCCCUACAAACAACAAGCUCAAAAGUGAUUAACAGGACCACUUAGGGCAAGCCUAUGGUCAAAGAGAAUGAAAAAGUCAAAACAGAAAAGGGCAAGCAUUCAAAAAUCAGGUUUAAUCAAUCAAGAAACAAUUCCAAUUGGGUUCAAUGUUCAUAUCAUGCAUCGCCAAUCAAUUCAUUAGGCAAAGAAGUCAAAAACAUGGCAAGUGAGAGCUCAUAGAGGUCAACAGAAAAACUUGCAUCAAAAGUCAACUCAAACAUUUCCAAAAAUCCCCAAAUAAAUCAUUUGAUCAAUCCUAACACCUAGCAUGGUAAGCAUGUCAAAUUUCAUCACAUUUGGACAAGUGGAAGGCAGUUCAAUGAAAAUCAGGAAAGUCAUAAGCUAAUUGAACAUGCUUAAGGAAGUCAACCAAAACAUGCCAUCAACUUAGAAAAAAUCAUAAAUCAGAGAUGGUGUAUGAUAAAUGAUGGGACUAAAACCAUGGAAAAGAUGAGGAUGUUAUAAUCUCAUGCAAAAUUUCAUGUCCAUCAAUAAAGUAUGAGAAUUUCACAAAUGGAAUGGGCAACAGCAUCAUAAUAAGUCCACUUUUUGGUCAAACAGGGGAGAAAAUCUCAAAACAAUUAGGAAAAUGGCAUAAUUAAUUCCAAGAAAAAUCACAAGUGAACUAAACAUAUAAGAGUAGGUUCAUGCAAAAAUUGAGGUCAACUUUGAGUCAAGAAGGCAUGGAUACAAAAAUCAGCAAAUUGCACAUCCAGGUGUGACACAAGUUGUCACACCCUACUUCAAAAAUUCACAACUCUCAAACCACAUAAGAUAAAUUCAUGAUCUUUACAUCAAAAUAAACAUGGAUGAGUGUAGAUUAAGCACAAAAAAUUUCAGAUCCAAUGGACAAAGCAUCACAAUUUCACAAAAGAUUUGGCAAGAUGUACAAUAUUUGGUCACAUUCUACAAACCCUAAUGCCAUUUAAAAUUCAAUGAUCAUAAAAAUCUGGAAAGAUUAUGAUAAAAAAGUAGAGCUCAUGAUGAAGAUGAUGCAAAAAUUCCCACUAAAUUUGGAUUUGAAAUGGAUGAUUUAUGAAUUUUGCAAGAUUGACUAACAAAGUGAAAUAAAAAUGAAACAAAUAAAUGAAUUAAAUUGAAUUUUAAAGGACCGGAUGGCAUAUUUGUAAUUUUGGGAACCACUUAACAAUGCGCUGCCGUUUUGGCCACGAGAAUGAAAUAUUGCUAUUGGUUCAUGACUCUACAGUACCAUGCAACACGUACAAAUCCAAAAAUCUGGGAAAUGGAUGAAGAUUUCUAGGGUUUAUGCAUACAGUAUGAAGCUCAUCUCUCCCAAAUCGAGUUUUCAAGAAUUUUUCCAGAAAUCCAAAAUUGAAUACACACAAAUGCUCAGCAAACAACCAAUAACAUGAAUCCAGCAAUGAUUUUCAAUAAAACACAGCACACAUCAUGAAUCGAGCAAGAAUCAAAAACAACAUCAAACUUCAUUUCAAAAUAUCUCAACCAUACUCAACUAUUUCAUGCGAUUCAAAGAAUCAAAAAAUGCUCCGGAACAAAGGAUUCUUACAUCUAAGCAUGGCAUGCGAUUUGAGAAAUAGAGAGAUCGAUUUCUUACUGUUUUUGGAAGGAAAGUUGGGAUUCAGUUGCUAUUUUGAUGUUUGCUGGUAUGAAACAGGACGAAACCAAGCGCCUCCAAAUGAUGAUUGGUGAAGACUUUGAGCUCAGUGAAGCUUGGAAACAAACAAAUCGAAUUUCACCAUUGUUGGAGCUUGGAAAAUCAGUUCAUGUAAAUGCUGUUACAGUCAAGAUUCAAGGCCCCAAACAACUUCCAAAGUGAUGGCAAAGUGAAGAACAACUGAGCAGGGGUCGAGUUCUUUGAGGAUUUGAGCAGAAAUUUCCAAAAUGCAAGAUGAGAGUAUUUGAGAGAAAUGAUCUUUUUUCUGUCUUAGAUGGCUGCUAGCUAGGGUUGAAAUGACAGAAAAUAUGUUUAAAUACUUCUGUUUAGGCUUGGAUAAGUGAAUGCUAAUCAUGCUUAGUCUUAAUGAAACAAUUUGCCAAUUUUGCUAAACUUCAACCAUUUGCACAUGGGUGUAUGUUCUGCCCGAGUUUGGGCUUUGCACAAGUCUUAAAUGAGGUCCUAAACCAAUCCCAAUUGGCCAACUUGACAGAAAUUGCUUAAAUCAAAACUUCAAAUUUUCACUUCACUUGAAUUUAAACAUGCUAGGUUCAAAAGUGCCAUUUUGAUUGGCAAUGUUUUGGCACAUGAAAUUUAUAUUUUUGGAAAGAGGAGGUUAAAUGUGGUUUGUAGGAAAAAACCUCACCAAUUUUGGCCAAAGGGUUUGAGAGAUAUGGCCUUUUGAAGUUCAAGAUUUUGUGAAAAUGAAUUGAUCAUAUCUUGACAACCAUACAUGGGAAUUGAGAGUUCUUGGACUUUUUGGAAAUGGGAGAACAAGAUCUUCAACUUAAUGGCCUUUUGAAGUUCAAGAUUUUGUGAAAAUGAAUUGAUCAUAUCUUGACAACCAUACAUGGGAAUUGAGAGUUCUUGGACUUUUUGGAAAUGGGAGAACAAGAUCUUCAACUUUCAUGUUGGGCGAAAAUUCAUUUGAAGCUUGUAUCAUGAUGUAGGUUUGGGAUCAAGAAGUUUCCAUUUUUGGCAGUUAAAAUUACAGGUCCACUUUCUAUUUUUGGAGAUUUUCUUAUUGGCUUCAAAUUUUUCAAUGAUAUUGAUUUCCAUGAUAUAUGAGGCCUUUUGGGACAUGAAUAAGCUCUCUCAAACCAAAUCCAUCCAUCAAAACCAAAGAAUCAACCACAGUUGACCAAGUUUGACUUUUUAGGGUUUCUGACUGACUGUGCAUGAACUGAUGACUUCUGAACAUCCAACCCUUGACCAAAACACUUCAAAUGGAUCCCCAAGUCAUGUGAACAAAUUGGACCAACCCUAGGGCCUUGGCUCCUUGAGAAACACCCUUGCUUGCUUGGUUGACUGAUCUCCUGAUCAGUUUGACCUAAUUUCUUGCUUGGCUUGCACUUGAGGCAACUGGGACAAUGCAAUGCUAACCCUUGCUUGCUUGGUUGACUGAUCUCCUGAUCAGUUUGACCUAAUUUCUUGCUUGGCUUGCACUUGAGGCAACUGGGACAAUGCAAUGCUAUGCAGUGGACCAUGAUAUGCUAUGACCUAAUAUGAAAAUGUAUGUACAAUGAUAGGUGCAAAUUUGAGGUGCUACAGCGGGCAUUCCCCACGGGAACCCGACUGGCAUAGAUGGCACAAAGUGAGCCGUUGCAGCAGGCACAGUUGAGGUAGUAACCUCAGAAAUGACAGUCCUCUGGGGAGGAGUUGCAGGAGUUGCUGAAGCUUGGCUUUGAGCAGCCAGCACUGGCUCCAUCAUGGCAGUCAGCCUAGCAAUCUCUUCUUUCAGAUCCCGGUUCUCUUGCUCUAAGUGCUCCAUGAUCAUUGGAUGAUUAGCUCUUGUGUUAUACCGGUUCGUCAGCUUGUCUUCAAAAUAAAUGAAGAGCAGAGAGUUAGACCACGAAUCAAGAAGCUCAGAACAAAACCUGCUUAUGCAUAUGAUGCACGCAAUGUUUGUGCAUAUGCUUUAUUUUUAUUUGAGGAACUUUAUAGAGAUCUCAUUUGCAAACAUUUGAAAAUAUUAAUCUUUUAAGACAUAUAUGGAAUACUCAUAGCAAUAAUAUUUGGAAAUUUUACACCAAUGAAGUAAUAUAGUUUUGGUAACCAAAUACAAUACAAGAGAAAAGGAUAAUAAACAUCCUAUGGAGCCCUAGAAACAAUCGUCCAAAGCUCUCGAGACCGGAAGAUAAGUUGCACGAAGCCUCUUCACCUCUCUCUCAUAAGCUGCUUCCAUAUCCUCCUUCUCCUUGGCAAGACGAUCAUACUUCCUCUUCUAAAACCUGGAUGACUGAGGAAGAAGAGAAGUAACCACAUCAUCAGGCUCAUCGAUAACAUGAUGCUCUAGAAACUCUAUCAUUGCAUCUUUAUCUCUGAGCUGUUGAAGAAGUUCUUCUCGCUCACAAACCCAAGCACGCGACCGAUCUUCAUCUCUUAACUCCUCUACUCCUUGGUUAGGGAGGGUUGAAGGCCCAACCAUAACCAUAGGGUAGGUCUCGGAUAACCAUAGGGCAUGUGGUACUCGAGAGCUCUCUUCUUCACCCAAGCGGUGUAGGGUUCCAAAGCAAUACAAUUCUUCGGACCAAGCUCCUUCCUUCCCUUCCUAUGGACUUUACGCCAGGCGUGGACCAUCAUGUCCUUCAAGUUCUGGGGAUCUUUACCCUCUUGAAAGAACACACCUUCCAACAGAAUGUUGUUAGGUUUAUCCUUUAAGGGGAACCCAAGCUAACGGCGAGCUAAAACAGGGUUGUAGUUAAUUCCACCACAUGUACCAAGAAGAGGCACAUUGGAGAAUUCACCACAAGAUUCAAUAAUAUGGACACCAUCAUACACACGGUUAUACCAAAAGAUAUCAUCAUUAGUGAGAGACAUAAGUCUCGUAGACCACCAUAGACAUCCCUUGUUCUCCUUGAAGGCGAGCGUCUGAGGCAAGUGCGAAAUAAACCACUUGUACAACAGAGGCAGACAACACACAAUGGAUCCACCACCCUUUGCAUUCCUCAUAUGCAACCUUGUUCUCCUUGAAGGCGAGCGUCUGAGGCAAGUGCGAAAUAAACCACUUGUACAACAGAGGCAGACAACACACAAUGGAUCCACCACCCUUUGCAUUCCUCAUAUGCAAAGAGAAAUAAGUGUCUCCCAACAGAGUUGGAACGGGAUUAAGAGAAUAGAAAACCCUAAUAGCGUUCACAUCCACAAAAUUGUCGAUGUUGGGGAAUAACACUAACCCAUAGAUGAGAAGUACAAAUAUGGCUUCAAAGGCGUCCUCACUCAUGGCCUUCCCAAACAAAGUAGCUUGGAUAAUGAGAAAAUCAGAUGGGAGACCUUGAAUUCCACCUUUGGUAGUCAUAUGAGCAAUAAUAUCAGAUACAUCUAUAUGAAGCAUGUCAGCAAUCUCUUGGGAAGAAGGAACCCUCUCCAAACCACUGAACGAUAACUAAUCCAGAAUAGGUAUACUCACAUGAUAGGCAUACUCCUCAAGUGUAGGAAAAAGCUGGAAAUCCGGAAAAGUGAAGCACCGAUACAGAGGAUCAUAGAACUGCACCAACACACUCAUCGGACCUUCAUCAACCUGGGUAGAAAGAAUAGACAGAAGCUUCCCAUGGCGCGCUUUGAACUCCAAAGGCUCUAAUACAUAAGAUGUCAAAUUCCUUAACUCUUUCAAGUCGGGUUGUUUGAAACUGUACUUCUUCGUAUUCCUUCUUUGCUUAUCCAUGUCUGAAAAUUUGCAAAUAGACCUCUUAAGUUCCUUGAAAAUUUUCUUGUUGAUGAUAUGGAUGCGUAUGAAUGCAUGAAUGCAUGGAUGUAGCAAUCACACUCAAGGAUCAAGCAAGUCACACCACACAAAGGUCACGGGAUGGCUCAAGUCAUCAUCAAUAUCAAUCAUCCAUUUUGGUGGAUUAUGGUUUUCACCUUAUCAACACCCAAGUUCCAUUGAUAUUGAGAAUGUACGAGAAUGGAUCAACCGUGAAUCAAGGGUUUGUUGUAAGUCACGAGCAUGAGGUCUUGGUUAAGAACCACCCAAAGGGAGUGUACUAUGGUUAAACCUGACGAUCAUGUUCUAAAAAGGUCCCCAUAGUCAUCAUCUCAUCUUUCAGAUAUUAUCGGAUAAAACGACUACUCGUAUUCAAAAAAUAUUCUCAAGAGAGACUCUUAUGAGUGUAGUAUCGCGUAACAAUCGUAUCAAAUCUUACACUUGAACGACCUCCGCACUACGUCCUAAAAUAGGCCAAGAGGGGCUAGGUAUCUAAGGUCCUUGGCUUCUAAGGUUUAUAUUGGAAAGAGUAAUGCCUAACCACGUCUACUCGUGUGACAUUAUUGAUCCCAACAAGACCUCCACCAAGUGAAUGGGCUUGCAAGUCAACUUGCUAAGGAAUAACUCCACACAAGUCAACAAUACUACGCCAUUCUCUUAUCAUAAGUGCACUCGAGUUCGGGUAUAGAACUUAUCUCACAAGAGACUACCAAGUACACAAGCAAUUGAUAUAUCAAGCAAUUCAUACAUUACAAACAAUACAGUCAUCCCAAAUUUGCACAAAAAUAUGUCACAAAUAAAUAUAAACAUACAACACAUAUAAGCAAAAAGUAGGCUAAACCCACUAGGAGAUUACUCCCCAGUGGAGUCGCCACUUUUCUGUAGCGGGGUAUUCAUUACCUUAUGGUUUAUUGACUAAACCAAAAGUAAACAUACAAUUUGAGUCGCCACCGCACUUUUAUUUGUCCAAAGGAAAGGCUAAAAAGCAAACAAAAGCCAAGUAAGAAGUUUUAUCAAAUCAAAAACUAAUAAAAAACAGUCUCUAGACCCAUUCCCCCAACCAAUACUAAUGGGAAGGUUUUACGCACCCAAAACAUCCUUAGUACUCUAAGGGAACCUCUUUUUGCAAAUGUGUGUUGUAGGUUGGUAUUUGUGAAAAUAUUUGUGCAAACAGAUUGGGGGGACGAGAAAAGAAUAGAUUAUAUUUACAAUUUUGUUGUUUGAAUGAAUGAACCCAUUGCCUAUGUACCAUCACAAAGGUAGGAUCAAAACCUCGUAGUUCGGGGUAAAAAUCUCAAAGAUUUGUGAAUUGAUUUGAUCAAAAGCUUUAAGGUCUUUUGUUAUCAAAGGGAGAGAACUCAACCUAAACCAACAAUCCACCAUGUGAGGAGGGCUUCAUCAUACUAGUGAGGGGUUAACCCUAUAAUAAUUAUGGAAGACUUAUAAUCCAACCACUAAGGAUAAGGUGAGGUUUACAUCAACCACUAUGAUAACUCAAACCUAUGGCUAAUGUUUAUGAAAAGUUUUUAACAAAGGUGGCCAUUGGAACCACAAAAACAACUUGAAGUGAUUUGUAUUUACAAGUUAAGUUUAUUUACAAAAUGAAGUCAAAGUUGAAUGAAGAUUUAUUCACAAUGAGUGUUAAUGAAAAGAUUUUGAAAAGUCAAAGGCAUAAGGCCUAGGUUUCUAAUUUGAAACAAAGUCAAAGUUUGCACAUAAAUGAGUUUGACUUGGGUUAGAGUGAGGAGAAGAAAAGAAGGGCUAGUCUUAAGGCAUACACAGAUAAGAGAAGAGAUAAAACCCUUGGAGUUCCUUUUCUUGAAAUCAUAGAGAUGAUUCAAGAUGCUCCUUUCCUUUGGACUUAGAAAUCACUCAAGCAAUCAAACAAAUAUUUAGAUUCAAGCUCCUAGGAUCUCCAAUUCGCUUGUCUCUCUUAACUUGGCUACUCAUGACAAUGAUCCUUCUUACUAUCUCAAGAUGGAAUCCCCAUCACACAAGAGCAAACAUCAAAAGGUUCAUAACACAAUAGGAGGAAUGGACAAAGAAUGAGUUUAGAUUAGGGGUCCUUUGAAGUCAACUUUAAGAUUUAGCAUUCUAAAGGCAUGAGGCUUAGUUGCUCUUCAACAAAUUUAGCAUUCUAAAGGCAUGAGGCCUAGUUUCUCUUGAACUCCUUUAAGCAUAGGUAAGGUCCUAAUUCUAAGUCUUUUCUCCUUUUUGCAUUGGGCUCACACAAACAAAGACAAAACAAACACAAGGCAACAAUAUAUUUAUAUACAAUAAUGAGCUCAAAUGAGCAAAAGGAAAAUGACAUAAACAUAAAAUAUGUGCUCAAGUGAGCAAAGGGAAAAGCAAAAAACACAAGGCAACAAUAUAUUUAUAUACAAUAAUGAGCUCAAAUGAGCAAAAGGAAAAUGACAUAAACAUAAAAUAUGUGCUCAAGUGAGCAAAGGGAAAAGCAAUAUGAAUAAAUGAGCAAGAAAUUAAAUUGCAUUAAAGUAAAUUGCAAGAAAUUAAAUGCUCAAAUUAAAGUUAGUAAUUAGUGGUUAUUUUAGUGUGUCAUAAGACAAUUUAGCGCUAUGUUAAGCAAUCGUAAGUGGACUAAUGUAGUAGUCACACCUAUCUGAGACUGGCCAAUAAAACUAUAGGCAAAUAAAUACAAGUUAGAGAUCAUGACUAGUAAGCCAAGCUCCUACAACUUGCCAUGCCAAAAGAAAAGAGGAAAGACCUUGUAUGGACUUUAGGUUUUUUGCUUGACCAAGAAGCAACCUACCUUGGACACAAAGCAACUCACUUGAUCUUGGAUCAAGUUGAGUUUGAUUUGGAUCAAAGAAGGUUAAACCUCUCAUAUGUCAAGACCAACCAUGAGACAUUAACUCAUUGGCCAAAAAUAAAAAGAAAGUGAGAUGAAGAUGAAAUGAAAUGGAAAGGGAAAUAAAGUGUCAAAUACAAUUGGUCAAAAGUGAAUCAAAUCAUCAUCAACCAAUGUUAAACAGAAGAGAAAUGAAGAUUAGAAGUCAACAAGUCAAACAUAUUUUUUUGGUAUUUUUGGAAUUAAAAUACAUGCAAAAUUAAAAUGGACAAAAUAUGGUAAAACCUCAAAUUCAAUUCAAAUCAACUUCAACAAGUCCAAUUAAAUUCUCAUAGGUCUAACAUGGUCAAACAAGGUUUGACAAAAAAUUUCAACAAUUUUUUAAAUCAGAAACUAUUGUAAAUCAAUUAAAAACAAUAAAAAUAACACAAUAUGAAUUAAAAUCUCAAAUAAAUUUCAAAUCAAUUAAGAAAUUGAUGAGACUAUUUUUUAUUGACUUAUCAUGAUCCAUAUGUGUUAAGAAAAUAUUUUUGGAUUUUUCAGAUAUCAAAAAGUAUUUAAAAUGAAUUAAAAACUAUUAAAAAAAUUGAUGAGACUAUUUUUUAUUGACUUAUCAUGAUCCAUAUGUGUUAAGAAAAUAUUUUUGGAUUUUUCAGAUAUCAAAAAGUAUUUAAAAUGAAUUAAAAACUAUUAAAAACCAAAUAAUUCACAGAAAAUAGUAAAUGAAUUCACAAAAAUAAUUAAAAAUCAGAAUAUGAAACUAGAUUUUUCAAGAAACAAUUUGGCAUUGGUCUCAUAUUUUUGUGACUUCAAAUAAAAUAUGAUGAAUUUUUGAAAAUAAAAGGAAAUAAAUGAAAUUAAAACAGAAAUAAGAAAAUAGCAAAAAUCCAACGCCACAUGAUCCUUUCAUUAAUUGACGUGGCAUUAUCACACGGCUCAGAGGCGUUGGUGCACGAAGGACCUUGGUCAAGCGCGCCACAAAAGGAAUUAAAACAAGUCAACAUAACACACGGCCAUGAUUAAAACAUUUGAGAGAGAUCCAAGGGAUCAGAAGCUCCCACGUGGGGAUGGUGGUGGAAACCACCAUCUUCUCCGGCCAGCUAACUGGUUCCGGCCACCACGCGCUGGCUUUUAAAAAUAAACUGGGGUAUCAAAAUGAAGCUGGGGUGAUGUACAUCAUCACCCCUGUGACCUUGGAUCUUCCUCAAUGUUUCUAUUUAGAGAGAAACAAGAGGUUGAAGAUCAUGGUGUUUGAUCUGGAAUGUCAUGAUUCAUGAAAUUAAGACCACCACUGACCUACCUCUUGCUCGAGGACUUCAGAAAACAGUUCAAACUCAAGCAAUUCACAUUGUAUAGGAAUUAAGACUUAAAGAUCAACUAAUGAUGUUGAAAUUCAAGCUUGAAAUUGAAAAUGAAAAACUGAAAUUCCUUUGAGUGAGGUUGGGUUUCCAAUUCUGCAGAGUUUCAGAUCUCCUUCUGGUUGAAAUUUGAAUGAGCUAGCACUUCUAUUUAUAGUUGGAGAUGAUGCAAUGGGGUGCUUUGCUCGUGUACAUGGAACAUGGACUCUUCAUGCAUGGGCUUGUACAGACGCGUGCAAAGCCCAAAAAUGGAUGAAAAUGCAAGCUGAACUCAAAUGCAAAUGGUUUGGACGUGUAAUUGGAGCUGCAUUGGCUUGUGCAUGAAGUUAUGAUUUGAAUUUCAUAAUUGAACCUAAACAUUGAGCUCUUCGAAACUCAAACAUGAAAAAUCCAAAAAUGGUCAUGUGAGUAAUGGUUGGAAAGAUCUUGACAUAAGGAACAAAAGUCAUGUUGGGAAAAAACUCAUUUGGAGUUUGGAAAUUUAUGAAAACUGGCUGGGAAGAUUUGGGUGCAAAACAUGUCUUUGAAAAAUUUGCCAAAAACAAGCAACUUUAAACCCUUCUGUUUCAAUGAUGCAAGCCUCAAAUGGAAAAACCUUAAACAUCAUAUUUGUAGAUAUUUUCAAGAUGAUAAAUUUGGACUUAAAGUUUGCAUCAUUUGGAUUUUUACUGAGAAAGUUAUGGGCACUUGAAGUUGGACAUUUUUCAAAUUCAAUGGUUUUGGUCCAAAGUGACCUAUAAUGUUUUGUAUUAUCACAUGUGUUUCUUUUAGGAUUAUUAAAUUUUAUCCAACAUGAAAAUUGAAUUAAACAUCUUAAGCUUUCCAAUUCAAUUGGUCUCACCUAAAAAUCAUAAAAAAUAAGGAAGUUAGGUCCUUGGGAAGUUGACCUAAAAUUAUGGUUUCAGUCAAAAUGACCUAUAAUGUUUUGAAAUGAAUGAUGACCUUCCAAGUUUCAAAUGGAUUUUUGAUGAACAUUAAAGUUGUUCAUAUGGUUCUUAAGAACAUUUUUAUCUUGGGUUCAUCUUCAUUUGACAAACACAUUACAAGUUGUGUCUCAGUGAUCUUCAGUUUAGUCAGAUGAUUUGACUGGUCAACUUCUCAAGGCCAAACCUCAAAUCUUGAUGAAUGUAUGAUUGAGGAUACUCACAUAGGCUCAUAUAUGCAUAAAAUAAUGAAUUAAAGAACUUCACUUGAUUGAAUUUGAUCAUAGGUUGAGGUUGCUUCAUGAGCAAGGCACAGUUGAACUAGGGUUUCCUUGGGAAACAAUCCUCAAGCCCUUUGGUUUAUCUUGAUCAAAUUGGCAAAGUGAGAUACUUGGGAUACAUAUAUGAUGAUUAGGAACUUUGUGGACCAUUGUCAUGAUUGUUCCCAUCCUCAUCUAGCCAUUUAAUUGAGCUUAGGAGCCUCCUAGGAGCAUUGAAGCACAUGAUCAUUUGAGCUUCAAAACAAAAAGAGUUAGUGACAUAUUUUUGUGCUUUUGGUUAGUAAACAAAUAAGAAAAGCAAUAAUAUACAAUUAAAUCAUGCUUGGUGGUCUCAAACCACUCUCAUAAGUCCCAACCCCCUAGGGUAAAGGAGCCACACAUGCUAUGAUCCUUGAGGCAAUGCAUUUAGCAAAUGAUAUGAUGCCAUGAGGGAUCUUAGGGUCAAAAUUAGGGUCUUACACCUUAUAGAGGUUUGUGUUAGAAGCACAAGCCUCAAAGAUAGCAUUGAGUCUGCCAGUAGCCUCACCUUCAAACUGAGUCAACAAAUUAUCCAAGGGAGUGGGGCGAAUGUUGGUUUGAGUAGAAGUCAGAUCAGAGUAAGGACAAGAGUUCCUUUCUAGGACUGUGAUGACUUCAACAUAUGGUUUGGACUGUUUGACUAUAUCAUUACAUUCCUCAGAAUUAGAGUUAAGUUCAUAUCGAGUUUCGGUGUAAGAGGAAAUGUUAAUGGUUAGGUAAGAAGAAUCAGGGGUAGAAGGUUUGUUGUGUGUGAGUCUUUCCAUAAAAGAACCAAAAACAGGUACAUCAAUGGGUUGGUGGAUGGAGUUGGUGGUGAGAGUGUGUUUCUGGAAAGGCACAAGCUUCAGGCAUGGUUAUAAGGAUUAAAGCAGGUGUGGAAAAAUCAGAGUCAGAGGGAUUGUUAUCUGUAUCAGAUGGUUUAUUAAUAGGAGUGGUUAGAAAAGUGGUACAUGCAUUUAAGGUUGGUUGUGCAAUGGUUAUUAUGGUGGUUGAUUCAACACAAGUUGAAGUGGGUAUAGGGAUAGUGACAGAGAUAGAUGGCAUAGAAGUGGUGGUUGUUUCAGAGGUGCUGGAGGAUUUUGGGGAAAGGGUGGUUAUAGUUCCAAAAGGAAUAUACGGUGAUGGAGAAGGUUGAGGAGGAAUAGAUGAAGUAGACAACACAAAACUUACAGAGUGAAAACGAGUCUCAGUCAUAGGUAUCUUAUCAUGAUUCCCAAAAGGAUUCACUUUAGAAGAUCUAGUAGUCUCAGAAUGAACAUGUUCUGCUCUUAUAUCUUUUAGAAUGCUAAGUCUAUAAGUCCUAGCAAUUUUGGUGGGAGUUAUGACUGAUUCAGAAGGUCCUUCACCAAAAGUUAGAGUCUUCCUUUUCCUUUUUAGAGCGUACACAUCAACAUGGAAUACUAAAAGUUCUUUAAAGAUCACCACUUACUUAGGACGACCCUCUGCCAAACGGGCAUCGUUAAAAUGUUACAGGACCUCCUUAGUUUCUUCCUGUGAGAAAAGAGGAUAAUAAUCCACAUUCUAGAACCAACAAAUAUCGUGUCUAGAAGUUCUAAAGGGUUGACAACAUUUGAAAUUAGAGACAUAUUCUUCAGAGUGCGUCCACUAAAAUGCUUCCCAAUAACAAAUUCAAAUUCCUUUGUCAUUCCUGUAUCAAUAAGCUUCUUUAGGAGUUUGAUCUCAAAUAAGAUGUCAGAAAUCAACUUACCCAUAGGUAUCCAAUAUCUCAUCUUGGCACCUUCAUUUUUGGUUUCCUUUACCAUUUCCCUUGGAUACUUGAAAAGAAUUAAGGGAAAAUUCAUUUACUCACCAAUUUCGAGAUAGUACAACAAGUACUUCUGAUCCGUAUUGAUGUAAUCUAUCGAGCUUAUAGCCUUUUUGUGAUGAAUGAAUCCCAGAACAAUCUUGACCAAAUUCUCAAAUUGUUAUGAAGAUCCUUAGCAUUAGAGGAGGGAUUUCCAUUCUUGAAGAUGGAUUUUUCAAUUCCUGCAAUCUUAUCCUUCUUCGCAGUCAUACCAAAACAUCUCUUCCCAGAACCAUCAUGUCCCAGAAGAGUAGAAAUUGACUUUUUAGAAAUGGAUAUCUUGUGACCCAAAACAUAAGACUUCACUUGAAGAUUUGAGGCUUCAGCAAACACCCUGAAUUUCUUGACCAACUGAUCAUAAAUCAGUCCUUUUAGACGUUCAAAAUAUCCUUCCCAUCCUUGUGAUCUUAGAGUACCAAAAAGAUAAAGUCCAUUGGCUUUGAGAUUGUCGAAAUCCACCAUUAAUUCACACAUAAAUUUUAACUUUUCAACAAGAUUAUUCAAAGUGAGUUCUUGAAGUCCUUCGAGAACUUGGUUUUGUUGUUCUUCUUGAGAUUACUGAGAAGAUUGUCGAGAAGACACCAUUGUUGAAGAGCAAAAGGGUCUUAGGGUUUACUGCAACUUUUGGCUUAAAGAGUGAAAGUGUUGGUUAUGAGCGUAGCAAAGGUGUGUGAAGUGAGUUGAGUGAGUUUAAAUAUAAAAUUUCGCAAUCAUGAUAAAUAGAUAUUAGAUCGAAAAUCUGACAAGAAGGUAAAGUGUGAAAGAUUUUACCUAAUCCCAAGGUAUAUUCACCCAAUGUGUCACAUCAUCUGAUCAGAGACAGUUCAGUUUUCUAAGAAAAUUGUCUUAAAACAGUUCCACUAAUCGAGACUGAUUUAUAGUUAUUUAAUGAAUAAAUUAUUCAUUAUCCAUAAAGUAGAUUUAUUUAAGUAAAUAAGUUAUGACUGGAUAGAUCUGGACUUAUGAAUCUUUCUCAUACAUUCAGAACAACUGACAAAUCUUAGAGUCUUAUUUUAUCAUUUUGACAAAAACAUCCUUUUCAUUCUGGACACAAAUCCAUUUUUUAAUUUUUCAUAAUGAAAAUAAAUCUAUCUUCGGCAAGGGGUUUUGUAAAGAUAUCAGCCCAUUGAUGGUCUGAACCAAUAAAUUUUAGAUUUAAAAUACCCUUAUAAACAUAGUCACGAAUAAAGUGAUGUUUUAUCUCUAUAUGUUUUGCUCUAGAAUGCAAAAUAGGAUUCUUAGAUAAACAAAUAGAAGAAGUAUUAUCACAGAGUAUAAGAGUGUUACUCUCAUAUAUCUAGAAAUCUUAUAGCUGGCUUUUCAUCCAAAGCAUCUGAGUGUUGCAUUCGGAGGCUGCUAUGUAUUUAACUUUAGCAAUUGAAAGUGUUAUUGUUGAUUGCCUUUUGCUGGACCAUGAGAUCAGUUUAUCUCCUAAAAACUGAAAGCUUCCAUAACUGUUUUUCCUUUCAAGUCUAUUUCCAACAUAGUUAACAUCACAAUAUGAAGGAGAAUUGUGAUCCAAAACGCAACAGAAUUUAAAAAUUUGUCCUUUAGUGAUCCUUACAAAUGGGCAUGAUCAGUGAUAGAAUUGUUACCUCUUGUGGUGAUUGAAACCUUUGAUGCAUAUCUACAGAGCGAUCACGAACGUUGAAUGGUGACAACGCCUCUACUCAGUCCACACGAACGGAUUCCUUCAAUCUCAGUGCUAGCUGCUACGAAUGAAGGCUUUGAGUGUGUGUGUGUGUGUGUGUGUGUGUGAGAGAGAGAGAGAGAGAGAGAGAGAGAACAACGCCUCUACUCAGUCCACACGAACGGAUUCCUUCAAUCUCAGUGCUAGCUGCUACGAAUGAAGGCUUUGAGUGUGUGUGUGUGUGUGUGUGUGUGUGAGAGAGAGAGAGAGAGAGAGAGAGAGAAACAAAAUUACAACUGCACAAAUGCUUCUACACAAGGGUUCUAUUUAUAGAGCCACUUGUGUGGGCUGCAAGCUAAAAAGCCUACUUAAGUGUAUGUGGCAUAUACCUUAUGAUAUGCCAAAAUCACUUAAGCGCGUGGUACCUUACCAUAUUUCGUAUUCUACUUAAGUACGCUGUACCUUACGAUGUUCUACAAUUCACUUAAGUGCACCGUACCUUAUGGUGUUCCUUAGUUACUCUAUCUCUCAUCAAUCCGUCUUUUUGUGUGUGACCCUAUAGGUUUUCGCGACAUUAGCAAUUAUAUUAAAUCACGUAUUUAACAUAAUAAACAAUGAGCGGUAUCUAGCAACACAACACUGCUACCCAAGACACGAAAAUGUCAUGUGAUCUGACAAAUCCUUUUGUGAUAAUACUUAUGUGUAUAAUCACCCUUUUUCCCUUAUGUUUAUAUUGAACACAAGGCAUAGACUGUGUCAUCCUUGUCCAGUUCAAUAUUGGGCCCGUAGACAUUUGUCCUAUUACGAAGGAUGGCCAAAUUCCAUCUAGCUCACUCAUGUACCUCAGCAUGUUUCGUGGAAUACCCAUCAACUGUCUUUAUGGUCAUCCAGUUACAAACAAUGUUUGAUCAGUAAUAAGGCACUCGACUCUACAUCUAGGGUCAAUAGUGGUUUCAGGUCGAAGGGUGGUAUACACCAUUAUCACCAUGAGAAUAACUUAUGACACUUUGCAUAACAUUCUAUAUAGUGUUCUCAUAGCGGGUCAAUCCAGUAUAAAUAUUACUCUUAAUAUUCAUACUUAUGUUUAAGACUUGAUAACUCCUUAGCCAUGAUCCAUGAGAUGUGAUCAUCAGUCUAUAUACAUAAUAGUCUUAAUGCUUUAAUGUUAUCCCACUUCACAAUAAAGCUCGACUACAGAUACUUUAAGAAUAGUGUUCUUAUGUUUAAUGGUAUCCCAUUAUUAAGUCACACUUGAUACAUUAAGCGGACUAGCUAUUCUAGGGACUUUAUUAAACAAACAUAAUAAAGAAAAGGCCUUUUAUUAUUAAUAAAUAAUUCUAUACAAGUACCAAAACUAUUGGCCUCUAGGGCUUACGCUAACAAACAGUUCUCUAAUUGAAUUAUUAAACCACUAGGUAAAGUUAAUACAUAAGUUCCUACGGCUAAAGCAACAACCUUUGCUCCAUUUCCAACUCGUAGGUUAACUUCACCUUUUGCCAAAUCUCUACUCCUUUUUAGCUCCUGCACAUUGGUACAAAUGUGAGAAUCGCAUCCAGUAUCUAAUACCCAUGAUGCAGAAGUAGAUAGAUUAAUUUCAAUAACAAAAAUACCUAAAAUUGAAGUCUCUACUUCAUUCUUUUUAUCUUCCAGGUACUUUGGGCAGUUUCUCUUCUAGUGUCCGGCCUUACCGCAAUAGAAGCAAGUGCCAUCCUUUGAUAUACCUCUACUAGGUUUCAAAGCAGGAGCAAUGGGUUUGGGUUUGGCAACUUCCUUGCCUUUCCCUUUACCACCCUACUUGGUGGGCCUUUUGUUCUGUUUCUUUCCAUUUCCGAUCAUCAGAAUGGACUUCCCUUUUGACUUCAGAUUCUGCUCAGUAGUUCUUAACAUGCCUGACAGUUUAGGAAGAGUUUUGUCCAUAUCAUUCAUGUUGAAAUUAAGAAUAAAUUGAGUGAAGCUCUCUAGAAACGAUUGCAAGAUCAAAUCAGUCGCAAGUUCCUUUCCGAGGGGAAAACCCAACCUCUCAAGGUUCUCCACAUGCUCAAUCAUCUUGAGCACAUGGGGACCUACAUGACUCCCUCAGCUAACUUGCCUUGAAAAAGGGCUUUUGAAACUUCAAACCUUUCAUGCCUUUCCUUCUCUUGAUAGAGUAUCUUCAGGUGUCCGAUCAUAUUGAAUGCUGACAUGUUCUCAUGUUGCUUUUGCAACUCCGAGUUCAUGGUAGCUAGCAUGAGGCAAGCAGCUUCAUUGGCAUCAUCAACAUGCUUCUUAUAAGCAUCUCUUUCUGCCUUAGGUGCAGAACUAUGAGGUUCCUCUUUAGGAACAUGUGUCUCAAAGGCAUACAAUUUUUUUUAUCAUGCUUGAGGACAAUCCUCAGAUUUCGAUGCCAAUCCAGAAAAUUUGUCUUAGACAAUUUUUUCUUAUCAAGGAUUGAUCGCAAAAUGUUGUUAGAGGUGUCUGUUGUCAUGGUAAUCUAUAUGAAAAAUAUGAAAAUAUAAGUAUCAUUAAAAUAACAUAUUUAAUUAGGCCUUUAAUUAAAUAUGCUCCCACUAUUUUACUCGAAACAAAUGACCCUCACCAUUUGAUUCGGAAAAUCUCGUUGUAAGAUUUUUUAGUGGGUCGAGAUCCACAUUUCACUUUGUUUUAAGUCCGCGUAGGAGGAUUACACAAAAUUUUAAUGAAUAAAUUUGAAAUCGACGUCGUUUUUUGCAUCAACAUUUGAUACUUUAAAGCACAACUCUUGUGCAGUCACAACCCUAAUCGCAUAACUCUUUGACAGCACAACCCUUGUACCGUCAUGAACUCUAAUGCAACAAUUUCAUACCAUCAAACACACCUCAAUUGGUAAUUCAGUAUGAUUAAUCAACACGUCAUUGUUUCACCAUACUAAUGUUAGAUUCCGAAGAGAAAUGAUCAUUGAUCGCUCAAAGGAAUACCAAUCAUUAAGUGUUUGAACGAACAAAAUAGAAAUAAUAUAUCGUAUAGACCAUAUUUUGCAUCAAAAUUACUUAUAUCAUAUAUAUAAAUUGAUUGAUCUCAUUUAUGUAACCUAUGGACGAUCGAUGUAUCGCUGCUUCACCAUACUAACAUCGGAUUCCGAAGCAUAGUCAACAUUAAUAAUCCAAAUAGUGUACACAUGAUGCCAAAUUUAAUUACUCGUUUAUUAUUUAAUUCAUUAUGUAUUUUAAUCGUAUUAAUACAAAAAAUACAAAAAAUAAACAGCUAUCAAAUGCAUGGUUUCGUAACCAGGCUCUGAUACCACUGAAGGAAAAUUACGAUCCAAGACGCAACGGAAAUUAAAUUUUUUUCCUUUAGUGAUCCUUACAAAUGGGCAUGAUCAGUGAUAGAAAUGAUUAUCUCUUGUGGUGAUUGAAAACUUUGAUGCAAAUCUAAGGAGUAAUCUCGAGUGUUGAAUGGUGACAAUGCCUCUACUCAGUCCGCACGAACAAAUUCUUUUAGUCUCAGCUCUAGCUGCUAUGAAUGAAGGCUUUGAGAGAGAGAGAGAGAGAGAGAGAGAGAGAGAAAUGGAAUUUCAUCAAGUGAAAUGCUUUUGCACAAGAGUUAUAUUUAUAGAGCCACUUGUGUGGGCUGUAAUCUAAAAAGCCCACUUAAGUGUACGUGGCCGAUAUCUUAUGGUAUACCGAAAAUCACUUAAGCACAUGGUACCUUACCAUAUUUCGUAUUCUACUUAAGUGCAUUGUACCUUACGAUGUUCUAUAAUUCACUUAAGUGCAUCGUACCUUACGGUGUUCCUUAUUUACUCUUUCUCCCAUCAAUAUGUCCUUUUGUGUGUGACCUUGCAGGUUUUCGCAAUAUUGGCAAUUAUAUUAAAUCACGUAUUUAACAUAAUAAAUAGUGAAAGGUAUCUAGCAACACAUCACUGCUACCCAAGACACGAAAAUGUCAUGUGAUUUGACAAAUCCCUUUUUGUGAUAAUACUUGUGUGUACAAUUACCCUUUUUUCCCUUAUGUUUAUAUUGAACAUAAGGCAUAGACCGUGUCAUCCUUGUCCAGAUCAAUAUUGGGACCUUAGACAUUUAUCCUGUUACGCAGGAUGAGAAAAUUCCAUCUAGGUCACCCAUGUCCCUCAACAUGCUUCGUGGAGUACCCAUCAACUGUCUUUAUGGUCAUCCAGUUACAGACAACGUUUGAUCAGCAAUAAGGCACUCGACUUUACAUCUAGGGUCCAUAGUGGUUUCAGGUCGAAGGGUGGUAUACACCACUAUCAGAAUGAGAAUAACUUAUGACACUUUGCAUAACAUUCUAUGUAGUAUUCUCAUAGCGGGUAAAUCCAGUAUAAAUAUUACUCCUAAUAUGCAUACCUAUGUUUAAGACUUGAUAACUCCUUAUUGAUGAUCCAUGAGAUGUGAUCAUCAGUCUAUAUACAUAAUACUCUUAAUGCUUUAAUGUUAUCUCACUUCACAACAGAGCUCGACUACGAAUACUUUAAGAAUAAUAUCCUUAUGUUUAAUGGGAUCUCAUGAUUAAUUCACACUUGAUUCGUUAAACGGACUAGCUAUUCUAGGGACUUUAUUAAGCAAACAUAAUAAAUGAAAAACCUUUUAUUAUUAAUAAAUAAUUUGAUACAAGUACCAAAAGUAUUGGCCUCUAGGGAUUACACCAAAACAAUAACCAACUAGCUUGUAGUCUUUGGAUUUUCUAUAGCACAACCCAAGGUUAAUUGUACCUUUCAGAUACCUAAAGAUCCUCUUAACAACUGUUAAGUGGGACUCUCUAGGAUCUGAUUGGAAAUGAGCAUACAAAUAGACACUCAACAAAAUGUCAGGCCUAUAAGCGAUCAAGUAUAAGAGAGAGUCAAUCAUACCUUUGUAUACCUUUUGUUCUACCUUAACACUUACCUCAUCCUUCUCAAGGAUGCAUGUAGGAUGCAUAGGGGUCUUUUACAUCUUGUAUUCAGACAUGUCAAACUUCUUCAGAAGUUCCUUGGUGUACUUUCUCUAAUGAAUGUACGUCCCUUCAGGACUUUGAUUAAUCUGAAUCCCAGAAAGAACUUGAGUUCUUCCAUCAAACUCAUCUCAAACUCUGCCUGCAUAGACUUAGUAAAUUCUUUUCACAAAGUAGCAUUAGCAGAACCAAAUAUAAUGUCAUCAACCUAAAUCUGAACAACAAGAAUGUCAUUUUUGAAUGACUUAGAGAAUAAUGUUGUAUCAACUUCCCCUCUAGUGAGAUUAUUUUCUAACAGAAAAUUGCUUAGUCUUUCAUACCAUGCUCUAGGAGCCUGUUUCAGACCAUACAAUGAUUUCUUCAAUUUGAAAACAAAAUUUGGAUUUUUAGGGUUUUCAAAACCAAGGGUUUGGUGUAUAAACACUUCUUUAGUAAUGUAACCAUUUAGAAGGGAACUCUUAAUAUCCAUCUAAUAUAAGAUGAUGUUAUGAUUAACUACAAAUGAAAUUAAGAGACGAAUAAACUCUAACCUGACAACUGGUGCAAAGGUUUUUGUAUAGUCAAUUGCUUCUUACGGACUAUAACCUUGUGCAACCAAUCGAGCCUUGUUUCUAACUACCUUUCCUUGUUCGUUCAGCUUAUUCCUAAAGACCCACUUGGUUUCAAUAACGUGAAUCCCUUUGGGUCUUGGCACAUGAUCCCAGACACCAUUUUGGAGAAUUGGUUGAGUUCCUCUUGCAUAUCCAGAAUUCGUUAUGUGUCCAUAAGUUCUUCAUAAAUUGAUGUAGACUCUAUCAAAGACACCAAACCCAUAAGUCUUUCUUCAGAGGGCUUGAAAGAGGAUCUAGUUUUGACAGGUUCAGAUUUAUCAGCCAGAAUAAAUUCUUCAGAAUGUUAAGAUCUUUGUUUGUGUCGUCUUAGAGGAGUUUGAGCUUCAACAAAUUUUGGUUGUGGAGCUUCAGAGUCUAUGGCUUCAACUUCUUUGGCUUCUGAAGUCUUUCCUUCAGAACCUAAGUAAGUGAUCUCCAAAUCUGAAAAAUUCUCAACUAGCUUUGACUUUUCAGAGUCAAGCUUAUCAUCGAAUCUGACAUGGAUUGAUUCUUUAACAAUCUGUCUUAGUCUUAUACACUAUGUAGCCUUUCGAGCGUUCUGAGUAUCAAAACAUGAUGCACUUAUGUGCUUUAGAAUCAAACUUGCUCAGAUUCUCUUUAGUGUUCAACAUAAAAUAAGAACAUCCAAAAGGAUGAAAAUAUGAAAUGUUGGGCUUCAAAUUCUUCCACAAUUUUUAGGGAGUCUUACCUAUAAUAGGUCUUAUAGAGAUCUUGUUCUGAAUGUAACAAGUUGUAUUAACUGCCUCUGCCCAAAAGUGCUUUGCCACAUUAGUCUCGUUGAUCAUGGUUAUGGCCAUCUCUUGCAGAGUCCUAUUCUUCCUCUCUAUAACUUUAUUUUGUUGUGGAGUUUUAAGGCAGGAUAAAUCACAGGAAAUGCCAUUAGCAUCAAAGAGUUUUUCAAAAUCUUUGUUUUCAAAUUCGCUACCUUGAUCACUUCUGACUUUUACAAUUCUAAGAUCUUUCUAGUUUGCACUUGGGAGCAUAAGGUAGAAAACAAAAAGUGUGACUCAUCCUUGUGUCUAAGAAAUUUCACCCCUGUACAUCUGAUGUAGUCAUCAACAAUGACUAGUACAUACUUCUUACCAUUGAUAUAGGUAGUUUUCACUAGACCAAACAAGUCAAUGUGUAGAAGCUCCAAUGGUAUGGAGGUUGAGACAACCUUUUUAGCCUUGAAAGACGAUUUAGAAAGUUUGCCUUUCUGACAUGCUUCACAAAGAGUAUCUGAAGAAAACUUCAUAUUUCGCAGGCCUCUGACAAGAUUAAGUUUGUUAAGCUGAGAAAUCCUCAUCAAUCUAACAUGACCUAAUCAUUUAUGCCAUGUCCAUUUCUCUUCAUUCACAUACAUAAGACAUUUUACAUUUUGAUUAUUCAAAUCAGAAAAUAUUAUCUUGUAAAUGUUGUUCUUCCUUUUUCCAUUAAAAAAACUGAGCCAUCCUUUUGACUGACAAUUUUAUAAGACUUUUGAUUGAAAAUAAUGUCAUAACCAUUGUCACUUAAUUGACUUAUGGACAAUAGAUUAUGCAUUAAUCCUUCAACUAAAAUAACAUUAGUAAUAGAAGGGAGUAUAUUGUUACCUAUUGGUCUGGAGCCAAUGAUCUUCCCUUUCUGAUCACCUCCAAAACCGACGACGCCUCCAGGCUUAAGUUCUAGGCUUUGUAAUAUAUUCCUUCUUCUCGUCAUGUGCCGCGAGCAUCCGGAGUCCAGGUACCAUGACUGGUGUCUCAACUCCACUGUUAAGUAUAUCUACAACAUAAACUAUCUUGUCCUUAGGUACCUAUAUCUUUAUGGGUCCUUUUGGGUUAGUCUUCCCAGAAUUCUUAACAAACUUGGGUUUUUGAGCAUGACAUUUAUAGAUGAAUGCAUGAUUAAAACGGGCAUGAGGUUUUGUUUUAGUGUUAGGUUUAGAAACAGUUCUACCUUUAGGCCUAACAUCAUUUUGCUUCCCUGAUGGAACAAAAUGAGCCUUAAGAGUAUUUGGCUUAUCGUCUUUUUCAGAAUCAGAUUCUUCAUCAGAAUCAUAACCAAUACCCCUUGUCACGUUCCUGCUAACGCCAUAAAUCAUGGAAGCCAUUAAGCUUCUAUUCAGGCUUUUAGCAAGAAACUUCUAGAAAAAUUUAUCAUACUUCUUUAUGAUAUCACCAGAACCUAUAGAGGCUUUUAGAAAGAAUUUUCUUUUCAGUUAUGAGACUCUUGCUUAAAGGCACAAAGUUAUUGUUUUUCAAAGUAAGAUUUUCUUCACUCAAACUUGAAAACUCUUUCUGAAGCUUAUAAUGAGCUUCUAUUCAUAUACAUUAAUCUUUUUCAGAUCCUUGUAUAUGUCCGGAAGAUUAUGAUAUUUCUCCAGAACUUAUGAUAGACUUGAGUCGUUUCUGCAGAAGCUUCUCUGCAAGCCAUCAACGCCAUAUUAGCUUGCUCUUCUUCAUAAUCAUCUUCUAAAGACUCUGAAUUGUCCCAUGUAUCCAUUAUACCUUUCUUCUUUCCUUAGAAGUUCAUCCUUGGACUUUCUUUCUUUAACUCGGGACAUUCAUUCUUGAAGUGCCCAGGCUCCUUGCACUCAAAGCAUGUGAGUUCUUUGCCAGCUCCAGCCUUCUUAGAUCCAGAAAUGGACUCAGAACGACCAUCUGUCCUUUUUUGUCCUCUGAAUUUUCCUUUCCUUUUUUUCCAGAGUUGAUUAACGCGUUUGGACAGAAGAGACAAUUCAUCAUCUUCUUAUGAUUCCUCUUUAGACUCUUCAUCAAUUUCAGCUUGAAGAGCUUCAGUCUUCUCAGAUCUUCCUGAAGACUUCAUAGCAAUUAACUUUCUCUUCCUCUUGGGCUCAUCUUCCUCGAGCUUAAUCUCAUGACUUCUUAAAGAACAAACCAGUUCUUCAAGAGAAAUGUUGUUAAGAUCCUUUAAUAACUUCAGAGCAGUUACUAUAUGUCUUCAAUGCUUAGGUAGACUUCUAAAGAUCUUUUUAACAUGAUCAGCAGUAGAAUACCCUUUUCCCAAAACCUUAAGUCCUCUAACAAGAGUCUGAAACCUUGAGAACACGUUCUCAAUAGUUUCUUCAUCCUCCAUCUUGAAUGCUUCAUAUUUUUGAAUCAAGACAAGAGCCUUGGUUUCUUUGACUGGAGCAUUCCCUUCACAUGUCAUCCUCAUAGAAUCAAAAAUAGAUUUAGCAGUAUCUCUAUUGGUGAUUUUCUCAUACUCAGUGUAUGAAAUAGCAUUUAACAAGAUGGUUCUUACUUUGUGAUGAUUCUUAUAGUUUUUCUUUUGUUGAUCAGUCAUCACUCUUCUUUACACUUUAUUACCACUUCCAUAUAAUGGGUGUACAUAGUCAUCAACUACCAUAUCCCAUAAAUCAACAUUGUGACCUAGAAAGAAGCUCUCAAUUCUAUCUUUCCAAUAGUCAAAAAAUAGGAGGUUUAGCAUUAUAAUGAUCUAUAUCAUUUGUUUGGGUAGCUAGUGGUGGAGGAGCGCCAUUGUGUUUCACACUGGAUCUUUAUCUGACACUGUUAAGUGUUUUAUAAUCUUAUCAAGACCAAAAAUGGAGCUCUGAUGCCAAUUGAAGGUGGCAAGAAAUACAAUAAAUGAGGGUUUCAAUUGGGUUUCUAAAUAUAAAAGUUUUCCAAAACCAACUAAAUAAAGCAAUAUCAUGAAUAAGAAAAAUAACAAACUUAUUUUUAUACUGCUUCGCUGUUAACGAAGCUACCUUCAGUCCACCUUAACAAGGUGAUUUCUCCUUCUCAAGAAGGACUUAAUCCACUAUAGUCAAAACAUGAUUACAGACACCACAAAGACAAAUUGUCCUUAUCUUCUUGAGUCUAUCUAACUAAAACCUAGUCACUCAAGGAAAUCACUCAAACAAAUUUAAGAUUUACAAGUUGUGUGUAUAAAGAAUGCUUCUAAAAAUCAGAUUAACACAAGUUAGUACAAUGGAUAUUUCUCACACAAUAACGAGCAAAAAGUCUUGUGUCUUUACAAAGAAUAUACAUAGAAAAUAUUUACUAAGGCAAAAACGUGUGUAUGUUUAGUAGCGUGAGAAAUAUCAAAGCAUUAUCAAAGAGUUAUCAACUUCUUCCAAUAUUCAAGUCUCCUUUAUAUAGCCAUAUAAAAGAUUCGUUGGAGGGUAGAAUUGGAAUACUGAAACACAACUGUCUCUUUCAUAAUUGUUUGCAUACAAGCGGAAAAUGAUACAAUAGUAUUGUCCUUAGCCCACAAAUUCAGGGUAGUGGCCGAAAGGGUGAUUUUGUAAUGUGUACUAUUUUAUUGGAGCAAAACCUUUUGAUAUUAUCUUCUAAUCUUCAUAGGCUUCUGGUAAAAUGAUUUUGAAACAUGCUUAUAAGGAUCAAGAGAAAAGUUGGUAGAAUCUUCAGAACCUUGGUCUUCUGAGUCUUGACACAAUUCCUCACAACCCGGUCUUCAGAGUCUACAGAUCUUGUUCUUCAGAAUCUUCAGAACUUGAGCGUAGAAUCUUGAAGGCAGACAAACCUUCAAAGGUUCUAAUGAUCAGAGUCACUAUCAGAAGCUUUAGCAUGAACAUUCAUCAAAAUCGUUGUCUAAGAGUUUUCUAGAACUUGACAGCAUCUUGUAAAUCACUUGUAUCUCCUCAUAGUCAGAGUGUGUUGAUUCCAGAAUCUAAUGACAUCACACGUCAUUGCUUCAAAGUCAGAACUUAUUAGCAAUAGCUACACACUAGAUAAAAACCAUUAGUGAACAAAAUUGUUCUCUAAGAAAUAAUGCAUUUUUAUCAUCAAAACUAAAGGCCAAACGCAGAACCAAAUCUUGUUCUAACAUUAAAAUCUUGUUUGGUUCAUGAGCUCAUCCAACCAAAAGAUCUUGUUUGGUUACUGAGUUUAGCCGUCAAAAAAUCUAUUUGGUACCCGAGCUAAGCCUGGUGUAAAAACUCUGUUUGAUUUUGAGAUUAUCCUAGUAUAAAAUAUCUCGCUUGUUUGGUUGUAAGAAGGUUCAUAUGCACAACCUAUGAAAAGCUCACAUAUGAUAUAUUGUAAACUCUCAAGAAAAAAUUCUUAGGGAUAUGAGCAAACCAAGUGGUUAGGAGGAACCUGUAUAAAUUGCAGGUGCAUUUCUUUAUUCCCUUAUCUCUUUAGAUUUCAAUUCUGUAUUCCUUUCGGUGCAUUUCCAUCUCUUCAUAUGUUCUAUUUUUCAUUCUUUUAAUUAUUCUACUGCAUAUUCUCUAUUUGAUUUAAGCGUUUUUAUAAAUCAAGAUUUUUAUAAUUGGACAUCGAUUUUCAACCGCCAAACCCCCCAUCCCCGCCCUCUUGUGUUUGGGGUCACUUGUACAACAUAAACUACAUAAAAUAUAAGGGUAUAACACUUUCGGCUCCCUAUUGUCAAGGUUUUGGCCUUAGGUACCCUAGUCUAGAGCCUCUUUGGAUUUUUCCCUUAUUAAAUAGGCUCUUUAUCUUUCUCUCGCUUAGAAGAAUCAUCGCUCACCGCCUUAGACAUGUAUAACUUUAAAGCAAAGUUUUAUCGAAUGGUAAUUUGAUUUCUUAUUAUUACAAGACGUGUAUAUGUGUUCCCUUGACAAGACUUGUUUGUUUUGAUUUUUUGACAACUUGGGAUCCUGCUGUUGACCCUCUUGUUUGUUCUUCUUGUAAACCUGUGCAACUGUCUAUAUCGUCUUUAAAUUUGGGGGGUAACCACGUAGUAUCUAUCCUUAAAUUGAAGCUACCCAUGUGGAAUUCAAACAUUUUUCUCACUUGUGUGAAGGAAAGUUAUCGUUAGUCCCGAUUCUUCGUGGCCAAAGUAUGUUGUACAUUAAAGAGGUGGAAGAAAAGUUUUAAGGUGGGGAUAUUGUUUCUAUAUUCAUACUAAUACUAGAAUACCUUUACAUAAGCAUAAGUUACCAUAUGUUUUUGUGAUGGGGAUAUUUUCAAAUGAUUCAUAACCCUAAUUUCAAACUCAUUGAAGGGAAGCUUGAACCAUAUUAUGAAGAAUAAACAUUCAUGGAAGAGAAAUGUUAAAAAAAAUCAUCAAAGUGGUUGUAGAACCCUUUCCACACACUACAUGGGAGAUCGUCUAGUUAGAAGAUAUGCAUACAUCCGAAUAGGCAUUUUCUAUCUGACGUGCCUCAUUGAGGAGGAGCGUCAUACCCAAGGUCUUAGAUUCUACCCGUGGGUACUAGUCUGCAUCAGUAGGAAGCUCAAGAGCCUGAUGUCCCAUUUGUACCAUUUCCUAUUCAAUGUUAAUAAGUAAAAAAUUACAACUAUGGGUUCUAGAAAGAGAUUGAGACUCAAUCCACCACUUAACCUCAUCAUCAAUUGGUUCCCAACCAUAAAGACACUCAACAAAUUUAAUAUACACACGAGCCUUCAAUUCAUCUCGAUAUUCCCAUAUCAUCUAUGGAUUUGGCAUGAGGAUAUCAGGGAAGUAAAAGUCACGACUAAAUUCCCCAAUAUCAAUCCUAAAAGGGCUAACUUCCUCCUCUUUAUCCAUGUUCAUUUCAAGGUCUUCCACUUCCUAGAGACCCUCAGACUCUUCAACAUCCAUGCAAAAGUUCUACAUAACAUUAAAAUUGUCAUUAAUCUCUCUAAAAUCUACAUAAAGAUAUCUCACCGUAAAAGGAAACACCUUCAUUAUUUCUGGUUUUAUCAUUUCAUAUUGCAAAGAAGUGUAGCUUAUAUCAUCUCCAUUGGAUAAGUCUAUGAAGGCAACAUUUGGGUUUCCUAUGUUGGCCAUGGCUAGAAAUGAAUAGAAACAACUUACAGGAUUGAUAAAGAAAAUAUUAUCUUGAGAAAUUUGCAGAGUUUGAGUCAAAGAAACAAAUACAAUAUUACCAAAGACCGAAAAAUGUUACACACGCUAAAUGUUGGAAGAAAUAAUAAAAGAUCACUUGCAAAGCAGAAAUUACAUGCAAGACUUAAGAUACAACACUUUGAUGGAAAAUAAGCGAAAAUAAUAACUAAUGACACUCUAUCCAUUUUAUAGAUAACUAAGAAGUAUAUGUAUAUGACUAGGAAUCAAUAUAAUACCACAAGGUCUGGUCAACGACUCAAGAUUAACCAUGGUCCCAUAAUGCCACAUGAGUGCACUCGAGUGCUAUAUUGGCGUCAUCGCCAGAAGAAGCACAAUAGAGUCAAGCCAUUUGCUCAUAUACAAACUUAGUUAUGUGUCACAACAUCUACAUUUUCAUUCAUUAUUGCAAGUUACAUUUCUCUAACCUCACUGAAAUGACCAUUGAAAUACUAAUCUUGCAUGUACACUCUUGUUUUUCCACAUAAAGACUUGCACUAAUAUAUCAAAGAGCUUCUAGAAUAACUUUCAUCAGCAUACCAUCAAUCUUUUAUUUUACACCGGAAUACUAAUUAUACAUUUAAACUCAUUUAGGUGUCUCACAAGAGAUAAUUUUAGAAGAAGAAAAAAAAGUUAGUUCUCAAAUUAAAAUAUAACGCAUAAUUUUCUUUGUAAAAUAAAUUUUUAUAAUAUUUGAAACUCAAGAAAAUACUUUAUAGAAUGAUUUUAGAAAGUUUGAUAAAAUUUCCAAAUUACUUUCAUUUUUUAAAGUUCAAAACUAAAAAUAUAUUAAUAAUUUGCAUUUUUUUUCUCAUUCUCUACUAAUGUCAAAUAUCUUCUUUCUUUAAUUAAUUGCUUUCAUAUUUUAAUUGUAAGUACUAAUGUCAAAUAUCUUCUUUCUUUAAUUAAUUGCUUUCAUAUUUUAAUUGUAAGUUCAAAAUUAAAAGUAUAUCAAUCAUUUGCAUUUUUUUCUCUUUCUCUAUAUACGUCAAAUAUCCUCUUUCUUUAAUUACUUGAGAUAGUAUUAUUUAUUUUCACAUCGAUAGUUAUGACUAAAAUAAAAGGUAGCUCAUAAAUAACAAGUGUUACAUUGUUAUUUAUUGUUGGAGAUGUAAUAUAUAACAAAUAAAUAAAAAGAUAGACAACAGGGCAUUUGGUCUAGUGGUAUGAUUCUCGCUUUGGGUGCGAGAGGUCCGGAGUUCGAUUCUCCGAAUGCCCCAUAUUUUUUUAUAUUUUCCCAUUUUUUUUCAUUUCCAUUUAAGUCAUGAAAAUAAUAAUAAUAUUAAAUUUAAUUUUGGGUAUUUUUAUCCAUCUUCUUAAGCCUUUCAUUUCAUUGCGUUUCGUUUCAUCCAUUUCCUUAUCCUAUUUUUUUCUCCAUCUUCUCUCUUUCUCUCUCACUCUUUCAAUUUUCCAACACAACAAUGGCUUCAACAACCGCAUUCACAACCAUCUCAACCGUCACACGUUCGUAUCCUACACCCUCCUCUUAUCCUACACACUUCCCCAAACCAAUCCCAACCGUCCAUUUCCCAUCCUCAACAACAACACCUCUCUCCCACCGCACCACUCGCCUCCACCGCAUCACCGCCGUCUCCGCAGAAGUCGAAAAACUCGGCAACGAGAUCUCCGGCCUCACACUCGAACAAGCCAAAAACCUAGUCGACUACCUCCAAGACAAACUCGGCGUAACCGCCGCUUCGUUCGCUCCCGCCGCCGCCGUUGCUGCUCCCGCCGCCGCGGAAGCUGCUGUCGUGGAAGAACAAACCGAAUUCGAUGUGGUUAUUGAAGAAGUUCCGAGUACCGCGAGAAUUGCGGCGAUUAAAGCGGUUAGGGCUUUGACGAAUCUGGGAUUGAAGGAAGCGAAGGAGUUGAUUGAAGGUUUGCCUAAGAAAUUCAAAGAAGGCGUUUCGAAAGAUGAAGCUGAAGAUGCUAAGAAACAACUUGAAGGUGCAGGUGCUAAAGUUAACAUUGUUUAGGGUUUCGUUUUUUUUCUUCCCCAAUUUUAAUUUUGAAUUGAUGUUGUAAUUUCAAGUUGUUAUUAUGGUGUUGUAGUGAAGAAAAUUGAGUUAGUUCUGGUUUUGUUAUUAUUAAUCUAAAUUAAAAACGAAUUAUUUGGAUGGUGUAUUAAUUGUAUUCAAAGUGUUUUUGUUCUGUUUUAUUAUUUGUGCAUUAAUAUUAUCCUUUUAUAUUAGGAUUGUUUGGAUGCAAGAAAUUUUGGUGUGAAAGAAAAUGGAUAAAAAAAUGUAUUGAAAUGAUAAAGUAGUUAGUAUUAUUUAGAUAAUUGGAAAAGUCUUUUUUUUGUUUAUUGAGAUUUUCUAGUCCAAUACCGUUUUUAAGUUCAAAGUGAUUAAUCUUGAGCAAUGUAGUUUCUUAGUCACAAUAACUUGUUGAGUUAAGGCUUUGGGUUUGUAUACGGAGAUAAGCGUCCACUUUAACAAUAUCGAUUAAGUUCGAGUUUGAGAUAAGGUGUUCAAUAGAACAAUAUCAAGUGAUUUCGAAUUUGAGAUAAGGUGUUCAAUACAAUAUCAAGUGGUUUCGAAUUUGAGAUAAGGUGUUCAAUACAAUAUCAAGAAUUUGUGAUAAGGUGUUUGAACACAAAAAUAUCGAUUAGGUUUGAACUCUAAGAAGUUUAACCUAAUACUAUAACAAUAUCUUAGAGGUUGUAUGUGAAGCUAAUUCUUUUGAAAUAUCAUAUAUAGUUUAAGUUCAUUUGAGCAUAGUAUUAUUAGACUUGAAAAAUUGAAUAGAUAAGGCUAAAAAUAUUAGAGAUAAGUUAACUUUUUUUUUAACUUCUGAUUUUACUUUUUCUAACUUUUGAUGGACUUAUUUUUCCACGGUUAAAUGAGACAAAGAUGAAUAUGGAUUCUAUAACCAUAGUGUCCUUUCUGUUUGGAUAAGAUUUGGGAUUUGGGGUUGAGACUUUAGACUUGAAUGUGGCAUGAUCCCAUUACAUCACAACAUAAGUGAUAAUUAACCCAUUACUAAGAGUGAAAACACAUUUGACGUUGCAAUUGUGACUUGUAUGUUGUGAAUUACAAGCGGUUUUGCAUCAGAAAUAUAGAGAAAUAAAUGUGACAGAAUUGUGAAUUAUAUGUUAUGAAUUACAAGCGGUUUUGUAUCAGAAACAUAGAGAAACAAAUGGAGUAAUUUCCCAGACUACCCCAAUCUUGAAUUUUUUUUCCCACAUUGUCACAUUUUGAAAAAUAUUUUUCAGAAUGCUCCACUUUCCUAUUUGGACUCGUCCAAUAAAUGAACGAGAUGAUGUGGCACUGCAUUUGCUGAUUAGGCUCGGCCGUUGGUUGGCCGAGCUAGUGAAGGAUGUUUUUUUUAAUUAUUAUUUUAAAUACUAUUAUAUAAUUAAAUAAAUUUAUUAAAAUUAUUAUUAAAUAGUUUUCUAAUUAAUUUUAUAUUUAAAUAAUAAAAUUGAUUUUUUUUAAAUAAUAAUAAUAUUUUUAUAAAGAGAUUAAUUACUAUACACUGUCAGUGUAAAAAGUUUUACACCGUCGGUUCAUCACCAUCACCCGUUUGUAUUACUUUAUAAAUUUUUAAAAUAAAAGUCAAACUUCUUUUAAUAUUCAACGUCUAUAAUUAAGUGAUGGUGUAAAAUCCUUUUACACUGAGAGUGUAUUUCAAUAAAUCUCUUUUAUAAAAUACUAAUAAUAAAAUGUUAAUAAUAAUAGUUUUUUAUAAUAAUAGUUUUCUAAUAUUAUUUUUUUUAAAUAUUAAUAAUAAAAUGAUUUUUUUUUAAAUAUUAAUAAUAGAAAUGAUUUAUUUUUUUAAAUACUUAUUAUAUAACUAUAAAUAUUAUAAUGAGGCAUAUAAUGAAUUGUAAUGAUUAAUAAUUAUUUUAUUGAUAUAAUGGAAGAAAUACAUUUUAUUUAUAGUGACCGCCUGUUCCACAUCUUGUGCCAACUUUUUUGCGUUUUCUCUUGCCCAAGUCUUCUUGUCUUUGUCUUGCGGGAGACGGAGAUGAGUCGGAAGACAAUUCAUCAUGGGCGUCUUGUUGUUGAUUUGUUGUUGACUUUGGUGUUGUUGUGAUGUGUUUGGAGGCAUAUCCAUAUUGUCGAGAUCUUGAAUGCGAAAAGAAGGGAUAUUCAUUAGAUGGUCAUCAGUGAGGUCAAAGUUGGGUAGUGAAUGUGGGAGUUGUGUGUAGGUGCUGGGUUGAGUGUGUUGGAUAGGAGGAUAGUAGACAUCAUCAGGGUUGUAUGUAGGAGUGGGUUGUGCGAAUGUGGUGUUAGAUGUUUGGGGUUGAGAAUGAGGGUUUGAGUAUUCAAAGUUGGGUUGAGGAAUUGAGUGUGUUGGAUAGGAGGAUAGUAGACAUCAUCAGGGUUGUAUGUAGGAGUGGGUUGUGCGAAUGUGGUGUUAGAUGUUUGGGGUUGAGAAUGAGGGUUUGAGUAUUCAAAGUUGGGUUGAGGAGUUGGAGUGUAUUGUAUGGGUGAGCGUAGGUUGAUUUGUUGUUGAUAUUGUUGGUUGUAAUAGUAGUUUGUUUGAGGGAAUGGAGUAUGGGAAUUAUGGUGUUGGGUUGAGGUGGAAUAAAUUGUGUGUUGUUGUGUAGUCUGCGUGUGUUGGUAAGUUUGUUGAGCUGAGGAUGAUGGUUGGGCCCCAAAUGUGUAUGUGUAUGUGGGGGGAAUGUCUUGAUGUGGGGGUGAUGUUGUUUGCUAGAUUGAAGAAGCUACACGUUGACGGGGAUCAUUCAAAAUUUGUGUUGGAGCAACGCGCAUAAAAGGAAUUGAUAAAAAACCAAUUCAUGUAUUCUCUACCUGGCUUAGACUCACCAAUUAUCGAGUUUCCUUGUAACACCAAGUGCCUUCUUCUUUUCCAUUCUUUUAGCUCUUCUUUGUUUAAAUCUUGCCAAUGUGUGUCCUAAGCUUGGACCAUAGUCAUGUUAUGGUGUUCACUUAGACAUCUUGGCUGAGACGGUAUUUGUUGUUCAAAUCCAAAUUGGAGUUUGACUCGAUCCGUCUGAUGCAUCUCAACGGUAAAGAAACAUACAAGUCAUGUUAUGGUGUUCACUUAGACAUCUUGGCUGAGACGGUAUUUGUUGUUCAAAUCCAAAUUGGAGUUUGACUCGAUCCGUCUGAUGCAUCUCAACGGUAAAGAAACAUACCAUAUAUGUUAUUACACUCCAAACUCGACUGUCACUAUAAUCAGGCAUUGGAUAUUGUAUGUACGACCUCCAAAUAAACUGUUAAAAGAAAUAUAACUAUUAGAAUGUAUAAAAUAAAUUUAAAUAAGUUGAAUAUUAUAAUUAAUCAUUCUUAUCUGGCAUUAAAAAAGUAGCAAUUAAAAGUAAAAUAUAAAUUUUUGAAUGAAGAUGUUGGUUCUAACCAAACAAUUUUGACAUAAGCCCCAUUUUUAUCUGAAGAUGUUGGUUCGAUGCCCAAAUUCUCCAUGUAAACAUCAUUAGUUACGUUUGUUGGGCCAUUAACAGCUUUACCAUUGAUUCGGAGACCGAGUAACAUACUCACAUCCUCUAGUGUGAUAGUACAUUCACCCGUUGGUAAAUGAAAGGUAUGUGUCUCGGGUAUCCAUCUCUCUAACAAUGCAACAAUUAAUUUAGAAUCUACUUUUAGACUUGCAAUCUUGACCACAUUUGCAAAACCGGCUAGUUCCAAAUACGGUAUUAUAACCGCACUUGGUUGAAUGUAUGUAUGCGAAUGGACUCAGAACCUACCGUCUUCCUGAAAUUCAAAUAAAAAUGGUAAUAAAUAUUUGAUGUGAUAUUUACAUAUUGAAUUUGUGAAAUAGAUUUGAAAGAGACUUACGUAUUCGACAAUGUUUGUCGCCGUCCCAAUAAAAAUGGUAAUAAAUAUUUGAUGUGAUAUUUACAUAUUGAAUUUGUGAAAUAGAUUUGAAAGAGACUUACGUAUUCGACAAUGUUUGUCGCCGUCCCACGGUGUGAUUCGCCCAUCCACAACAAAAACACUUUGGAAUAGAAGAUAAUGACUAUUUGUAGUGGUAAACAAUAUUAAAUAUAUAGGUUAGAAUUGUACAGGGUGAUUGGACUAGUAAGGGAAUGCAUGCAAUUUUUUUUGCAAGGAAUCCCUGCAACAACGAUUCCCAUGCUGAUUGGAAAUCACACUGCAAAAAAGCAUGCGUGCAGACUCGUCCCUUUGAUGGCCGAGUUAACCCUUGUAUUGUGUUGCCUCGUCCAAUGGAAUGACGAGCUUAGCCAUGUGACGUGUUGCCUCGUCCAAUGAAUGGGCGAGCUUGUUCUUCUAGGGUUAUGACUCGUCCAAUGAAUGGGCGAGCUUAUUCAUCUAGGGUUUUCAUGUUUUCUCUCUCUUCCAAUUGAAGGACGAGCUGCAUGUAAUAUUUCUUCAGGGUUUGGUUUACUAGGAUUAUAUUGUGUUGACUAUAAAUUGCAUUAAUAUCUUCAUUCAUUCUCAUCAAACCAAAUCUACUACAUUUAUAUCUUUACUUAUUUUCAUCAAACCAAAUAUUCUACAUUCCUAUCUCCUUCAUCUAACCAAAUAUUAUUCAUAUCUUCAUUCAUUCUCAUCAAACCAAAUUUACUACAUUUAUAUCUUUAUUUAUUUUCAUCAAAUCAAAUAUUCUACAAUCAUAUCUCUGUUGGUGUAAGCCCUAGAGGCCAAUACUUUUGGUACUUGUAUCGAAUUAUUUAUUAAUAAUAAAAGGCAUUUUCUUUAUUAUGGUUGAUUAAUAAAGUCCCUAGAAUAGAUAGUCCGUUUAAUGUAUUAAGUGUGACUUAAUCAUGAGAACACAUUAAACAUAAGGACACUAUUCUUAAAGUAUCCGUAGUCGAGCUUUAAUGUGAAGUGGGAUAACAUUAAAGCAUUAAGACUAUUAUGUUUGUAGACUGAUGAUCACAUCUCAUGGAUCAUGGAUAAAGAGUUAUCAAGUCUUAAACAUAGGUAUGAAUAUUAGGAGUAAUAUUUAUACCGGAUUGACCCGCUAUGAGAAUACUAUAUAGAAAGUUAUGCAAAGUGUCAUAAGUUAUUCUCAUGGUGAUAAUAGUGUAUACCACUCUUCGACCUGAAACCACUAUGGAUCCUAGAUGUAGAGUCGAGUGCUUUAUUGCUGAUCCAACGUUGUCCGUAACUGGAUAACCAUAAAGACAGUUGAUGGGUACUCCACGAAGCAUGCUGAGGGACAUGAGUGUCCUAGAUGGAAUUUGCCAAUCCUGCGUAACAGGAUAAAUGUCUAUGGGCCCAAUAUUGAACUGGACAAGGGUGACACGGUCUAUACCUUGUGUUCAAUAUAGACAUAAGGGCAAAGGGGUAAUUAUACACAUAAUUAUUAUCACAGGAGGUUUUGUCAGAUCACAUGACAUUUUCGUGACUUGGGUAGCAGUGAUGUGUUGCUAGAUACCGCUCACUGUUUAUUAUGUUAAAUGCGUGAUUUAAUAUAAUUGCCAACGCCGCGAAAACCUAUAGGGUCACACACAAAGGACGGAUUGAUGAGAGAUAGAGUAACUAAGGAACACCGUAAGGUACGGUGCACUUAAGUGGGAGACGAAAUAUGGUAAGGUACCAAAUACUUAAGUGAUUUUGGGCAUAUUAUAAGAUAUGGGCCAAAAUACACUUAAGUGGGCUUUUUAGCUUGAAGCCCACACAAGUGGUUCUAUAAAUAGAACCCCUUGGGUAGAAGCAUUGUCACUCCAAUCCACUCAGACAGAAAUUCAAGUAGAGACUUGGAAUUUUGUUUCCCUCUUUCUCUCACUCAAAGCCUUCAUUCAUAACAGCUAGCACUGCGAUUGAAGGAAUCCGUUCGUGUGGACUGAGUAGAGACGUUGUCAUCGUUCAACGUUCGUGAUCGCCCCGUGGAUCUGUAUCAAAGGUUUUGAUCAUUAUCAGAGAUCUGCACCAAAGGUUUGAAUCGCCACAAGAGGUAACGAUUCUAUCACUGAUCAUGCCCAUUCGUAAGGAUCACUAAAUGGAGAAAUUUUUAAAUUCCGCUGCGCCUUGGAUGGCAAUUCUCCUUCAGUGGUAUCAGAGCCACUUACGAAACCAUGAAUCUGAUAACUGUUUUUGUUCUGUAAUAAUAUGAUUAAAACAGAAUGAAUCAAAGGUUAAAUUGAGAUCGAUCAAGUUACAUAUAUGUGAUAUAUGUAAUCCUGAUGCAAAAUACAUUAUAUAUGAUAUAGUGUUCUUGUUUCGUUCAUUCAAACCCUCGAUGAUUGUUUUCCUUUGAGCGAUCAAUGGUCGUUUGCUUCUUGAUCCGACAUUAGUAUGGUGAAGCAAUGACGUGUUGAUCAAUCAUACUGAAUUAACAAUCGAGACGUGUUUGACGGUCUGAAAUUGGUGCAUUAGGGUUAGUGACGACACAAGGGUUGUGUUGUUAGAGAGUUAUGCGAUUGGGGUUUGAUUGCACAAGAGUUGUGCGUCCUAAACACUUUUCCGAACAGUGUUAACCGGUUAACGCGUAUGGUUAACCGGUUAACGCAAUACGAAAUAAUUUUUUUUUUAAUUUUUGGAACAGUGUUAACCGGUUAACGCAUAUGGUUAACCGGUUAACGGAAUGCGAGAUAAAUUUUUUUUGAGUUUUCAAACAGUGUUAACCGGUUAACGCUUGGUUAACCGGUUAACGCAAGACGAAAUUCAGUUUUUUGAGAUUUUCAAACAGUGUUAACCGGUUAACGCAUUUGGUUAACCGGUUAACGCAAGGCAGAAAAGAAUUUCCAAAAGGUUUUCAAACAGUGUUAACCGGUUAACGCAUAUGGUUAACCGGUUAACGCAAGGAAAAAAUCACCCGUUCGGCUAGAAAAGUGCUUUGAAGUAUCAAGUGUUGAUACGAAAAACGACGUCAAUUUUAAAUGAAUUGUUCAUUAAAAUUUUCGAGCAGGGGCGCUGCCCCUUCGACCCCGCAAGGGCAGCGGACCCCCGGCUAACUCUGCGUAGUGUGAUCGGUCGUCGAAAUUUAAUUUGAUUUUAAUUAAUUAAAGGAAUUAAUUAUAAUAAUAAUAAAGUGUUUAUUAUUGUCUUGUGGUGAUCGGUUAUGGCCUUAGUUUUCCUUUNNNNNNNNNNNNNNNNNNNNNNNNNNNNNNNNNNNNNNNNNNNNNNNNNNNNNNNNNNNNNNNNNNNNNNNNNNNNNNNNNNNNNNNNNNNNNNNNNNNNNNNNNNNNNNNNNNNNNNNNNNNNNNNNNNNNNNNNNNNNNNNNNNNNNNNNNNNNNNNNNNNNNNNNNNNNNNNNNNNNNNNNNNNNNNNNNNNNNNNNNNNNNNNNNNNNNNNNNNNNNNNNNNNNNNNNNNNNNNNNNNNNNNNNNNNNNNNNNNNNNNNNNNNNNNNNNNNNNNNNNNNNNNNNNNNNNNNNNNNNNNNNNNNNNNNNNNNNNNNNNNNNNNNNNNNNNNNNNNNNNNNNNNNNNNNNNNNNNNNNNNNNNNNNNNNNNNNNNNNNNNNNNNNNNNNNNNNNNNNNNNNNNNNNNNNNNNNNNNNNNNNNNNNNNNNNNNNNNNNNNNNNNNNNNNNNNNNNNNNNNNNNNNNNNNNNNNNNNNNNNNNNNNNNNNNNNNNNNNNNNNNNNNNNNNNNNNNNNNNNNNNNNNNNNNNNNNNNNNNNNNNNNNNNNNNNNNNNNNNNNNNNNNNNNNNNNNNNNNNNNNNNNNNNNNNNNNNNNNNNNNNNNNNNNNNNNNNNNNNNNNNNNNNNNNNNNNNNNNNNNNNNNNNNNNNNNNNNNNNNNNNNNNNNNNNNNNNNNNNNNNNNNNNNNNNNNNNNNNNNNNNNNNNNNNNNNNNNNNNNNNNNNNNNNNNNNNNNNNNNNNNNNNNNNNNNNNNNNNNNNNNNNNNNNNNNNNNNNNNNNNNNNNNNNNNNNNNNNNNNNNNNNNNNNNNNNNNNNNNNNNNNNNNNNNNNNNNNNNNNNNNNNNNNNNNNNNNNNNNNNNNNNNNNNNNNNNNNNNNNNNNNNNNNNNNNNNNNNNNNNNNNNNNNNNNNNNNNNNNNNNNNNNNNNNNNNNNNNNNNNNNNNNNNNNNNNNNNNNNNNNNNNNNNNNNNNNNNNNNNNNNNNNNNNNNNNNNNNNNNNNNNNNNNNNNNNNNNNNNNNNNNNNNNNNNNNNNNNNNNNNNNNNNNNNNNNNNNNNNNNNNNNNNNNNNNNNNNNNNNNNNNNNNNNNNNNNNNNNNNNNNNNNNNNNNNNNNNNNNNNNNNNNNNNNNNNNNNNNNNNNNNNNNNNNNNNNNNNNNNNNNNNNNNNNNNNNNNNNNNNNNNNNNNNNNNNNNNNNNNNNNNNNNNNNNNNNNNNNNNNNNNNNNNNNNNNNNNNNNNNNNNNNNNNNNNNNNNNNNNNNNNNNNNNNNNNNNNNNNNNNNNNNNNNNNNNNNNNNNNNNNNNNNNNNNNNNNNNNNNNNNNNNNNNNNNNNNNNNNNNNNNNNNNNNNNNNNNNNNNNNNNNNNNNNNNNNNNNNNNNNNNNNNNNNNNNNNNNNNNNNNNNNNNNNNNNNNNNNNNNNNNNNNNNNNNNNNNNNNNNNNNNNNNNNNNNNNNNNNNNNNNNNNNNNNNNNNNNNNNNNNNNNNNNNNNNNNNNNNNNNNNNNNNNNNNNNNNNNNNNNNNNNNNNNNNNNNNNNNNNNNNNNNNNNNNNNNNNNNNNNNNNNNNNNNNNNNNNNNNNNNNNNNNNNNNNNNNNNNNNNNNNNNNNNNNNNNNNNNNNNNNNNNNNNNNNNNNNNNNNNNNNNNNNNNNNNNNNNNNNNNNNNNNNNNNNNNNNNNNNNNNNNNNNNNNNNNNNNNNNNNNNNNNNNNNNNNNNNNNNNNNNNNNNNNNNNNNNNNNNNNNNNNNNNNNNNNNNNNNNNNNNNNACAAAGGCCGACGUAAGCAGGAGUGAUUAAGGGGAAAGGGCGGCAAGGAAGUUGCAAUUCCAAGCCCAGCUGCUGCUUGAGCCUAGUGGAAGUUAAGCAAAGAGGCACCUGCUGUCCAUUGCGUAGACCGGACACUGGAGAGGAACUGCCCAAAGUACUGGAAGCAUAAGAAGAUGGAGUAGACUCUCAACUUCAGGUAUUUUUGUUAUUAUGCUUAUCUAUUUGCAUACAUGGGUAUUAGAUACUAACAUGCGGUUAUCACAUUUAUACAAAUCGUGCAGGGCUGAACAGAAGUAGAGAGUUUGGAAAAAGGUGACAGUGACCUAGCGAGUUGGUAUGAGCGGAAGUUUGGCUCCGCUAGUUACGCGCGUAGGAUUUGUAUUGAUUUAGCCUAUGGGUUAAGUAAUAUACAGUUAGGACUGUUUUAUGUACGUGCAAUUAGCAAGGAUAAUUAUUUGCCAUUGCUUGUUUAGGACACAGUUUGGUUGCUCUCAUUUAAUAAAGAACAAUGUCUGCUAAUUUAUUUUGAUGAUAUAUUUAGUGGGCAUCGCACCCAAUGAAGCAAGUGGAGCUAUAUGCUUGAUCUUCGAAUGACUAUUAAUACCUUAAUACAACUAGGUAAGAAUUAUUAAACUCCUUGAUCAGAUCUUUGACGGCUGGAUGAGUAUUUAUCCUAGAGGUGUUGAUGACAAUCGAAAGAGUGUGGGGUACUAUCCCGGAUUACUUUCUGUGAAAUCCAAUGGAGAGGUGUACCUGAGAGAAGAAAUUCGACCCUGUUGGACUGGUCGAUCAUGAUGAAGUAAACAAAGAAACCAUAAAUCUCCAAACUCCUUUUUGAGGAUACCUCUGUGAACAUUAGCUUAAACACUUAACCGGUUUCAUCGAGAAAGUUGAAAAAGACACAUAUGAGAUAUGGAGUGCGUAAGAAGAACAUAUGCUCUUACAUGAAGAGCUUGGGUUGCGAAGUUUAUGUGAAACGACAAAUUUCAACUAAGCUUAAGCCCAAAUCUGACCAAUGCUUAUUUGUGGGGGUAUCCUAAAGAAACAAGAGGAUAUUACUUCUACAAUCCUUCAGAGGGCAAAUGAGGGAUUCUCAUUUUGCAAUACGAAUUUUCAUAUGUUAGAAAUCCACAUCAACUCCGACUUCCAUCAUUUAAAAGACUGUAUUGAAAAAAAUUACAAAGUUAUGUUGAAGACAUCAUUUAUCGCCAUCCAUUAAUUAAUGGAGAUGAUAAUACCAUCUUUUACAUAAUGACACCCAUUGAGACUGACGAAGAUAUCAAGUCGAUGUUUCAAUGUCAUAUAACAUUAUCUCAAUUACCCACCAUUGAGAUAUAUGUUCGUCUAAUCGAAAAUAUUGAAGAACAACCGAGUCACAAUGAAAAUCGUGAAGAACAACCGACUCACAAUGAAAAUCUCUGUUAUCUAACGCAAUCUGUACAGUCACACGAGUACGGAAUGAGUCAAGCCAUUGAUGAAGAACCGACUCAAAAUAAUGAACCUUUCAUACCAUAUGAAGAGGUAGGCGAGAAUAGUGAGGAUGAUCUUGAGGAGGUUCGAUUUGAAGAUCUAUUUGGUGUUAGCGAUGACCUACCGUUACUUCUGUAGAAGCUGUGUGGCUGGCAACGUGAUUCUCGCCAACCAAUUAGUUUGUACAACCCACCUGUGCACAUGCAAAACAUAAGUUUGGAUGAUGCUGAACCAAUCUCCGUUUUCGGAAGUUUCAUACCAACUCACAAUGUUGACGAAAUAGAGGAGGGCAUUAAGUAUGAAAAUAAGGAAGAGUGUGUUCUGGCGUUGCAACAAUGGCAUAUAAAACGUAGUCUAGAUUUUUCUAUGGUUAAAUCUGACAAUGUACAUUUUGUCAUCAAAUGUAGAAAUUCAACAUGCAAUUUCAAAUGCAGGGUCUCUUUGCGUAAGGGCAACUCAAGGUGAAGAGUUGGUAAGUCUGGUGGGCCUCAUACGUGAACAACCACUUCCAUGUCACAAGACCAUACAAAACUCAGUUCAGAAAUGAUUAGUAAGAGCAUAAUGGAGCUUGUAAAUCGGGACACAUCCAUUAAGGUGAAGGUUAUCAUCGCUCAUGUUGCUGAGAAAUACAAGUAUAUCAUAUCCUACAAAAAGGCAUGGAUUGCAAAGUGUAAGGCAAUUAAGUCGUUGUAUGGAAAUUGGGAGACAUCUUACAACGAUCUGCCGCAGUGGAUACUGGUAAUAAAAACAUAUCUACCAGGUACCAUUAUAGAAUUGCAAUCUUUACCUGUGAUUUCAAAUGAUGGUUCACACUUGGGUGACCAAAGGAUAUUUCAUCGUCUGUUUUGGGCGUUUCGACCAUGUAUACGUGGUUUCGCGUAUUGUAAACCUAUUAUGCAGGAUGAUGGAACAUGGUUGUAUGACAAGUACAGAGGGACUCUGUUGAUGGUUGUGGCACAGGAUGGGAACUGUAACACCCCGAUAAAAAUAAGCUAAUUAUUUAAUUUAAGUUUAUAUUAUAUUUAUUAAUUUAAUUAAAUAAUUGGAAUUAUUGGAUUAUUAUUAUUAUUAUUAUUGGAAUAAUAAUUAUUGGAAAAUAUAUAAGUUGGAAAUAAGGAAAAAGAGUUUCAUUUUGGUAAANNNNNNNNNNNNNNNNNNNNNNNNNNNNNNNNNNNNNNNNNNNNNNNNNNNNNNNNNNNNNNNNNNNNNNNNNNNNNNNNNNNNNNNNNNNNNNNNNNNNNNNNNNNNNNNNNNNNNNNNNNNNNNNNNNNNNNNNNNNNNNNNNNNNNNNNNNNNNNNNNNNNNNNNNNNNNNNNNNNNNNNNNNNNNNNNNNNNNNNNNNNNNNNNNNNNNNNNNNNNNNNNNNNNNNNNNNNNNNNNNNNNNNNNNNNNNNNNNNNNNNNNNNNNNNNNNNNNNNNNNNNNNNNNNNNNNNNNNNNNNNNNNNNNNNNNNNNNNNNNNNNNNNNNNNNNNNNNNNNNNNNNNNNNNNNNNNNNNNNNNNNNNNNNNNNNNNNNNNNNNNNNNNNNNNNNNNNNNNNNNNNNNNNNNNNNNNNNNNNNNNNNNNNNNNNNNNNNNNNNNNNNNNNNNNNNNNNNNNNNNNNNNNNNNNNNNNNNNNNNNNNNNNNNNNNNNNNNNNNNNNNNNNNNNNNNNNNNNNNNNNNNNNNNNNNNNNNNNNNNNNNNNNNNNNNNNNNNNNNNNNNNNNNNNNNNNNNNNNNNNNNNNNNNNNNNNNNNNNNNNNNNNNNNNNNNNNNNNNNNNNNNNNNNNNNNNNNNNNNNNNNNNNNNNNNNNNNNNNNNNNNNNNNNNNNNNNNNNNNNNNNNNNNNNNNNNNNNNNNNNNNNNNNNNNNNNNNNNNNNNNNNNNNNNNNNNNNNNNNNNNNNNNNNNNNNNNNNNNNNNNNNNNNNNNNNNNNNNNNNNNNNNNNNNNNNNNNNNNNNNNNNNNNNNNNNNNNNNNNNNNNNNNNNNNNNNNNNNNNNNNNNNNNNNNNNNNNNNNNNNNNNNNNNNNNNNNNNNNNNNNNNNNNNNNNNNNNNNNNNNNNNNNNNNNNNNNNNNNNNNNNNNNNNNNNNNNNNNNNNNNNNNNNNNNNNNNNNNNNNNNNNNNNNNNNNNNNNNNNNNNNNNNNNNNNNNNNNNNNNNNNNNNNNNNNNNNNNNNNNNNNNNNNNNNNNNNNNNNNNNNNNNNNNNNNNNNNNNNNNNNNNNNNNNNNNNNNNNNNNNNNNNNNNNNNNNNNNNNNNNNNNNNNNNNNNNNNNNNNNNNNNNNNNNNNNNNNNNNNNNNNNNNNNNNNNNNNNNNNNNNNNNNNNNNNNNNNNNNNNNNNNNNNNNNNNNNNNNNNNNNNNNNNNNNNNNNNNNNNNNNNNNNNNNNNNNNNNNNNNNNNNNNNNNNNNNNNNNNNNNNNNNNNNNNNNNNNNNNNNNNNNNNNNNNNNNNNNNNNNNNNNNNNNNNNNNNNNNNNNNNNNNNNNNNNNNNNNNNNNNNNNNNNNNNNNNNNNNNNNNNNNNNNNNNNNNNNNNNNNNNNNNNNNNNNNNNNNNNNNNNNNNNNNNNNNNNNNNNNNNNNNNNNNNNNNNNNNNNNNNNNNNNNNNNNNNNNNNNNNNNNNNNNNNNNNNNNNNNNNNNNNNNNNNNNNNNNNNNNNNNNNNNNNNNNNNNNNNNNNNNNNNNNNNNNNNNNNNNNNNNNNNNNNNNNNNNNNNNNNNNNNNNNNNNNNNNNNNNNNNNNNNNNNNNNNNNNNNNNNNNNNNNNNNNNNNNNNNNNNNNNNNNNNNNNNNNNNNNNNNNNNNNNNNNNNNNNNNNNNNNNNNNNNNNNNNNNNNNNNNNNNNNNNNNNNNNNNNNNNNNNNNNNNNNNNNNNNNNNNNNNNNNNNNNNNNNNNNNNNNNNNNNNNNNNNNNNNNNNNNNNNNNNNNNNNNNNNNNNNNNNNNNNNNNNNNNNNNNNNNNNNNNNNNNNNNNNNNNNNNNNNNNNNNNNNNNNNNNNNNNNNNNNNNNNNNNNNNNNNNNNNNNNNNNNNNNNNNNNNNNNNNNNNNNNNNNNNNNNNNNNNNNNNNNNNNNNNNNNNNNNNNNNNNNNNNNNNNNNNNNNNNNNNNNNNNNNNNNNNNNNNNNNNNNNNNNNNNNNNNNNNNNNNNNNNNNNNNNNNNNNNNNNNNNNNNNNNNNNNNNNNNNNNNNNNNNNNNNNNNNNNNNNNNNNNNNNNNNNNNNNNNNNNNNNNNNNNNNNNNNNNNNNNNNNNNNNNNNNNNNNNNNNNNNNNNNNNNNNNNNNNNNNNNNNNNNNNNNNNNNNNNNNNNNNNNNNNNNNNNNNNNNNNNNNNNNNNNNNNNNNNNNNNNNNNNNNNNNNNNNNNNNNNNNNNNNNNNNNNNNNNNNNNNNNNNNNNNNNNNNNNNNNNNNNNNNNNNNNNNNNNNNNNNNNNNNNNNNNNNNNNNNNNNNNNNNNNNNNNNNNNNNNNNNNNNNNNNNNNNNNNNNNNNNNNNNNNNNNNNNNNNNNNNNNNNNNNNNNNNNNNNNNUUUUCAGGUAACGAGCAGUGAUUGAGUAGAAGCUAGUGCUUGGAGUCUAGUGUAGUCUCCUUAGUGGGUCAUGCUCUGAUAGAUGUAACAUCGGGACGGGAUGUUUUACCUUGUUGAAUAAUUUUACAUGUAAUGUGUUACAUGUUUUGCAUGAUUGAUUUGAUUUCUAUCCGCUGCGUAUUGUGCAAAUGCUUUAUGUUUUGAAUUAAUAAAAGAGCAUGACAGUUAUUAUGGUGAAUGGUGUGAAAUGAUUGUGUGACACCCUUAAUUGCAUAAUUACUCUGAUUGAUAUAUUGCUAUUUUAAUUAAAUAUUUGGGGUAUUUUAGAAGGGUGUUACAUUAGUCGUAUCAGAGCAUAGUCGGUCGAGUCGAGUCGUAAUUAUUCUGUUCCCUGUACGGGACAGGUGUUGCGUAACCCUAUCAGUACUUAUUGUUUUAACUUAUUGGGUUUUCAGAAUAGAGAUGGCUGGAAGAGGUAGAGAUGAUGCUGCGAUUGCUGAGGCUCUGGGUAUGCUAGCUGGAGUACUUGGAGGGAAUCUGAAUGUUGUGGGAAUGGGAGCUGCUCAUCAACUGAGUGAGUUCCAGAAGAACAAUCCUCCAAUGUUUAAGGGAGCAUACGAUCCAGAUGGCGCUCAGAAGUGGUUGAAGGAGAUCGAGAGAAUCUUCCGAGUGACUGAGUGUGCCGAUGACCAGAAGGUCAGGUUCGGUACGCAUAUGCUGUCAGAAGAAGCAGAUGAUUGGUGGGUUGCUACCCGCACUGAGUUGGAAUCUGCUGGGAAUGCUGAGAUCACUUGGGCGGUGUUCAGAGAGAGAUUCCUGAGGAAGUANNNNNNNNNNNNNACCUUAAUGCAUAAUUACUCUGAUUGAUAUAUUGGCAUUUUAAUUAAAUAUUUGGGUAUUUUAAGAAGGGUGUUACAUUAGUCGUAUCAGAGCAUAGUCGGUCGAGUCGAGUCGUAAUUGAGUUACUGUUUCCCAUGUACGGGACAGGUGGUUGCGUAAUCCCUAUUCAGUACUUGAUUGUUUUAUACUUAUUGGGUUUUCAGAAUAAGAGGAUGGCCUUGGAAGAGGGGUAAGAAGAUGGAUGCUGGCCGUUGAGCUUGAGGGCUCUGGGUAAUUUUGCUAAAGCUGAGUUACUUUGGAGGGAAAUCUGCAAUGUUGUUCGUUGGAAUGGGAGCUAGCUCAUCAAACUGAAGUGAGUUCCGAAGAACCAAAUCUCCAUGUUUAAAGGGAGGCAUACGAUCCAGAGUGGGCAUCACGAAGUGGGUUUGACGGAGAUCGAGGAAAUCUUCCGAGUGACUGAGUUGUGCCGAUGACCAGAAGCUCAGAUUCGGUACGCUAUGCUGUUCAGAAGAAGCAGAUGAUUGGUUGGGUAACAAUUGCUACCGCACUGGAGUUGGAAUACUGCUGGGAAAUGCCUGAGAUCAACUUGGGCGUUGUUCCAAGAGAGAGAUUCCUGAGGAAAGUUAUUGUUCCGAGAGGAUUGUUAGAGGAAAGAAUCAGAGAUAGAGUUUCUUUUAGAAUUUGAAGCAAGCGGCAAUCGGUCCUGUUACUGAGUAUCUGCGAAGUUUCACAGAGCUGUCGAAGGUAACACACUCCCUAGAUCGAGGCUACUGGGAAUUUUCAAAGUGGUGUGAAGUUUGACGUGGGUAUUGGUGUAAGAGGCGGGUUACGGUUUUCCGGGUGGUUAGUCCAUCAAGCAGGCUAUUGGUAUAUCAGCGGAUUAGAGUGUUUUUCUAGGAUUUGGUUGACUGUUGGCAGGAUUUUGAAACAGGAUACCCAAAGGCUUUAGAGCGAGAGCUAUUCAGACAAAGGGUUGAUGGAAAGGCAAGAAUCAGAAUGGUCGUGGGAAAACCGUAUGCAGCUGGCAAAGGUUUCCAGAGACAGAGUGGAUGCAGAGGGCCUAGUGGGGGAGACUCCAGUGCCCCUUGCUAAGUGUUUCAGAUGUGGUCAGGCUGGACAUCGUAUCCAUGAGUGUACCAGUAAUGAGAAAGAAGUUGUCAAGUGUGGAAAAUGGUGGUCAUUUGGCUGGCAGAGUGCCGGUUGAAGACUGUGACUUGUUUCAACCUGUGGAGAGGUGGGUCAUAUCAUCCACAGUGUCCUAAAGCCGAAGAUAGAAGAACCAGUCGGGAGGCAAGGUCUUUGCCUUAUCGGGUUCUGAGACUUUUGCAGAUGGAUCGUUUUGAUCCGAGGUACGUGUUAAUAUUAAUGGCUUUCCUCCUCUUGUAGGCUAUUAUUGACACAAGGUGCUACUCAUUCCUUUAUAUCUUUGGAUUGUGCUGUGAAACUUAAGUUAGAGAUAUCUGAGAUGCAUGGGAUAUGGUGAUUGAUACUCCUGGCGAAGGGUUCAGUGACUACUACUUCAGUUUGUUUAAAAUUGUCCUUUGAGUAUUUUUGGUAGAGACUUUGGGAUGGACCUAGUGUGUCUUCAACUAGUGGCAGAUUGACGUUAUUCUGGGUAUGAACUGGUUGGUGUUUAACCGAGUUUAUAUCAACUGUUUUGAUAAGACUGUGAUUUUUCCUGAAAAUGAGGAAGGAAAGAGUUUGGUUCUAUCAGCAAGGCAGGUAAAAUGAGGCAGUAGCAGAUGGGGCCGGGUUGUUUAUGCUGUUAGCGACUGUAGAGGCUAAAGAUAAACUUGGCGAUUUGCGAUCUAGAUGUGGUGGUGUGAUUUUCCUGAUGUUGUUUCCGGAAGAAGUGAAUGAAUUGCCGCCAAGAGGUGAGGUUGAGUUCUCGAUUGAUUUGGUGCCUGGUACUAGGCCGAUAUCGAUGGCUCCCGUACCGUAUGUCUGCUGUUAGUUAACUGAAUAUUGAAAGAGUCAGUUGGAAGAUCUGUUGGAUAAGAAUUUAUUCGUCCGAGUGUGUCACCGUGGGGUGCACCAGUGUUAUUGGUUUAAGAAGAAGAAGGUACUAUAGGUUUGUGUGUGACUACAGGCAACUGAAUAAAGUGACGAUCAAGAAUCGGUAUCCUUUGCCGAGGAUUUGAUGAUUUGAUGGAUCAGUUGGUUGGUGCGAGUGUUGUUCAGUAAACAUAGAUUUGAGAUCGGGGUAUCAUCAGAUACGUGUGAAAACUGAGGAUAUUCAGAAGACUUGCUUUCGACAAAGGUAUGGACAUUAUGAGUAUUCUGUAAUGCCUUUUGGUGUGACUAAUGCGCCUGGAGUAUUUAUGAGUUAAUGAAUAGGAUUUUCCAUCCGUAUCUAGACCAGUUUGUUGUGGUGUUUAUUGACGAUAUUUUGGUGUAUUCGAAAUCUGAAGAAGAGCAUGCUGAGCAUUUGAGAAGUAGUUUUAGGAGUUCUACGAGAAAAGAAAGUUAUUUGCUUAAACUGUCUAAGUGUGAAUUUUGGUUAAAGAGGUAGUUUUCUUGGUCAUGGUGAUUUCAGAGAAUGGUGUUGCUGUUGAUCCUUCUAAGAUAGAAGCGGUAUCUAAGUGGGAAGCUCCGAAGUCAGUUUCUGAGAUAAGGAGUUUCCCUUGGUUUGGCUGGUUAUUAUAGGAAGUUCAUCGAGGGAUUUCUAAGUGGCGUUACCCGUUGACGAUGUGACUAGAAAGGGCAAGCGUUUGUUUGGGACUCAAGGUGUGAGAAGGUUUCCAAGAGUUAAGAGGAGGUUGAACUACUGCUCCUAUUCUGAUAUUACCGAGUUCGUCGAAUCAUUUGAGGUUUACUGUGAUGCUUCAAUUGUUGGGUUUGGGUGGUGUGUUGAUGCAGAAUAAGCCGGUUAUAGCUUAUGCUUCGAGACAACUGAGGGUUCAUGAGAGGAACUAUCCGACACACGAUUUAGAGUUGGCAGCUGUGGUAUUUGUUCUGAAGUUAUGAGGCAUUACUUGUACGGGUCAAGAUUUGAGGUUUUCAGUGACCAUAAAGUUUAAAAGUAUUUGUUUGAUCAAGAAAGAGCUGAAUAUGAGAUAGAGGAGAUGGUUUAGAGUUUCUGAAGGAUUAUGAUUUUGGUUUGAAAUUACCAUCCGGGUAAAGCAACGUAGUGGCUGAUGCUUGAGUCGGAAAUCAUUGCAUAUGUCUAUGUUAAUGGUUAAGGAAUUGGUUUAAUUGAGCAGUUUUAGGGACUUGAGUUUGGUGUGUGAGAGUACUCACAAUAGUGUUAAAUUGGAAAUGUUGAAGUUAACGAGUGGUAUUCUGGAUGAGAUUAGAGAGGGUCGAAAUUCCGAUGUGCUUUUGGUUGAUAAGUUGACUCUAGUGAAUCAAGGUCAAGGUGGUGAAUUCAGAGUUGAUGAGAAUGGUGUUUUGAAAUUUGGUAACCGGGUGUGUAUUCCGGAUGUUACCGAACUUAAGAAGAGUAUUCUUGAGGAAGGACAUCGUAGUGGCCUGAGUAUUCAUCCUGGGGCUACGAAGAUGUACAUGAUUUGAAAAAGUAUUUUGGUGGCCGGGAAUGAAAAGAGAAAUUGCGAGUUUUGUUUUAUUCUUGUUUGACUUGUCAAAGUCAAAGAUUAAGCAUCAGAAGCCGUCUGGGCUAAUGCAACCGUUGGCUAUUCAGAGUGGAAUGGGGUAGUAUCAGUAGGAUUUUGUUUCUGGUUUACCGAGGACAAGUAAGAAUUUUGAAGCCAUUUGGGUGAUUGUUGACAGAUUGACAAAAUCGGCUCAUUUCAUUCCGAUCAGAAUGAUUUAUCCGUUAGAGAGAUUAGCCGAGUUGUAUAUUGAGAAGAUUGUAAGUUUGCACGUUAUUCCGUCGAGUAUUGUUUCGGACAGAGAUCCUAGAUUUUACAUCAAAGUUUUUGGGAAGGUUUGCAGAAGGCUUUGGAGACUAAGCUGGAUUGAGUUCUGCAUAAUCAUCCGCAGACUGAUGGUCGACUGAGAGGACGAUUCAGUCACUAGAGGAUCUUUUUGAGGGCUUGUAUUUUGGAAAAGGGAGGUGCUUGGGACUGUUAUUUAUCUUUGAUUGAGUUUACCUACAACAAUAGUUUUCAUUCGAGCAUUGGUUAUGGCACCGUUUGAAAAGCUUUGGUAUGGUAGGAGAUGUCGACACCUUUGUGUGGUAUGAGUCCGGUGAGAGUGCUUGUGGUUGGACCGGAGAUUGUUCAACAGACUACGGAAAAGAUUAAGAUGAUUCAAGAGAAGAUGAGAAUUGCUCAGAGUCGUGCAGAAGAGUUAUCACGACAAGAGGAGGAAGGAACUUGAGUUCCAAGAGGGAGAUCAUGUGUUUCUUCGUGUUACUCCGAUAACUGGGGUUGGUCGAGCUUUUGAAGUCGAAGAAUUUGACACCUCGAUUUAUUGGUCCUUAUCAGAUUUUGGAGAGGAUAGGGGAGUAGCCUAUCGUAUCGCUUUACCUCAGUCACUUGCGAUUUGCAUGAGGUUUUUUCAUGUGUCUCAAAUUGGGAGGUACAUUCCUGAUCCGUCGCAUGUAGUCCAAAUAGAUGAUGUGCAGGUGAGAGAUAACCUGACUGUUGAAACAUCACCUAUGAGGAUCGAGGAUCGAGAGUUGAAGCCAGUUGCGGGUAAGAGAUUGCUUUGGUAAAGGUAGCUUGGGGAGACCAGCAGGUGGGAAUGUGACUUGGGAACUUGAGAGUCAGAUGAAGGAGUCCUAUCCAGAGUUAUUCGCUUGAGGUAUGUUUUCGAGGACGAAAACUCUUUUAGUUGGGCAGAGUUGUAACACCCCGAUAAAAUAAUGCUAAUUAUUUAAUUUAAGUUAAUAUUAUAUUUAUUAAUUUAAUUAAAUAAUUGGAAUUAUUGGAUUAUUAUUAUUCAUUAUUUGGAAUAAUAAUUAUUGGAAAAUAUAUAAGUUUGGAAAUAAGGAAAAAGAGUUUUCAUUGGUAAAGAGGGUUUCACGUGAAAACAGAGAAGCGGCAGAGAAGUGGAGAAAGGGCAAAGAGGAAGAGAAAGAGAACGAAGGUUGGAGAAGAGAAAAGCUUGAGCUAAAGGAUUGCCGGAUUAACUCAGGUAAGGGGGUUUAUCGUCGUUUAAUGGGUAUUAUGGGUUAACAUGUAAUGGGUAGUGAUAAACCGUUGAAUUGACCCGUAAUUGGGAUGAUGAGUGCUGAAAAAUUGUGAUGAAUAAACUGUGUUAAGGUCUAAUUGAAUCUGUAAUGAUGGGUAGUGAUUUUCCGAACGUAUAGCUUUUUUACGGAAUCGGUAAUCGGAGGUCCGGAAGUCCUCCCAACGGCGGAAACGGCGAGAAUUCUGCAUUCUGCUUCGUGUUGAGCGCAGGAACAGCUUUCCUGUCUUGGGCGUUAACCGUUAACCCAUCGGUUGUAACCGGUUAAACUGUUAUGAAUUGGGAAGUAUUGCUGUUUUGCUGCGUUAACCGGUUAACCCAGGGCGUUAACGCGGUUAACACUGUUGUGAUUUUGAAAAUUGCUGUUCUGUUUGCGUUAACCGGUUAAACCAGGAGCGUUAACCGGUUAACACUGUUAAAAUUGGCCAGGAAGCGUGUUCUGUCCUGCGUUAACCGGUUAACCCAGGGCGUUAACCGGUUAACACUGUUGAAAAGUGGGAAAAUUGGUAUUUUAAUGUUGUGAACAUAAUUGGGGAUUGGCCUAUAUCGGUGUGUGUAUAGUAGGUGAUUACUUCCCGUGUUUUGAGUCUGGAUAGGUAUUAGUAGUAGAGUGUACUAAUACUGUGAUUGAAUUAUUUUUGCAUGACAUGAUAUGAGUAUGUGAUAAAUAUGCCGAUGAUGUUGUGAACAAUAUGCAUAAAUGUUGUGAAUGUAUAUAUUAUGCAUGUAUUUGUGAAUGGACUGUUUUAUGGCUUAGAGUGUGAGCAUAUGUCCAUGUGGAUUGUUGUUGAUGGUUGUAUGCUUAGGUGAAUUUAGCAUGCAUAUUGUGGCCGUUAUGGUGGUAAGCUAAUUCCCAUGGUGAGGAAUUAGUGAGUAAAUCAUUGUGAUUGUUGUUGAUGUUUGCACUGCUAGGUGAUUAGCGUGCAUAGCAAUAGCCCUUGGGGUGGUAGCUAAAUUCCCAUGGUGAGGAAUUAGUGAGUGAGUCACUAGGUCUCAAAUGAGUGGGACCUAGUGAGCUUCGGUAGUCGUAUCUGGAUUUGAUCGGUGAGGUUGAACUAUAUGUCACGAAUAGUUGUACCGCAUGCAUGGAGUCAUCAUUGCCAUAAUGUAUGUAUGGCGUAUAAUAUGAAUGGUAUAUUCCAAUAUUAUACGUGUGUUUUGUGUUGGUGUUGAGUAUGAAUUGAGAUUAUCGUGUGCUUUAUGUUGGUGUGUUGAGUAUGAUGUUGAGUUGAUGUGCCGUCACUGAAGUGUGUGUUAUGAUUAGGGUGAUGAAUGUGUUAAUUACUUAACAUUGCAUGAAUUUUUUAUAAUGCGUAUUAUAUCGAUUGAGGAACUCACCCUUACAACUAUUUUUUCAGGUAACGAGCAAGUGAUUUGAUAGGAGGCUAAGUGCUUGAGUCUAGUGUAGUCUCCUUAGUGGUCAUGCUCUGAUAGAUGUAACAUCGGGACGCGGAUGUUUUAACUUGUUGAAUAAUUUAAACAUGUAAUGUGUUACAUGUUUUGCAUGAUUGAUUUCGAUUUCUAUCCGCUGCGUAUUGUGCAAAUGCUUUAAUGUUUUGAAAUUAAUAAAAGAAGCAUGACACAGUUAGCAUGACAGUUAUUAUGGUGAAUGGUGUGAAAUGAUUGUGUGACACCCUUAAUUGCAUAAUUACUCUGAUUGAUAUAUUGCUAUUUUAAUUAAAUAUUUGGGGUAUUUUAGAAGGGUGUUACAGGAACGGGAACAUAUUUCUGAUAGCGUUCGCAUUGGUUGCAAGUGAAACAAAGGAAGCUUGGAGUUUCUUUCUUAAGAAUUUAAGAAUACACGUUACUCCCCAAGCAAAUAUGUGUCUAAUAUCAGACAGGCAUGAAUCGAUAAAGAGUGCAUAUAACAAUCCGGAAAAUGGAUGACAGUAUCCUCCAUCAUCACACAUCUAUUGCAUUAGACACAUCGCGCAAAACUUCAUGUGCGAGAUUAAAGACAAGGAUCUACGCAAAAUAGUUGUUAACAUGGGUUAUGCGUUAACAGAGGUGAAAUUUAACUGGGGGAAAUCCGAAGAACAAACAACGAUGCUCUAUCAUGAAUAUACAACAUCCCUCGGGAGAAGUCUGCUGAUUUUUUAGCCCGAAGCCCGUGCUAUUCUAGGGCUAUUUAAAGGGUGAUUCUAAACCUAAGAAAAGAAGAGAGAGUUAUGCUGGAAAUUGGUAAUGUUAGGGUUUAGUUGUCAUUGUUAUUUGUGAUUCAUUCUAGUAUCUCUUUGAUACUUGAAUUUGACUGGCUUUAUUGAGUUGUAGUUAUGAUCACUCAUGAGCUUUUAAGAAAGAGUGCAUUCUAUUUCAUUGGAAUUUUGUCUUCAGUUCUUUGACUGUUUUUCAGUAGUUAGCGUUGUUGUGUGAUUGAAGGGAAGUGAGAAGGUUCUCAUAUCUACGAGAGUCUAAGAUAGAAAUUCCAUGGGUAGUGAUUAGGUGUUUGUAAAACCAGAGGUUGUUUAGAACUUCAAACUAAUAUUUUUAUAGUUAGUUUCCUCUAUGGCUUAGAUGCCCUCAGAUGUAGGUGAAGUUGCACCGAACUAGGUUAAUAAUUGACAUGUGUUAUUUAUUUCCUGCUUUUUACACUAUAAUUAUUUCUUGUGUGACAUGUCUUGAACCUGGUGUCGUGACAUCGUAUACGAUAUCUGUUAUCUACGUAAUUGUUUUUGGUGUGACAUGUCCUGAUCCCGGUGUCGUGACAUCGUAUGCGAUAUCUAUUAUCUGCUUACUAUUAUUGUUGUGUGAAGUCCUGAUAUUAGUGUCGUGACAUCGUAUACGACAUUUGAUAUCUGCGUACCAGAAUUUCAAUUGGUAUUAAAGCAGGCACCCUAUUAUGUUUUGGGUGAACUCAUGGGAGAUACUUUCUGGUACCAUGGAAAGAGGAUUUGUUAACAUACCACAUAUCUUAGAUGGAACCAAUUAUGACUAUUGGAAGGAACGUAUGUUGGCAUUCCUAAAAUCUAUGGAUAGCAAGACUUGGAAAGCUGUCAUCAAGGGUUGGGAACACCUGUUGUGAAGGACAAAGAUGGGAAGCCUACUACUGACUUGAAGCAUGAAGAGGACUGGUCUAAGGAAGAAGAUGAACUGGCUUUUGGAAACUCCAAAUCUUUGAAUGCUCUAUUUAAUAAAGUUGGAAAAAACAUAUUCAGGUUAAUAAACACAUGUACCGUGGCCAAAGAUACAUGGGAAAUUCUUAUAACCACCUAUGAAGGCACAUCUAAAGUGAAGAUGUCUAGACUUCAACUUCUCAUUACCAUAUUUGAGAAUCUAAAGAUGAAAAAUGAUGAGAGUAUUCAUGAUUUUCACAUGAAUGUUCUUGAAAUAGAAAAUUCAUCUAGUGCAUUGGGAGAGAAGAUGUCAGAAGAAAAGCUGGUUAGAAAAAUUCUCAGGUCCCUACCUAAGAAAUUUGACAUGAAGGUCACAACCAUUGAAGAAGCCCAAGACAUCAGCAACAUGAGAGUAGAUGAACUUGUUGGGUCACUCCAAACUUUUAAAUUGGGUAUUAGUGACAGAUCUAAAAAGAAGAACAAGAGCAUAACUUUUGUAUCAAGCACUGAAAAUGAAGAGGACCAAUGUGACUUGGAUACUUAUGAGGGAAUAUCUAAUGCUAUUGUACUGCUUAGGAGACAAUUCAACAAGGUGCUGAAGGGAAUGGAUAGGAAGUCAACACCAAAUGUCAAGAACAUCUCAUCUGACAUCAACAAGAAUAAUGAUUCUUGGAGAAAAGAAAGAACAUAAGAAAAACCCAAUCAAGGAAAAGGUAUUCAGUGUCAUGAACGUGAGGGUUUUAGUCACAUUAGGUCAUAAUGUUCCACGUAUCUCAAGAAACAAAAGAAGGGCUUGUCUGUUUCUUAGUCUGAUGAUUCUGAAGGUGAAACUGAUGAUGAAAUUGUUAAGCAUGUUACAACUUUCACUUGUAGAUAUGAAUUUGAUGAAGAUUUUUGUAAUGAGGAUGUCUCUUAUGAAGAAUUUGUUGCUUCAUACAAAGAGCUUUGUGUCAGAAGUGAAGAGGUGUGUAAUACAGGAGAAGAGCAUAAGAAAAUCAUAGCUCAACUACAAGUCGAAAAAGAGAAACUUUUAUCUAUUGUCACUGAUCUUGAAAAUGAGGUAACUAUAUUGUCUUCUAAACUUAAAAACACGACCAAACCCAUAAGAAUAUUGAACAAUGGGUCUGAUAUGCUAGAUGAAAUUCUUCAAGUUGGAAAAGAGGCUGGAAAUUUAAAAGGUAUAGGUUUUAAUUACUAAUAUCAAAAUUAACAAGGAAAAACCUCUGCGACAAAAUUUAUUCCUCCAGAAAGGACGUAUGAUCCCAUGAUGUCCGGCCAAAUGUUACAACAUUCUGCCAGACAUCAGGAAACUCAAACUAAAGUCAAGUUUUUUCCUUGGAAAUGUCAUUAUUGUGGUAAAUAUGGACAUAUAAAGCAUUUCUUCUAUAAACUGUAUGGUUAUCCAAAACAUCCAACACAUCCUAGGGUUAAUCAUGUAAUGAUUAAAAAUAGAAAGGAGUGGAAACCUGAGGUUGUUCCAUGUGAAACUACUUAUUCUUCCACAUGCCUAAUGUCCAAGGAAGAUGAAGUCAAGUUAUGGAACCAGAAGCUUGGACAUCUGAAUCUCAAAGGGAUAUCUCUUGGUUACUCUACAAACAGUAGAGCUUACAUGGUAUCUAACUCCAAGACCAAGGGCAUGAUGAAAUCCAUUAAUGUUGUGGUUGAUGAUUCAAUUAUUGUAAAAGGGAAUGAUGUCGAUGAAGAUGUUGGAACAUCAUCUUAGCAAAUUGAUGCUUCAAAAAAUGUGGAAGACAUUAAGUCAAACAUUGAGCCAACAAGGAAUGAAUCAGAUGCUUCUUCUGACAUCUGAGUUGUUUUUUUCUGUUUGAUUUUGUAUAUUUUUUGUGGGCCUUUGUCCUGAAUAUUGCACCUCUGUGUGCCAUGGUCUGUACCUCAAACUCACUUGUUAUGCUACUGCUUUGUUCUACUAUUUUGUUUCUAUUGAUGAAUGUCUACUUGGUUUAUCAUAUUGUGGCUAAAAAGAGGGAGUAGAUGGUGUAGAGUUGUGCUCUUGAUUUUUUAAUCUUUAUGUGAAGGUUGUUUCUUUAAGAGGGAGUAUGUUUGAUAUGUAUUAGAGGGAGUUAUUUCUAUUCUGCUGAUCAUGACAUUCAAGGGGAGUUUGAUCUAUUUUUGCUUAGAUUGUUGUGUACUUGUUGUGAUGUCAGACAUAAUGUCUUGACAUUUAGUUUCAGAGAAUUAUGUUUGUGCUUAGGCUGUUGUGUACUUGUUAUGAUCUCAGAUAGAAUGUCUUGACAUUUUGUUUUAGAGAAUUUUGUUUGUGCUUAGGAUGUUAUAUGCUUGUUGUGAUGUCAGACAGAAUAUGUUGACAUUUUGUUUCUAAAGGAAGCUUGGAGUGUGAGAGUUUAUUUCUCUCAAUGUGUUUUCUGUGAGGCUGGGUUUCUACUACUUAUUUCUGCUGCGCGUGCCUCUAAUAUGUCUUGGUGUUAUACCAAGUGUUUGGUUGUUUGGUUUUUGUGCUUGCGAUUAUUGCUUUUAUUUUAUCUUUUCUCUAGCUAUCUGAUGCAAAGGUUGUUUUAUCCAAAAAAUUCCAAAAGGGAGAUUGUUAGGUGUGUGCUUUUAUGAUUGGCAGCAAUUUUGUUAAAAUAUGUAUCACAACAAGAUAUUGAGCAAGAUGUCAUGACAUGUUGAUCAGAUAUCUUUGCAGGCUUUGUUUUACUUCUUAAAAGACAUAUUUUAUUAUGAGAUAUCUGAAGAUUAUCUGAAUAUUCAGCUAUCAUAUCUGACUUUCCAAGAAGGUUUAUUUUUGGAACUCUUAUUUCGUUUUCAGCUAUGCACUUGUUUCAUAAAAAGGGAUGUUGAGAUAGUUUAAAGAAACAUUAUAUCAGAUUUGAUUUCAUUAUGCAAAAGAUUGUGCAGACUGGAUGUCAAAACAUUUAAGGUAACAUUUUAUUUGAUUAUGCAUAAGAUUAUGGAAACUGGAUGUCGAAACAUUUAAGGAAACAUUUGAUUUGAUGAUGUAGAAGAUUGUGCAGACUAGAUGUCGAAAUAUUUAAAGAGACAUUCAAUUUAAUUAUGCAUGAUGGAUGUCAAAACAUUUAAGGAGACAUCAUAUUUGAUUCUGCAGAAUGGAUGUCAAAACAUUUAAGGAGAUAUCAUAUUUGAUUAUGCAGAAUGGAUGUCAAAAUAUUUAAGGACACAUCAGAUUUGAUUUGAUCAAAUAUUAUGAAGAACACAUGUUAAAACAUUUAAGGACACAUCAGAUUUGAUUUGAUCAAAUAUUAUGCAGAGCGGAUGUCAAAACAUUUAAGGACACAUCAUAUUUGAUUUGAUCAAAUAUUAUGCAGAACAGAUGUCAAAAUAUUUAAGGACGCAUCAGAUUUGAUUUGAUCAAAUAUUAUGCAGAACAGAUGUCAAAACAUUUAAGGAGACAUCAUAUUUGAUUUGAUCAAAUAUUAUGCAGAAUAGAUGUCAAAACAUUUAAGGAGACAUCAGAUUUAAUUUAAUCAGAUUUGAUUUGAUUUGAUUUGUUUUGGAUCUAUUGAUUUUGUAGCCCAAAGCCCAUGCUACUCUGGGGCUAUUUAAAGGGUGAUUAUAAACCUAAGAAAAGAAAAGAGAGUUGCGCUGGAAAUUGUUAUUGUUAGGGUUUAGUUGUCGUUGUUAUUUGUGAGUCAUUCUAGUAUCUCUUUGAUACUUGAAUUGGACUGAGUUUAUUGAGUUAUAAUUAUGAAUCACUCAUGAGCUUUUAAGCAAGAGUGCAUUUUGUUUCAUUGGAAGUGUGUCUUCUGUUUUUUGAUUGUUUUUCAGUUGUUAUCAUUGUUGUGUGAUUGAAGGGAAGUGAGAAAGGUCUCAUAUCUAAGAGAGUCUUAGAUAGAAAUUCCCCGGGUAGUGAUUAGGUGAGAAGUUUGUAAAACCAGAGGUUGUUUAGAACCUCAAACUAAUAUUGUUAUAGUGAAUUUCCUUCCUGGCUUGGAUGCCCCCGGAUGUAGGUGAAGUUGCACCGAACUGGGUUAACAAUUGACCUGUGUUAUUUAUUUCCUGCUUUUUACACUAUAAUUGUUUCUGGUGUGACAUGUCGUAACCUGAUGUCUUGACAUCAUAUACGACAUAUGUUAUCUGCGUAGUUGUUUCUGGUGUGACAUGUCCUGAUCUUGGUGUUGUGAAAUUGUAUAUGACAUUUGUUAUCUGCUUACUAUUAUUGUUGUGUGAAGUCCUGAUAUUAGUUUCAUGACAUCACAUACGACAUCUGAUAUCUACGUACCAGAAUUUCAAUUGGUAUUAGAACAGGCAUCCUGUUCUAGUAUGGGUGAGCUCCAUGGAGAUACUUUAUGGUACCAUGAAAGGAGGAUUUGUUAACAGACCACCCAUCUUAGAUGACACCAACUAUGACUAUUGGAAGGAAAGUAUGGUGGCAUUCCUAAAAUAUAUGAAUAGUAAGACUUGGAAAGCUGUCAUCAAGGGUUAGGAACAUCAUGUUGUGAAGGACAAAGAUGGGAAAGCUACUAUUGACUUGAAUCCUGAAGAGGACUGGUCUAAGAAAGAAGAUGAACCGUCUCUUGGAAACUCCAAAGAUUUGAAUGCUCUAUUCGAUGGAGUUGACAAAAACAUAUUCAGGUUAAUAAACACUUGUACAGUGGCCAAAGAUGCAUGUGAAUUUCUCAGAACCAUCCAUGAAGGCACAUCUAAAGCUAAGAUGUCUAGACUUCAGCUUCUCACUACCAGAUUUGAGAAUCUAAAGAUGAGAGAUGAUGAGAGUAUUCAUGAUUUUCACAUGAAUUUUAUUGAAAUAACAAAUUCAUAUAGUACCUUGGGAGAGAAGAUGUCAGAAGAAAAGUUGGUUAGAAAAAUUCUCAGGUCCCUACCUAAGAAAUUUGACAUGAAGGUCACAACCAUUGAAGAAGCCCAAGACAUCAACAACAUGUGAGUAGAUGAACUUGUUGGGUCACUCCAAACUUUUGAGUUGGGUAUUAGUGACAGAUCUGAAAAGAAGAACAAGAGCAUAACUUUUGUAUCCAACACUGAAGAUGAAGAGGACCAAUGUGACUUGGAUACUAAUGGGGGAAUGUAUAAUGCUAUUGUACUUCUUAUGAGACAAUUCAACAAGGUGUUGAAGGGAAUGGACAGGAAGUCAACACCAAAUGUCAAGAACAUCUCAUAUGACAUCAGCAAGAACAAUGAUUCUCGAAGAAAAGAAAGAACGAAAGAAAAGCUCAAUCAAAGAAAAGGUAUUCAGUGUCAUGAAUGUGAGGGUUUUGGUCACAUUAGAUCAGAAUGUCCCACGUAUCUUAAGAAACAAAAGAAAGGCUUGUUUGUUUCUUGGUCUGAUGAUUCUAAAGGUGAAACUGAUGAUGAAAUUGAUAAGCAUGUUAGAACUUUCACUGGUAGAUAUCAAUUUGAUAAAGAUUCGUGUGAUGAGGAUGUCUCUUAUGAAAAAUUGGUUGUUUCCUGCAAAGAGCUUUGUGUCAUAAGUGAAGAGGUGUGUAAGACCGGAGAAGAGUAUAAGAGAACCAUAGCUCAACUACAGGAUGAAAAAGAUAAACUUUUAUCUACUAUCACUAAUCUGGAAAAUGAGGUAACUAUAUUGUCUUCUAAACUUGAAAACAUGACCAAAUCCAUAAGAAUGUUGAACAAUGGGUUGAUAUGCUAGAUGAAGUUCUUCAAGUUGGAAAAGAGGCUGGAAAUUUAAAAGGUAUAGGUUUUAUUUACCAAUAUCAAAAUAAACAAGGAAAACGCCUGUGACAAAAUUUAUUCCUCCAGAAAGGAAGUAUGAGCCCAUGAUGUCCGAUCAAAUGUUACAACAUCCUGCCAGACAUCAGGAAACUCAAACUAAAGUCAAGUUUUUGCCUUGUAAAUGUAAUUACUAUGGUAAAUAUGGACAUAUAAAACCUUUCUGCUACAAGUUGUAUGGUUAUCCAACACAUCCGAAACAUCCUAGGGCUAAUCAUGUAAUUAUUAAAACUAGAAAUGAGUGGAAACCUAAGGUUGCUCCACGUGAAACUACUUGUUCUUCCAUAUUCCUAAUGUACUACUUAAGGUACACUACUAACUUUGAAUCUUUAGAUAUCUUAAAGGUAUUACUAAUUUUGGCUUGAUUUAUAGAAAAUCCAAAGAGUACAAGUUAGUAGGUUAUUGUGAUGCUGACUAUGCUGGAGACAGACUAGAAAGAAAGACCAGUAGUGGAAGUUGUCAGUUUCUUGGUGAUAAUCUUAUUUCAUGGUCCAAUAAGAGACAGUCAAUAAUAACAUUGUUAACGGCUGAAGCAGAAUAUAUUGCAGCAGCAGUUUGUAGCAUACAUAUCCUCUAGAUUAAAAAUCAGCUAGAAGACUAUCAUAUUCUUGAGAAUAACAUUUAUAUCCUUUGUGAUAAUGUGUUUGCAAUUUGUUUAUCUAAGAACCCUAUUUUUCACUCCAGAGCAAAACAUAUUGAAAUUAGACUCCAUUUUAUAAGAGAUUAUGUUCAAAAGGGUAUUAUUAAUUUAAAAUUUAUAGAUACAGACCAUCAAUGGGUUGAUAUCUUCACAAAACCCCUUAUUGAAGAUAAAUUCAAUUUUAUUCUGAAAUUUGUAAAUAUGGAAUUUUGUCCAGAAUAAAACAACAUUGUGUGUAACCUAUGGAGAGUCAAAAUAAGACUUUGAGAUAACUUGGCUCUGAACCAAUUAAUCCUCUGAAGUUAGAUGGCUCUUUGGGUCAGAAGGUCCUAAGUCAUAAUCCCUCUGCGACUUUUUGUCUUCUGGACUCUGAGUUUAAAAUUAAUGGUGGAAAACAAGUGUAGUUUUGUGUGACUCUAAAGUAAGACAUAUGUCCUACAUUAAGUUGUCUGAACGCUUGAAGUUACCCCUUGGAAAACACUAUUUUUUGGGUAAAGAUAAAAUCGUUACUCUCGCCUCUUUUAUAAGUAUGCGUGUAUUUCAAAAUUUGUGUUAAUUAUUACUUUUAUAUUUAAAACUCAUUUUCACUCACUUCUCUUACACAACGCAACUCUCACUACUCACACUUAAAUCUUUUCAAACCUGAAAACCUAAAAAUUUACAAGUUAUUCAACAAAACCCGUUUGAAAUGGUUGAAAACUUCUCUGAAACCUCUCUAUAAACACCGGUUAGUGACAUGAGUAUCAUAAACAAUAUUGAGUAAAGGAUCAGUUAUUUUUACUUAGAAAACAUUACAGCUCUAAAAUCAAUUACAAAGCAAGAAGAGACACUACAAAAGAUUACAACUUUGAGACUAGGCCGGCAUUCCAACCACCUAACCUAAGGAAAGUCUUAUAGUCCUCAAUAAUGUCUGAUCCACUGUUUUCAACUGGCUUCUUCUUCUUGAGGUUCUCCAUCCUCGGCUUUGAAGUUCUUCCUAAUAAAGUUACUCCAGUAGAUGUACCAACUUGUGUUCUUGAACCUUCAGAGGAUUUAAUCCUAAAUCUUUGUGCUUCCCUUCAACAUCCUUGAGCUUCAAAAUAGCCUUGCUAACUUCUUUAGAGGAACCCUUCUUAGAGUUCUAUGAUAAACUUCUCAUGUCAAGAGAUAGACGAAGAAGAGAUGAAGAAGAGAUGGAAAAGAAAGAAUUAUGAUCUUGCUUGUAACAAAACCUCUCUCUUAUAUAGAGAGUUUGGGAUAAAGAAAAAUCAACUUUAUUUAAUGUGCUCCAAUGGACAAAGGAGAGAGAAAUUUCUUGGUCUUCAAGCAUAUUUCCCCAAGUUUGAGUGCUACUGGAUUGGACCAACUCGUGAAUUAAAGAGAUGUUAUUGAUCAUUCUAGCCAAUCUCAUCCAAAUCCUUUUUGUUUCUAGUUUGAUUUUUUUUUAUUAUCUCUUUCAAAAAUCAAUUUUAAAGUCUUCUAUUCUAUUUAUUCUUUUUGAUUAAUGACAAAUGGGGGAGAAAUGAAUAUGAUUUUGAUAUACCUUUAUUCCAUAACAAAUCCCAAACAUGAUAUAUUUUUAUUCCUUAAAUUUUUGAGGAGAUUUAUUAACUAGGAAAUUAGAUCUGUGUUCUUAAGUUUAUCAACCAGUCAAUUGGAUUUCUUAUUGAUAAUAACCGAGCACUAAAGCACUUAUGAUAACUAGGUGAACAUUUAUUGUCAUGCUGAUAAUUUUUUUCUGGAAUAUCAAAAAAAAUUCCAGUCUCAAUCUCAAGGGGAGCUUACAAACCCCACUCUGAAGAAGCUGAGAAUAAUUUUGAUAGUGUAAAACUCAGAGGGAGAUUAUAAACCUAACUCUGAUGUUUUAAAAUUUUGAUUAUCGAAGUAAAAAUGGUUCAUUAAAAUACAUGGAUUGUCAUUAUCAAAAAGGGGGAGAUUGUUGGAACAAGUUGGGUUCUGCAACUAUUCUUGAGUUUUGAUGAUAACAAAGCAUAAUAUGUAUGGAGAAAAAUUUUGUACUCUAAUUAUUCUGUUAAGUGCGUAGAUCAAAGAAAACCAGUUCUAACUUAGAUAAAGUUAAAUCUGGAUGAACCGGGAUUUGAACUGUAGGCGCACUCUGAACCAAAGGAAGAAACAAAGACAUGCUUUAAAUGAAAGUCAAGCAUCUAGAUUACCAGGUCAAUGCUUCUGCAAGAAUCUAUCCAGAAUGUCUCUGAUAAAGAAUCUUAUGAUUCAAGCCUCUGAAGUCUCAGAACUAUGAACUCUAUAGACUCUGAAGUCUCAUUUUCAUCAGAUUCUGAAGACAUGCUCUGACUUCUAUUCAAGUUUCAGCAACUUAAAUACAAAGCCUUUAACUAGAAGUUAAUGACUGAAAGAAGAAUACACGGAAAGAUUACAAUCAAUACAAAAUAAAAUAUCAUUUCCACUACCCUAUAAAUUAGGAAAAAGAACUAUACUAUUAUACUAAUAUGGUUCCUCUUAUCCCAUCCUCUCUCCCACUCUAUGUUGCAAGUGCCAUUUUACUAUUGUAUAAUCAAGCAACUUCGUACAAGUGUGAUAUUGAAGAUAUUCCAAUUCCACCCUUCAACGGAUCUAUUCUUCAUCUAAAUAAAGAGGUCUUGGAAGUUUGGAAAGAAAACAAAACAUAUACGUGAAGAAAAAUAUACAUAAGUGAAAGGAAAAGGAGUGUUUCACGCCAAGAAAAAGAUCAUGUUCAUACUCUUUGAACAUUUUCUUGAAUAUAUCUCUUAAGAGUAAUCUCUGUUUUUAAUUUGUGUAUUUGCUUAUUUUAGAAGCAACUUUGUAAACACAAUCUUGUAUUCUUAACCUUUGGUUAAAUACCUUGAGAGACUAGGUUAUAGUCAGGAUUCUCAAGAAGUCUUAGAAAUGUUAUCUUUGAGUUUGUAAUCAAGUCUUUGAUUAGUGGAUUAAGUCCUUAUUGAGAAGGUAAGAUCACUCUGGUGGGUGGACUGGAUGUAGCUUAGUUAACAGCGAACCAGGAUAAAAAUAUAUGUGUCUUUUAUCAUUGUUGAAUCUUUACUAUUUGUGUUCUUCGGUAGUGAAUUUUUUUUAAUUAAGAAACCCAAUUUAAACCCCUUUUAUUAUGUUUCUUGAACCUUCACUAACUUGAACCAACAAUACAUAUGGUUCUUGUUCCACUAACUCAAGCAAUUAACUUAAAUCAUUAUGAUCAAACUCAAAUAAAACCAAUUGAAUUAUGCAUGUUAAAAAACUAAUUGAUUCAAACUUGAUUCAGAGAUGUGCAAUCAUGAAGGAGACUAAAUAAACGAUAACAAACAAAACGAAAGUGAUAAGACAAGCAAUAAAAUUGUAUUGAGGUUCUCCCCCUGAAUGUAUUAGGGACAUGUGACUUCCAAAGGAACCAUAUUCUCAACAUUUGGAGUUGCAAUACUUUGAUCAAAAUUCUUGCUCUGAUACCAAUAACUGGGUGCGAAUAUGACACAAACAGGUAUGAAAUGAGGGGGGAGGGGGGUGAAUAGACCUAUUCCCAAGUAGAAAAUUUCAAAAAUAUUUUUAGGUCCCAUAAACAAAAUCAGAUAUUUUAAAAAUACACAGAAGCAAAACACAACACUAAGAGAGCUUAUAAGCAUCUCAAUAAAUUAAUUCAACAAAGGCAAUACAAGACAUCACUAAAGACACAAGACAUCACUAAAGACACAAGUCUUUCUAAAGCAAGAAAAUUACAAGAUUACCAAAUUCGUUUUAAUCCAAGCGAUUUAAAAAUUCUUUACGUAGAAAUUCACUCAAGACAUUAUUAGAUUUAUGAUGAUUCAAUAUGUUUGUUGCAUCGCAUACCUAAGAUUACACAUUAAAUAGUUGUAAGCAAAGUCUAACCUACAUGACGUACAAACUAUGCAAUAAUGCAAUAGAUAUAGUAAUGAAUACAUAAAAUCAAAAGAGAUAAGGGAAGAGAGAAGGGUACAUAGAAAUAUAUAGUGGUUCGGAGUUUGCCCUGGUUUUUCCCACUCCAUUAUUCAAUGGUGUUAAAACCAUUUGAAAAUAACCACAAACUUCCACUAUUUUGAUAAGUUUGAUACAAGCAUUUUGAGUACAUCAAAAUAUCGCACGAUAAUUUCCUUAGUUGAUGCAGAUACUCAAAUUGCUAACAAACACAAUAUCAUCAAUAAUCUUGAUCCAAUAACCUUACUAUCCACAAUAAUCCUGCUCUAAGUCUUCGUAUGUGGAAAUCCACCUUGAUCCCACUAAUUUCUUGUUUGGGCGAUUUCCAUAGAUAAGCUUCAAUUGAUCAACUCUCAAAUUUUUCUGUGAACAAUCUUCACACAAAUUUACCAAAGUUGGACAACUUCCAAACCCGCCUUACGAAUAGUUUGUACUCGACUUCUCCAAAGUCUUCCAUGGAGUAUAGUGAAACUCUACUCUUGAUGAAUAACUCAAUAUCCAAACCGCAUUCAAGAAAUAAUCUAUGCACAUGUUACAAACAUCAAAAUUCAUACAAAAAUAUUAGAUACCCUAAUGUACCACAAGUCUCUAUCAAACACUCAAUCUUUAGAGAUGAGGUUCCACAACACUGAAUAAGGACUAAGGUUGAAGAUGAUGAACAAUGCCAAAAUAAUCACACACACACACACAUACACACAUGCACACACACACACACGUACACACACACACACAUACACACACACACACACAUACACACUAAUUCACAAGAUAUCAAUAAGGAAUUAGAUGUUGGUCAAUGAAAAACACAUACAAAGUUUGUCUCAAGUUUUUGGAUAAACGGGUCUUGGAUCUUGAAGAUUAUCAUGAGCUUGAUCAAAAUUGAAUGAUUACAUGAUUGAUAAACUCUUUGUCUCUAGUUUCUCUCAACAAGGCAAUUAUAUAAAUAAUGUAAUAAAAAGAGAGAUGUUAUAUAACAUGUAUUAACACCAAAGAAGUUAUUCUUCAAAACAAGAGAAAUAUUCAAUGGUGCUAGGAAUAGACACACUAGAGAAGAAAAAACAAAUUGACAUUUUUGUAUUAGGGUUUCACAAAGACUUUCAUCAUGAACAAGAGUCACAAUGAGAGUUACUUGACACCCUUCAACUCUACUUAGAAUCAAAGAAACAACUAUUUAAAUCUAAGGUGGAAAAUUAGAGUUUUGAUGCUUGACUCGAAUCAAACACAAACCAUGAUUCAAGUCAUAUUGACUUGUGAUUCAAUUCAAGUUCAACUUGUGAUUCGAGUAAAAUAACACAGAGGCACAAACCAAUUUGCACAACUUGUAUGAUUCAGUGAUACAAUUCACAUGAUUUGAAUCAAACAAAUAAACACCUUGAUUUAAGUGAAUAUCGAUAAUAUCUCGAUAACUUCUGCCCAUUUGACAAAUAUCAAAAAGAGAAAAGAAAGAGAGAAAACAACGCAAACAACUAAAUUCAUGAUAACAUAAAAGCCAAAAUAGAAAUCACACUAGUGAACUAAAACCACAUAAAUCGCUUAUGAUACCAACUACCGCAAACAACACAAUUUGAACAAAUAAUCAAGAUAAAAGAGAUAGCAAUGAUAAAUAACAUAGAUACUUAAAACACAUGGAUAAAAGUUGCAACAAGUACAUAACUAAAAUAUAUAAUGUCAAUAUCACAAAAUAGUAUCAGAGAAAAUCCAAAGGAGCCCCCAUAGUAAAUUCCUAAGGAUAACACGUUAUGGUCAUGUUUCCUGACACGAUCGUGUUCUCAACACGACCCCCCAUGUCAGACAACAUGGCCUUUGUCAGACCUAGUUUCUGCUGUAAACUUUGUCAUUCUGUAACAUUUUCUCGACUUCUAAACUUCCAAAACUACCUCUUUUAAUUAAUAAGUAACCAUUUAUGUUUGUGCUCGAAAUUAUGAGGCCUCAAUGGUCCUCUUAUUGUAUAAAUAGUGGUUAUUUGUUAUGAUUAAGGGGGUAACAUUUUUUAGGAGACUCUAGCAUUAUUUUCAGUUUCAUCUUUUUCUCUAUUGUAAUUUCUCUGCAACUUAUUUGUACUCUUUGGAUUUAUUUUAUCAAUUCAAGCUUUUUUGUCUACAGUUUAGGUUAUUUCCAUUUUAUCUCAAUUAUUUCUCAUUUAAUUUCUAUGCAUGCUAUGUCUUUAUUUUGUUUAAUUUGUGUCAAUCUCACCAUGAGUGAGUAAUCCUCUAGGUACAAGGGGUCAUGAGAUCUAUCUCAUGCCAAACCCUCGAUGAAUUUAUCCAUUAACAAAUUAUGAUAAAAAUAGUUUAAAAGUUAUUUUAGGAUCAAAUUUCUUAAAUAUAUUUGUGUCAGCUAGCAAAAGCAAAGGCAACCUAGAUGUUGAUCAUGUACCAAAAGUUAGUGAUUCGGCAUCCAACUGUGGUUGGCUAAACAUCCGAUAACGAGACGAAACCUACAAGGUGUCUUGUUCUCAGUUGAGAGAGCCGAUUAGCUAUGCUAAAAUCACGUCUAGACACACACGCCACAAAAGUGGGUGUAUUGCAUUUUUAUCUACUUUUCUAUAAUUUGCUCUAGUUUCUCAUAAUUGAAAUGGAAAGUUAAUUGCGGAGUUUGGGAUAGAUACCAUGUACCCUAUCUCCUGCUUUUUUUUUAAUUGUUAUUAUCAAUUUUAUUUCAUUAGUACUUAGAUCCUUGAAAAUAUGAUCGCUUUAGCUACAAACUAUUAGGAUCAAAUUCAACACUCAUAUACAUUUCCAUGUUGGUUCGAUCUUAUUGUAUUACUUCACAUUGUUGUGCACUUGCGGCUGUCAUACCCUAAAACUUGUCCUACUUUUUUUCAAUUUUGUCUGGCCUAUUUCUCAUUGUAUCUGCAUACUCACAUGCCCUAAUCAUCCCUUAUAAGACAGUCAUUUACAAUUGCAUGCACAUCAUUGAUUCAAAAGUUCUUGCUAUUUAUGACACAAGGAUUGGAUUCUUGUCAGUUGGCUUGGAAAUUAUCAUGAACUAGGGUUUACUUCCAUGGCAUAUAUGGGAUUAAACCUUUUGGGAUUGUUUUACAUUGACCUAGUUGGUCAUCUCUUGAAACCCUAAUCCUUGGCAUAAUAUUUUAGCAUGAUUGGAUUGCAUCAUGGAAUGUUUGAUUUUAAAAGGGGCAUUGUUAAGUUUGACUUUUUCUGGUCAUGUUCAUAUAAAGUAUUACUUAGUGAUUACUAAUUAUUAUUGCUUGGUUCAUGACAUGGCAUUCAUACAAGAUCAAGUUGUAUGCGAAUUUCAAAAAGAGCCAAAAUUUCAAAUUUUCAAAUAUGGAGGGAAAAGUUAUAUUUUACUUAGGGCAUAAGUCAAGUUACAUAUAAUGGUCAAUCUACAUCCAAGACAUCAAAAAAGUACAUUACAAGUGCAUAUUUGGGAUUACAUGAAGAAACCCCUAAUUUUGACCUAAAGUUGACUUUUGAUCAAUUGUUGACUUUUUGGUCAAAUGGUUGACCAAAGUCAACUUAACCCUAGACCUAUUACCUUCUUCAUCUUCAUGGGUCCCACUUUGAUCUCCAAGUCACCAAUCUUCAUUAGGGUGCAUCAUACCAAGUUUUGCCCAUGUUCAAGCCUUAUACCAAAAGUCAUGUUUUGCUCAUGUCAUCAUCUUCAUGCCAAGCCAAGUUAGCCCUGCAACUCAUACAUAUUGCACCAAUUAGUUUCAAUAUUAAGCACAUCUACCAUUGAAUCAAGCAAGUACCUACUUCAUAUGAACUUCCUCUAACUGUAGCAUGCUAAUAACUUAAUUCAACUUUCCAAAUCAAUUCACUACAACACCAUUCAAUAACUAACUAUUGAAACUAUCAAUUAUAACUUAAAAGUUCAUCCUUACAAGCUUAACCAAUUUCACUCAAUGACUAAUCAUCAACCUAGCUAACAUUCAAAUUCAAGUAUUACAUCUAACCUACUGCACUUAGCAUCUUCCAUUCAUUCUAACAUGGCUCAAGUUGCAACCCAAAACAACCUGCAUAAUUCCCUGCAUGAAUAAACUUCAUUUUAAACUACAUUCAAGCCAAAGCAUAGCCUACACGAUUUCAAAAUUCAUAACACAAGUAGUUAAAACAAAACUUCAAAACAGAAUUUCACUACUAACUUGUCACUAAUUCAAUUUUCAUUAAUUCAAAUUAGGCCAUCAUAGUUCAAUUAGGAAUUAACAUCAUUCAGUAGAAGAUUUCUAACCAACAGCCUGUGUAUUGUUCUACUAACAAACUAACAACCACAUUCUAAUUAUCUUCCACAAUGCCUAACAUUCCAAGCAUUUCACCAAGCUCUUAUGCAUAACUAACCUUCAAACUGAAGUACAGAAAACUCCAAAAAUAGUUUAGUAACUAACUUUAUUCACAUUCUAACACCAAUAAAAACAAUCACAUAACAGCUCCACAAUUAAUUUGUUGCAUAACUAGUUGCACAUUCAUAAGCAGUUUCACUUUUUUCUAACUUCAAAGUCACUAACAGCAGGCAUACAUAGAAAAUAGAAUUUUCACAAAAAAUCAUUCAUAGUUAACCAAAAGGGCUCCAAUUACAGUUCAAGUUUCAUGGUAGCAUCAGUUCAUUAAAGUUUGAACUACACUUAACUCACUAUACCACAAUUCCAUUCCUAAUUCUAACUGCCAACCUACUGUUUCACUAAUUGAUUCCAUUUCAUAAAUAACUAACUAUUUAACUAACAAUCCCUAAUAAAAAACAAUUCAGAUGUUAACCAAUUAAUUAACCUAAUCACCAAAUGAUUUUUCACAACCUUCUAACAACUAACUAAUUAAUUUUAGUUAACACUAACAUUUUAUCAGUUCAUAACCACAAUUAGUUCAAACAUAAUUCUAACACUCUAACAUCAUAACUGUUUUCAACUAACAUCUAACAACUAACUUAACAUAAUUCAAUUUAGCUAACUGUCACAAACUGAAUUUAACAAACUAAUUUAACAGAGUUAUAAACACCUAACAACUUUACUCACUGAAUAUCUAACAGAGUUACUUGCCCUAACUUGUUUGACCUAACUUCCCUAUUCAGUUACUCAAAACAACCUCUAUAAAAUCAAUUCAUCUUCUUCAAUCACAGGUGACUAAUCAUAAUUCUACAAAUUCACCAAAAGAUUCUCACUUCACCACUCCCAUCACCCUCACUACACGCUCCAAUCACCAUAGUUUUUAGAGCUUCAACAUCUGAAGCUCUAAACAAUUGAGCUAAAUCCUCACCAUUCUCUCAAUCUACACGCGAUAAAUUAUAGAAUAACGCAUGCUCCUACAGACUAGAGAAAAUACUAAGAAGGAGAAGAAGAGGAACUAAGCAUCAAGUUCAAAGAAAGAAGAUUCACAGACCUGAAGAACAAUAUCUCUGACAAACGCCAAGCUUGAAGAGCCGUCGGAGCUACUCCGGCAGGUAAGCUCUUCUCCUUUUCCUCUUUGAUCCAUGCAAAAAUAGUCACCAUAAUGUAGAUUUGUCACUAGCGAUCCAAACCCCUAAGGUUUGGACUCAGUUUUAUCUGCCAUAUGCUUUUAAUUUAUGUUUGGUAAUUUAGGGUUCAUGUUUUUCUUUUUAUUUGAACAAUUGAUGAGGGAUUGAAACGAAUUGGGAUGGGAUUAUGAAAGAGGGAGAGAAGACGGUUAGGUUGAGUUAAGUUUGGUGGUGAUUUGACCUCCGCCGCCGUUGAUGGUGAAUUCCAACACGGCGAAGUUGUGACCUCAGAAGUUGUGAACCCAGAUUUGCUUUCACAUACCCCCCAUUUUCUCUUGGCUAGAGGUGUUUUAGGCCUCAAAGGCUCAUAAUCCCAUGACAUUGCCAACAACACCCACAAUGUUUCCAGACACCCCCUUUUCUUGAAUGAUUAACACAACCAGCGAUGGGUUUCCAUCUUGAGCCCAAUGUAUUUCUUCAUGGCAUACCCCUAGUCUGAUGCAUGCAUCCCCUGCAGUUUGGGCUUGAUCUUGUUUUUCUAGUUGUUUUUCUUUGCUUUAUUGUUUCUUAAAUAUUAUUUUUAAUAUUUUACACAUUUUAUUAUAAUUUCCAAUGAUAAUUCUUAGAAUUAUUGAAUAGUUCAUACCUUUAAAAAAUCAUAUACUUAAUAAAGAUAAUACACCUUAGUCUAGAAAUAAUCAUCGAUUUUAAAAUUAUUUUUUCAAUUAGAUUUUAGAAAUUAAUUAGCAUUUUGGAUGGUUUUAAUUUUAGAAAUUAGUAGGUUAACAUAUCCCUUAAUAAAGAUCCAUGUGCUUGUAGUUUUGGGUUCAUGCCCGAUUGAUUGAUCAAAAUCAAUUUUGAUCAAUUAAUCACUUCACUUUUACUUUAUCCCCUAUCCAGUCAGUGAUCAAAAUUGUCUUGAUCACUUGAUAGGAUUAGAUCUCUAUACUUGCACUGCAUUGGACCUCAAGCCAAGUCAAGCUUCAUACUCAAGGUUGAAAACAUUGGAUAUCAAGAUCGGAUGAUUGCUCAAGCACAACAAAAAUAAAUUUUUUCAACACUUGAUAUUUAUGAUGAGGAUUAUAUGUCAUGAGCCUUAAGCAACAGAGAAGGAUGAGAUAUAUUUUUCAUAUCCUUGUUUUGAGUACCUCUGCGUACGGGGCGUAUGCCCCAGUUAUUCAGAGUAUUCGCAUCCAUUCAUAGACUUUAGUGCAAUUUAAAUUGAAUAAUUGUCAGUUCUUUUUACCCACAGAUAGCAUAUCAACACAAAUGACAUCUCAACAUUGAAACACUGCUCCAUCAACAAUACUCUUCUCUUUGGACCCAACACAAGCUUCUUUGUCAUCCAUACUCCAUUGGUUAAUCAUUGUCUAUCAGUUAAAAUAUCAAUCUUUCUUUAUUUGGGUUAAUCACCUCUCAUAGUUAACAUACCCUCUUUUUGCAUUGAUUAAUCACCGUCUAUCGGUUAAAAUACCACUCUUUCUUUCUUUGGGUUAAUCACCUCUUACGGUUAACAUACCCUUUCUUCAUGGGUUAAUCACCAUUUCUUGGUUAACAGACAUUUCUCUUUGGUUUAGCACCAUUCUUAUUUCUCUCUCUGGGUUAAUCACCAUCUUGCUUAAAACAUUCACCUCUUUGGUUUAAACACCACUUUCCUUUUCUUUGGUUUAAACACCACUUUUAUUUCUCUCUUUGGGUUAAUCACCAUCUUGGUUAAAACACCCAUCUCUUUGGUUUAAACACCACUUCUCUGGUUUAAACACCGCUUUCUAUCAUUUAUAUCACUCUUAUCAAUUCCUUGGUUUAAACACCACAUUUAUUUUAUCUCUUAGUUUAAACACCACUUUUAUUUCCUCUUUGGUUUAAACACCACUUUCUUACUUUUAUUCAGUUUAAACACCACUUUCCUUUUCUUUGGUUUAAACACCACUUUUAUUUCUAUCUUUAGGUUAAUCACCAUCUUGGUUAAAACACCCACCUCUUUGGUUUAAACACCACUUUCUUUUUCUUUGGUUUAAACAUCACUUCUUUGGUGUUUCAGUUUAAACACCACUCUUUUGGUUUAAACACAACUCUUUUGAUUUAAACACCACUUCUUUGGUUUAAACACCACCUUCUUUUUAUUUGGUUUAAACACCACUUCUUUGGGUUAAACACCACUCUUAUUUUAGUUUGGUUUAAAUAACACUCUUUCGGUUUAAACACCACUCUUGAGGCUAAUCACAUUCUCUUGGUUAAUAACCUCUCUCUUUGUUUUAAACACCACUCUUUUGGUUUAAACACCAUUUUCUUUUUCUUUAGCUGAAACACCACUUAUUCGGUUUAAACACCACUCUUAUUUUUGUUUGGUUUAAACACCACUCUUUUGGUUUAAACACUCCUUCUUUGAUUUAAACACCACUUUCAUUCCCUAUUUGGUUUAAACAUCACUUUCAUUUCCUGUUUGGUUUAAACACCACCUUUAUUUCCUAUUUUCCUUCUCUUUGGUUUAAACACCACUCUUAUUUUACUUCUUUGGUUUAAACACCACUUUUAUUUUCUCUUUGGUUUUUUUAAUCCUCUGGUUUAAAUAUCUUUCCCUAGUAGGUCUUGAUCCCUGGAUCUAGGCAAAAUCCUACAACUUCUUUGGUUUAAAUACCAUUUUUUUAGUUUAAACAUCACUUCUUGGUUUAAACACCAUUUUUUUGGUUUAAACACCACUUCUUGGUUUAAACACCACUUUCAUUUUCUCUUUGAUUUAAACACCACUUCUUUUGUUUAAACAUCACUUUUUUGGUUUAAACACCACUUCUUCGGCUUAAACAUCACUUUUAUCAAUCUUUUGGUUUAAACACCACUUAUUUGGUUUAAACACCACUUUCUUUUUUUAUCCAGUUUAAACACCACUUUACGCUUGUUUGGUUUAAACACCAUAUUUAAUCACUUUUUUGGUUUAAACACGACUUUCUUUCCUUCUUCGAUUUAAACACCCCUGUCUUUUCCUUUCCGGUUUAAACGCCACUUUUACUCCUGUUUGGUUUAAACACCACCUUUUAUCCCUUCGUUGGUUUAAACACUACUUUUAUCCCCCCUUUGGUUUAAACACCAUUUUUAAUCAUACUUGUUUUAAACACCACUUUUUUUCUUCCUUGAUUUAAACAUCACUUCUACUUCUUUUCUUGGUUUAAAGACCGCCUUUCUAUUACUCUCUUGGUUUAAACAUCACAUUUAUUUUAUCUCUUGGUUUAAACACCACUUUCAUUUCUCUUUUGGUUUAAACACCACUUUCUUUUAUUCUUUGGUUUAAACACCACUAUCCAGUUUAAGCACCAUCUCAAAAAUCUUUCAUCAUUCAUUCACACAUCUCUAUUUUCUGCCCUUGGUUGUAUGAACUACGGAGCUCUGAUUUCCUUAUUGCACUAUGAGGAUACGUAGGCACGAGAGUCCGAAUCCUUGACGGGCACACUAAUUAUUAAACUUUUUCCCUUUUGUAAGUAACCUUUAGAUAAUAACACCCAUUUGUGCAAAUAACAAUCAAAAUUGUUCCCAUUGAGUACAACAAAUGUGAUGGGUGCUAAUUAUUGGUGUAAGCCCUAGAAGUCAAUAUUUUUGGUACUUGUAUCGAAUAAUAAUAAAAAGUUUUUUCUUUAUUAUGUUUGUUUAAUAAAGUCCCUAGAAUAGCUAGUUCAUUUAAUGUAUCAAAUGUGACUUAAUCAUGAAAUCACAUUAAACAUAAGGACAUUGUUCUUAAAGUAUCCGUAGUCGAGCUUUAUUGUGAAGUGGGUUAACAUUAAAGCAUUAAAACUAUUAUGUAUAUAGACUGAUGAUCACAUCUCAUGGAUCAUGGAUAAGGAGUUAUCAAGUCUUAAACAUAGGUAUGAAUAUUAAGAGUAAUAUUUAUAUUGGAUAAUACUAUAUAGAAUGUUAUGAAAAGGUGUCAUAAGUUAUCUUCUCAUGUGACAAUGGGUGUAUACCCCUCCUUCGACCUGAAACCACUAUGGACCCUAGAUGUAGAGUCGAGUGCCUUAUUGCUGAUCAAACAUUGUCCGUAACUGGAUGACCAUAAAGACAGUUGAUGGGUACUCCACGAAGCAUGCUGAGGGACAUGAGUGGCCUAGAUGGAAUUUUGCCAUCCUGCGUAACAUGAUAAAUGUCUAUGGGCCAAAUAUUGAACUGGACAAGGAUGACACGGUCUAUGCCUUGUGUUUAAUAUAGACAUAAGGGCAAAAGGGUAAUUGUACACAUAAGUAUUAUCUUAAAAGGGUUUGUCAUAUCACAUGACAUUUUCGUGUCUUGGGUAGCAGUGAUGUGUUGCUAGAUACCGCUCACUGUUUAUUAUGUUAAAUACGUGAUUUAAUAUAAUUGCUAAUGCCACGAAAACCUACAGGGUCACACACAAAAGGAUGGAUUGAUGAGAUAUAGAGUAACUAAGGAACACCAUAAGGUACGGUGCACUUAAGUGAAUUGUAGAACAUCGUAAGGUACGGUGUACUUAAGUAGAAUACGAAAUAUGGUAAGGUACCACGCGCUUAAGUGAUUUUAUUAAUAAGAUAUGGGGCCACAUACACUUAAUGCGGGCUUUUUAGCUUGCAUCCACACAAGUGUUCUAUAAAUAGGAACCCUGUGCAGAAGCAUUUGGUGCAUUGUUAGAUUCCGUCUCUCUCUCACUCACUCAAAGCCUUCAUUCGUAGCAGCUAGCACUGAGAUUGAAGGAAUAUGUUCGUGUGGACUGAGUAGAGGUGUUGUCACCAUUCAACGUUCAUGAUCGCUCCGUAGAUCUGCAUCAAAGGUUUCAAUCACCACAAGCGGUAACGGUUCUAUCACUGAUCAUGCCCAUCUGUAAGGAUCACUAAAGGAGAAUAUUUUAAAUUCCAUUGCAUUUUGGAUCGCUCUUCUCCUUCACUAAUACCUUUCCCUUGCAUAACCGACUUCCUUACCCAUUUCUCUUCCCUUGGGUUUUAUCGAUAUUUUACAUUUCCUUCGGUAAUAGAUAAAGUUCAGUGGCGACUCUGUUGUAUCUUUGAGCGUGUGAUGAACUCAGGUAUUUUUCACGGCACGACAAUGACUUGUAUCAAUUUUUUGGCGUCAUUAAAGAUGUCACCAGAUGAUAUGGAGAAGACAACCUUUAUCACGCCUUGGGGAACUUACUGCUACAAAGUCAUGCCAUUCGCCUUGAAGAAUGCAGGGGCAACAUAUCAACGUGUCAUGGUAACACUCUUUCACGACAUGAUUCAUGAAGAGAUUGAGGUUUAUGUGGACGCCAUGAUUGCCAAAUCCAGAACUGAGGAAGAUCACUUGGUUAAUCUGAGAAAGUUAUUUGUCAGACUCCGAAAGUUUAAAUUGCGUCUGAAUCCAGCCAAAUGUACUUUUGGAGUCCGAUCAGGUAAACUUCUGGGUUUCAUAGUCAGUCAGAAGGGUAUUGAGGUUGAUCCCGACAAAGUUCGAGCCAUCCAAGAUAUGCCAGCUCCCCGAACAGAAAAGGAAGUCCGAGGUUUCCUUGGGCAACUUAAUUACAUCUCCAGAUUCAUAUCUCACCUGACAGCUACCUGCGAACCGAUUUUCAAGUUGUUGAGAAAGAAUCAAUCGAUUGUGUGGAAUGACGAUUGCCAAGGGGCAUUCGACAAAAUAAAUAAGUACUUACAAGAACCGCCAAUCCUGGUACCACCGGUUCCUGGUAGACCACCCAUCAUGUACCUGACAGUGUUGGAUGAAUCUAUGGGUUGUGUUUUGGGUCAACAUGACGACACAGGCAAGAAAGAACAUGCUAUCUACUAUCUCAGCAAGAAAUUCACUGAAUGUGAGACCCGAUACUCACUUUUAGAGAAGAUUUGUUGUGCCUUGACUUAGGUUGCUCGACGCCUGAGGCAAUAUAUGAUUUGCCACACUACUUUAUUGAUAUCCAAGAUGGAUCCAAUAAAGUACAUAUUUGAAAAGCCUGUUGUUACUGGAAGAAUUUCCCGGUGGCAAAUGCUGCUCACCGAGUAUGAUAUACAGUAUGUGACCCAGAAAGCAAUAAAAGGGAGUAUUUUGUCUGACUAUCUAGCUCACCUGCCUGUUGAUGGCUACCAAUCAUUAAAGUUUGACUUUCCAGAUGAGGACAUCAUGUUUAUCAGAGAUUUUACUAUGCCAAGCUUCAAGGUAAGCCCUGAGGAAGUCCCCGAACCAGGAUCGCGAUGGACGCUCGUGUUCGAUGGUGCUUCCAAUGCCCGAGGUCAUGGUAUAGGUGUUGUUAUCACUUUUCCAACUGGUUUCCACAUCCCCUUUACCGCCAGAUUAUGUUUUGACUGCACCAACAAUAUGGCAGAAUACGAAGCAUGUAUCUACGGUUUAGAGGCGACGAUCGAAUUGAGAAUUAAAAUCCUUGAGGUAUUCGGUGAUUCAGCUCUGGUAAUCAGUCAAGUGAAAGGCGACUCGGAGACUCGAGAUAGCAAGUUGAUACCCUACAAAGAGCAUAUCAGAAAACUGAUCCCUUACUUUGAUGAGAUCUCCUUUCAUCAUAUUUCUAGGGAAGAAAAUCAGUUAGCAGACGCUCUAGCUACACUGGCAUCUAUGUUUAAAGUCAAAUGGAAGAAUGAGGCACCAUCCGUCCAGAUUGACCACUUAGAUGAACCUGCACAUUGUCUAACAAUUGAGGUCGAUCCUGACGAUAAGCCUUGGUUCUAUGACAUAAAGACAUUUCUGGAGAAACGACAGUAUCCUGAGGGUAUAUCCAUUACCGAUAAGAAGGCUCUAAGAAGACUCUCUUCUAAGUUCUUCCUAAACGGUGAUGUGUUGUAUAAGAGGAAUUAUGAUUUUGUACUGCUCAGAUGCGUGGAUAGACACGAAGCUAGUACAAUCAUAAGGUCCAUACACGAAGUCUGCGAGGGUGUACAUGCGAAAGGUCCUGCUAUGGCUAAGAAGAUUCUCCGAGCUGGUUAUUAUUGGACAACAAUGGAGGUUGAUUGCUACAACUUUGUGAAAAGAUGCCAUAAGUGCCAGAUAUAUGGUGAUAAGAUCUUUGUACCACCAACUCCGUUGAAUGUCCUAACUUCUCCAUGGCCCUUUUCUAUGUGGGGCAUCAAUAUGAUUGGGAUGAUCGAACCCAAAGCUUCCAAUGGACAUUGAUUCGUCCUAGUCUCUAUUGGUUACUUCACGAAGUGGGUCGAGGUUGCUUCAUAUGCCAAUGUCACUCGACAAGUGGUUACCCGGUUUAUCAAGAAAGAGAUAAUUUGCCGCUAUGGUAUACCUAGCAAGAUCAUCACUGAUAACGCCAGUAAUCUGAACAAUACUAUGAUGAGGGAGUUGUGCGAAGAAUUUAAGAUUGAGCACCACAAUUCUUCACCAUACCGGCCCAAGAUGAAUAGCACCGUAGAAGCAGCUAACAAGAAUAUCAAGAGAAUCGUCCAGAAGAUGGUCAAGACAUAUAAGGACUGGCAUGAGAUGUUACCUUUCGCCUUGCAUGGUUACAGAACCUCAGUCCGCACAUCCACUGGGGAAACUCCGUACUCUCUGGUUUAUGGGAUGGAGGUUGUCCUACCAAUUGAAGUUGAGAUUCCUUCACUCAGGGUCAUCAUGGAAGCAGAUCUUGAUGAAGUUGAAUGGGUUCAAUCUCGAUAUGACCAACUGAAUCUAAUUGAAGAGAAGCGUUUGACGGCCGUCUGUCAUGGUCAGUUAUACCAAAGGCGUCUCAAACAAGCUUUUGAUAAGAAGGUUCUUCCCCGGUUGUACCACGCUGGAGACCUCGUGCUCAAAAGAUAUUUUGCCAUUCACUCAGACCCGCGAGGCAAAUGGACUCCCAACUACGAGGGACCGUUCAUAGUCAAGAAGGCCUUCUCAGGUGGGUCUCUAAUCCUUACAACAAUGGAUGGGGAAGAUUUUCCUUCGCCAGUGAAUGCAGACAUAGUCAAAAAAUAUUAUGCCUAAAAAGAAAUGAUGAAAAGCCCGUUAGAUCAAUCUCCACAAGGUGAAUAUAAGCAAAAAUGGCUAUCCCGAUGGACCAAAAAAUGAUUCGUCCAUGCAAAAGUUAGGGAAUAUAUUUGAAGCUCGCUAAGUCGAAAACCCGAAAGGGCGACUUAGGCAAAAAAGAGCAUCCCGGUGGACAAAAAGAAUUGAAAGAUCCAGGCAAAAGUUAGGGAUAAAGGCAUUGACUAUGAUUCUUGAGUAUACACGCUACAAGCUAGAUGUCAGAGGGUCAAGGACUGAUCCAGGCACCGUCAGCCGAAGCAAGGCCUUGGGGUUCGGAUUACAUGGUAGAUUAAGGCCAAUGCUGUAAUCAUACAAAAUGUUUCCCAUUGCCAUUUCAAUUAUUUUUCCAAUUUUUUGCAACGUCCUCAUUAAGGGUGUUUGCAUCCUUUGUACUCAAAAUAUGUACAGAUUCCAUAUCAAUAAAGUUCAGUUAUUCCAUCCAAUGUGUUGUUCCAUGUUUUGUAGGCAAAAUAACUGACUUGUCUUAAAUCACAUAAUGCUUUAAAAUUUUGGGGAAUAAUAAAAGGCUACAUUAAAGAGAAAUAAUUUGCAUUACCGUGUUAUCUGAUAAACCUGAUAGGUGAUGGGUGACUCAACAAUAGUGUUGCUUGGAUGCCUGUUACAUCUAAUUGACUGGGGCACCCUGGGGACUUCAGCUGGUCAGUGUUCCUUAGCAAGCAGGGGGUUCCGUGAUGGCAGUGUUGGCACCAAUCGAAACUUCUUGGCGAUCGUGUCCUAAUUCUUGAUGACGAGUCGAGAUCCCAACCAUAAUAAAGACUCAUCCCUACAAAAGCAUGCAUCAUAAAAAAAAAAUAAGCACACCUCAUGCAUUGCAUAAGAUGUAUCCUCCACACUGGUAACAAAGCCAAUCAUUUGGACCGACAAAUUUCGGGCACGUAGGUAUUUAAUCCUCUUCUACCUUGAAUACAUGAAAAGCUUCCGCAAUUCCUGUAUUCAGGUCCAAGAAGAUUAAAUAGGGGCAGCUGUAGUACCCCAAAAUUUGCCCCUAUUUUGCUUUUUCAUCUAAUCCGUAACCUGAGAUCCACCUAACCUCAUUCAUGUCUCACUCAUAUUCAUCAUUCAUUCAAGGUUCUUGUUUCCCAUAGCAGGAUUGGAUUAAAGAUUUUGGUAUCAUGCAUCGUAUGGGUUGCAACCCUGAUUCUUGGUCUUGAGAGUUCUUGCUGUUUGGUUUCUGUGCAUAGACCGGGCUUCUAAAAUCCUAGUUGUGGGCCCAUGAUUUGAGGAGUUGGUGGUGGAGCUUUGCGAUUGGCUUAAAACCCUAAUCAAGGAUAAUUUGUGUUCAAGUGCUUUGGUCAAUUGACCUUGGAUUCGGGAUUCAUCAAAACCCUAAGCGUUGGAAGGUCAGGAAUCACGUGAUCUACUUUGAGGGGGUGAAAACCCUGGUUUAUAACUAUGGCAUCAUCAUCAAUGGCCUAUACACUAAAAAUUGAGAUUUCGUCUGGUUCAUCUGAUCCAUUACGGGUGGUUCAUGUGCUUAGAAAAUCUGUGGUCCUGAUUCAUCGAUUGGGAUUCAUUCAAAGCUUUGCAUGGUCGUGAUAUGUUGCUUGGUUGGUAUGCAUCUGAGUUGAUUCUUAGCAUGGAGUAUUUAAGAGGCACAUAUUCAAUUGUCCAUAAGAAAAUACACACUUUUACUUAAGAUGACUUUUGGUCAACUGUUGUUUUUUUGUCAACCAGUUGACCAGAGUCAAUCGACACUUUUUCCUAAUCUCUAAUUUUCUUUGAUCUAUCAUGAUCGAUCGUGAAACCAAAGUCACUUUCAAACCACAUACCAUGUUCAAUUUAAAUUUUUCAAACAACUUUUCAAACCAUCUUCGCUCAUUACACGAUCGUAAACUAUUUAAUGACCACUUACAAUACUAGUUAUUUCUAAUACAAAACUAUUCUAUAACCAAUUUCCAUUAUAACCUUUCGUCCCAUCCAUGACCAUUAGACUCAAACCAAAUAUUUCAAACCAAAAAGUUACAAAAUGCACAACAGAAUUCCAAUUCCAAUCAUUCCAUAGAGGUAACACAAAAUUACACCAUUCAUUACAAUCCCAAUCAAAUCCCAAAAUCACACCCAUCCAAUCUCCUUACAAUAGAUCCCAAAUCCCAUUCAGAUUUAAUGAUGAGAAUUACAAAUUCCACUAUCUAAACCACAUAGUACAAGAUUCAUUACACUAAAGACAUAAUGCCAAACUAUGUACAUGUUUAUUUUAGGCCACAUCACCAUAAAAGCCGACAAAUGUAACUCAGUGGCAGCCUAUUCUGAUGCAAAAUUGUUUGAAGACAUCAUGUUAGAAGUUGUAAACAAAAAGUGGACAUCAAGCAAAGUAAGUGUUUGAUUCUAUGAAGCCUGGAAGUCUUGGAAGUGGGACAUCUAACUCUAUAUGGAAGAUAGUGUAGGUGGACUGCAAGAAGGCACAUCAGCAGUUAGACAAGGAUCCAAUGGUGAUUUGGUGUUACCUUCAGAGUGACGGCACCGAGUGGGUUUGUUUCCUAAUCAGGAGGAUCAGUCCCUUUAUGAAUUUCGGUGUCCGGUUCGAGAGACAUUCCAAGCUUUCAGUAUCAUUUUCCAGUGGCAGUGAGUCGUGUCGCGACAUUCCCGCGCCAGCAUCCUCAGACCGAAUCAGUACAAGCAUACAUGCAACAAUCCGCCAGCAACCAAACCUGCAGUGGUAAUCCGUCGACCCUAACAUCAAACCUUGUUGUUCCGACCCCGUAGACCAUGGUACAUCAUAACCCGAUUGCGCCAACUGUUCCAUUCCCUUGCGUUCAAACUCUCCCUGUAAUGCCAUUAUUGUUCAUGUGAUGAUUUCGAGCCCCAUGCUUCCCCUCAAAUGCCCGCAUCAUACCAACAACAGCCUUGCAUAAACCUGCAACAUCCAACAAGCCAUCAUCAAAUUACAAACAACAACAUCUUGCCUAUGAAGUAGUCCUGCAUAAACCCUAUACUAGCAGGCCAAUAACGACGACGUGAUAACCUGCAAAACCAUUUGUCGAAACUAAACCUCACAAGGAAGGGCUUUGCAUCACUUGCCACGAUCCUUCAACAACAGCUGUACGACAUCAAAUAACUAGAAACAAAGCAUGAACUCUCACUUCCCGCUACCUGCUCCCUCGCUGGACUUCCGUUUCCCUCCCUCGUCGGUCAAUGAUCCCAAUCUCGAUAACAAGAGUCAACCAAGUUGAUGUUGCAAGAGUGGACAUUGAAAUGUCAGCCAUGUUAAAAGAUUAGUUGGUCAAAGUAUUUACCUUAACGAAGUCAGGAAUGCUAUUUCAGUAUGAAGCUGAGCUUGAUGCUUUCCUUGAGUUCCUUAUCUGGAGAUUCUCAAUUGGAGUGGAUAAACCAACUCAUGGCAUUGCUCUUAUGAAUUGGAGGUAGUGAGAUGAACGUGCAGUUGAAUUAAGGGAUGAAGUGAGAACCGGUCUGGAGGAACCUGAAAUCAUUGUCGCUCAGAAGUUUUGGUGUUGUAUUGCCAUUGUUAGUGGUCAGUGUAUUUGGGCUCGCCUAUAAUUAUUCCCAGAAUUUUGUAGGUGGAGUGAUACUGAGCGGAGAACGUCAGCACGACGCUUACGGGUCUUGGUGCAGAGAAUAGAAAGGUUUAUCUGAGUUGCGGUACCUCAUGGCCAUGUACAAAACACUAAUAGUAGAACAUGCAGAAACAAGGCUUGGUGUUUGACAAAACGCAGCAACAAAAUGCAGCAGGAUCCACUUGUUAUUUCAUGAUGAUAAACAACGAGGUCGACAACCAGCAGUGAUGCUGAAGCAGCAGAUCCUACAACGGCUUCUGCCCUGCUGACCACUCCAUAACUGCAGUGAAAAUGGAAAAUACUGACAACUGCAUGGUCAGCAAGUUCCAUAUUUUCUACCUGACUUCUCAACUGCAAAUCUUCCACUGCAUGGCUCAACCUACUCUUGAUACUCUAUUGUGUUUGAUUUCUUCUAGGAAAUCUCCUACUUCCUUCUUGUAUUGGAACUUCGCCACUCUCUGAAUUACUCCCAAAGGACUGUGAUUCCUCCAGACUGUGCUUUGCAUUCAUCCCUUGCUUAUCUUUCCACAAAGAAGCCAAGUUAGAGAAGCAACUAAAAUGAGAGUUGUAAGGGUCGAAAAUGAGUAUGACAGAAAUCUUGGCAUUAAAUUUACAAGAUAAACAUGAAGAUGGUCCUACGAAUUCCGUUAAGGUAAUUAUUGGUGCUGAAGAUGACACAUCUGAACAACUUCUAACGGCCUCGGCUAAACCUGUAAAAUGCAACAAAAUUUCAACCAAAGCCAGCAAUUCUUAACAGAUUGUUUCACCAAUUAAACAAAAGACCAACAACAUAACAAACUCACGGCAAUUCACGACACAAUUCACCACAAACAAUAAAAAUUAUCACUUUCAUUUGCCAAUGGUGAGUUGGAUGUUGUUGAAGCUAUGGUUGAUGAUGUUAUGAACGUGUUGGAUAGAACUAUUGGUUUAGCUAGUUUAUCUCCUCUUCAUGGUCGGAUCGAGGUACUUUCCAUGUUGUUGGAGUAGAAUGGUAAAGUUGAUGUCUUGAAUCGUCACAAACAGACAUCAUUAAUGUUGGUUGUGAUGCAUGGAAAGACCGGUUGCAUGGAAAAGCUUAUUCAAGCUGGAGCUAAUAUAUUGAUGUUUGAUUCUAUUUGUCGAAGAACUUGCUUGAACUAUGCUGCGUGUUGUGGCCAUGUAGAUUGCCUAAAGGCUAUUCGUUCAGCUGCUCAUUCCACGCCUGUUGCAGAUUCUUGGGGAUUUGCCAGAUUUGUGAAUAUAAAAUAUGGAAAUAGUGCUAUACCACUGCAUCUUGUUGCUCGCCAUAGACAACUUGAAUGUCUUCAUUCCAUUUUAGCCUCGGGUUUGUUCCUGAAAAUUCAAGCAAAGCCGAGAGUUAACUUUAGAGAACUCUGCACCAUACCAGUCUACACUACCAUGACCAUAUGUACACGACCCAACUGAAUUGACCGUAACGAAAUGCAAUAACAAUCUCACAACAAAUUAACAUCACCAGUCCAUUACAACCAACGGUUUUCACUUAAAAACCAUAACAGAAAGCAAAAAAAAAAACAUAACAUAAUAGUCAAUUAACAGGUUUUCUUAGUAGAUUAACAAACCUUAUUGAUGGAAUCUCUCCGCCACACCGGUUUUCAGUUGAACAAGACUUCCAACAAACCCGAAGCAAUUUUUCAGUUAAUCCAAUCGGGCAUUAACAACUUCCUCUCCGACACCGGAGCAAGUCACAAAAGGUUUAUGGCUAGCCUCCGCCGAUGGCCAAGGGUGCAGUGAAGUUAUGGUAGAAGCAACUCGUUGCCUUGUGUCUGGAAGAUGGAAUGCUUGACUCGGUUUCACAUAGCUUCACAGGGUCCAAGCAACACCUGCAUAAGCUAACUAUCAUUAGCAAUCUUUAAUCUAACAUCUAACUUGAUAUAGUAGAACCCAGUUUGAUUCACAGCUAACGUACUCAUUUGUUUCCACACACCAAAGCCUUUCAUAAGUCCAAGCCUAAGUCCCUAACCUGCAACAUAAACAACAAGUCAUUAAAAACCCUUCCAAUGUGACAUUAAUCUAACAGUAACCUGCAGCAGCCAUUCAAGUUCCCACUCACUCACAAACCAACAUCUACACACAUAACUAACUGAGUUUCCCUAAUAUAACUAACUGAGUUUUUCCAUUUAACUCAAUGAGUUGAGUUUAACUAACUCCAAGCCACUCUUAACUAAUUCGUAACCUCAAUCCGAAGCUAGCAAGUCCCGAACCUCAACUCUAUUUAAGGGCUUAAUCACUCACAUUUUGAGCCCUUGGCAUUUUUUGGCAUAAACCUGCACUCUCUCUCUCUCUCUUGCAACCUUUUCCCUCACCCUCACCAGAGCUCUUUUUCUCUUUCAAAGAAGCCAUUGAAGCUUCACAUCAAAGCUUCAAUUCUACUUGAGCUAAGCCUCCUCAGUCUCUUUUCAUCGCUCGCGAAUUCAUAAGAAGAAGAAAGAAGAAGAGGAAAUUGCAGAAAGCACAUAGAGAAACUCACUUGUGAGUGACAUCAACGACACCGAAACCUCCGCGGCGCUUCAUUCCGGUAAGUUACUUCGAUUUAUCAUAACUCAUGGCGUCAUGUUUUCAUUUCAUUGCUUUUGAGAAUUGCUAGCCUCGUUUCCAUGUUGUUCUUGAUAUCGGUUUAAGUUUUGGCCUUAAGUCCAUUUUGUUGACGUGAAAGGAGCGGAAUUAGGGCUUGAAUCUUCCAACUACAAUUCCUCUGACCUAUUCAUGAUUUCGUGCUCUUCCAUUUUUGUUAGAAUUCUUUAAUCCCUUUCGGCUUUGUCACCAUCUUCUAAUCUUCUUCAUUUUCGUAACUAUGCAAAACCUUCAAGAAACUUCAAUCUCCUAUCUUCUUCGUCACCUUCCUCUCCCCAAAAACUUCACACAUCUUCAUCGCCUACCUCGCUUCAACAACCAUCGCAAGCGCACACGAGCAAGGCUUCGUAUCAAUCUCAAUACGCCGUCGCACGCGACAAAGGAGCAGCGCCAACAUCCUUCAUCUUAAAACAACAAAAACGUCGCGAACUGAAGUGUGAUAAGCAAAUAAGAGGAUCGAAAUGCAAUCGACGUCAAUUUCGUUUUCGAAUUUAAGGGAGAAAACCGAAUUCGUUCAUCUUCUUCAAAUUUUGGGUUGUUCGCGCAAGAUCGAAGCGAUUCCGAAUUUCUUGCACCGUGUUUGUUGUCUCAGUGCCGAUUUGAGAUCGAAUGAGGAAGAUGUAGUUUUGCUUUUGUUGCCAUUGAGUUUUAAAUUUGGGUGUGUGGUUUGGCAGGGUUCAUGUUGAGCGUCAGAUCGGAGUGAGGUUUUUAUUUGAAGAAGCACUAGAUUAGAGUCGUGGGGAGGACGAUGUCAACUUCCGGUAAGGUGCAUCUCACUCCGUUCAUGGAAUUUAGGUGGAGAAUUUUGACUGACCAGUUCUUGGAGAUUACGUAGGGAUCUUGAAACCCGGACGAAUUCUUAGUGAGGCUUGGGCCUUUGGCCCAAAGAAACUAGCCUUUGCUUGUUUCACCCCUAUUCAAAAUUCACCCCUGGCCCAGUACUCAUGUCCACCAUUAAAUUUCUUAGUUAAUUCACUAAUCAUAGUUAAUUUUUGUUGAUUAACUUUGUUUUUCUGAUUAGAAUUUACAUCAUUUUUUAUCUCGGUAGGAAAUAGGAUUUUCUUGGACUUAGUUAAUUCACUAAUCAUAGUUAAUUUUUGUUGAUUAACUUUGUUUUUCUGAUUAGAAUUUACAUCAUUUUUUAUCUCGGUAGGAAAUAGGAUUUUCUUGGCUUUAUUGUCAAUUGGGCGUUAAUAUAGAAUCGUUUGUUUAAAUAGGUUUAAUUAGAUAUUAAUGUGAUUUAGUUGGAUUAGAAAUUAGGUUAAUCAUAAUGAUUUUGAUCCUUAGGGUUUGAAUGCAAUCAUUGUAGGACUUAACAUAGAAUUUUAGUCAUGAUUUUAAUCAAUAUUUUGACAUGCUCCCUUAGGACUUCUAACAUAGAUUUUUGAUCAAUUUAAUCGGGGGUUUUGUUUUAGUUUUGAAGGGAACUAAUUUUUGGGUCUAAUUGAAGUUAGUCAUUGUUAGAACUAACCUAAGGGAUCAUGUAUUGAAAUUGAUUAAAAUUCUAUGUUAGAAGUCCUAAGGGAGCAGGUCAAAAUAUUGAUUAAAAUCAUGACUAAAAUUCUAUGUUAAGUCCUACAAUUAUUGCAUUCUAACCCUAAGGAUCAAAAUCAUUAUGAUUAACCUAGUUUCUAAUCCAACUAAAUCACAUUAAUAUCUAAUUAAACCUAUUUAAACAAACGAUUCUAUGUUAAUGCCCAAUUGACAAUAAAGCCAAGAAAAUCCUAUUUCCUACCUAGAUAAAAAAUGAUGUAAAUUCUAAUAAGAAAAACAAAGUUAAUCAACAAAAAUUAACUAUGAUUAGUGAAUUAACUAAGAACUUUAAUGGUGGACAUGAGUAUUGGGCCAGGGGUGAAUUUUGAAUAGGGGUGAAACAAGCAAAGGCUAGUUUGUUCGGGCCAAAGGCCUAAGCCUCACUAAGAAUUCAUCCGGGUUUCAAGAUCCCUACGAAAUCUCCAAGAAAUGGUCAGUCGAAAUUCUCCACCGAAAUUCCAUGAACGGAGUGAGAUGCACCUCACCGGAAGCUGACAUCGUCCUCCCCACGACUCUAAGUCAGUGUUUCUUCAAAUCAAAACCUCACUCUGAUCUGACGCUCGCCGAUCCACACACCCAAAUUUAAAACUCAAUGGCAACAAAAGCAAAACUACAUCUUCCUCAUUCGAUCUCAAAUCGGCACUGAAACAACAAACACGGCGCAAGAAAUUCGGAAUCGCUUCGAUCUUGCGCGAACAACCCAAAAUUUGACGAAGAUGAACGAAUUCGGUUUUCUCCCUUCAAUUCGAAAACGAAAUUGACGUCGAUUGCGUUUCGAUCCUCUUCUUUGCUUAUCACACUUCAGUUUGCGACGUUGUUGUUGUUUUAAGAUGAAGGAUGUUGGCACUGCCACUUUGUCGUGUGCGACGGCGUAUUGAGAUUGAUAUGAAGCCUUGCUCGUGUGCGCUUGCGAUGGUUGUUGAAGCGAGGCAGGCGAUGAAGAUGUGUGAAGAUUUUGUGGAGAGGAAGGUGACGAAGAAGAUAGGAGAUUGAAGUUUCUUGAAGGUUUUGCAUAGUUGCAAAAAUGGAGAAGAUUAGAAGAUGGUGACAAAGCCGAAAGGGAUUAAAUCAUUCUAACAAAAAUGGAAGAGCAUGGAAUCAUGAACAUAUCGGAGGAAUUGUAGUUGGAAGGUUCAAGCCCUAAUUCCGCUCCCUUCACGUCAACAAAAUGGACUCAAGGCCAAAACUUCAACCGAUAUCAAGAACAACAUGGAAACGAGGCUAACAAUUCACACUAGCAAUGGAAUGAAAACAUGACGCCAUUAGUUAUGAUAAAUCGAAGUAACUUACCAGAAUGAAGCACCGCAGAGGUUCCGGUGUCGUCGAUGUCGCUCACAGGUGAGUUUCUCUAUGUGCUUUCUGCAAUUUCCUCUUCUUCUUUCUUCCUCUUCUGAAUUCACGAGCGAUGAAAAGAGACUGAGGAGGCUUAGCUCAAGCAGAAUUGAAGCUUCGAUGUGAAGCUUCAAUGGCUUUUUUGAAAGAGAAAAAGAGCUCUGGUGAGGGUGAGGGAAAAGGUUGCAAGAGAGAGAGAGAGUGCAGGUUUAUGCCAAAAAAUGCCAAGGGCUCAAAAUGUGAGUGAUCAAGCCCUUAAAUAGAGUUGAGGUUCGGGACUUGCUAGCUUCGGAUUGAGGUUAGGAAUUAGUUGAGGGUGGCUUGGAGUUAGUUAAACUCAACUCACUGAGUUAAAUGGAAAAACUCAGUUAGUUAUAUUAGGGAAACUCAGUUAGUUAUGUGUGUAGAUGUUGGUUAGUGAGUGAGUGGGAACUUGACUGGCUGUUGCAGGUUACUGUUAGAUUAAUGUCACAUUGGAAGGGUUUUUAAUGACUUGUUGUUUAUGUUGCAGGUUAGGAACUUUGGCUUGGACUUAUGAAAGGCUUUGGUGUGUGGAAACAAAUGAGUACGUUAGCUGUGAAUCGAACUGGAUUCUGCUAUAUCAUUUUAGAUGUUAGAUCAAAGAUUGCUAAUGAUAGUUAGCUUAUGCAGGUGUUGCUUGGACCCUGUGAAGCUAUGCGAAACCGAGUCAAGCAUUCCAUCUUCCAAACACAAGGCAACGUGUCGCUUCUACCAUAACUUCACUGCACCCUUGGCCAUCGGCGGAGGCUAGCCAUAAACCUUUUGUGACUUGCUCCGGUGUCGGAGAGGAAGUUGUUAAUGCCCGCUUGGAUUAACUGAAAAACUACUUCGGGUUUGUUGGAAGUCUUGUUCAACCGAAAACCGGUGUGGCGGAGAGAUUCCAUCAAUGAGGUUUGUUAAUCUACUAAGAAAACCUAUUUAAUGACUAUUAUGUUAUGGUUUUUUUUGCUUUCUGUUAUGGUUUUUAAGUGAAAACCGUUGGUUGUAAUGGACUGGUGAUGUUAAUUUGUUGGGAGAUUGUUAUUGCAUUCCGUUAUGGUCAAUUCAGUUGGGUCGUGUACAUGUGGUCAUGGUAGUGCAGACUGGUAUGGUGCAGAGUUCUCUAAAGUUAACUCUCGGCUUUGCUUGAAUUUUCAGGAACAACCCCGAGGCUAAAAUGGAAUGAAGACAUUCAAGCUGUCUAUGGAGAGCAACAAGAUGCAGUGACGUAGCACCAUUUCCACAUUUUAUAUUCACAAAUCUGGCAAAUCCCCAAGAAUCUGCUACAGGCGUGGAAUGAGCAGCUGAACGAAUAGCCUUUAGGAAAUCUACAUGGCCACAACAUGCAACAUAGUUCAAGCAAGUUCUUUGACAAAUAGAAUCAAACAUCAAUAUAUUAGCUCCAGCUUGAAUAAGCUUUUCCAUGCAACCGUUCUUUCCAUGCAUCACAUCCAACUUUAAUGACGUCUGUUUGUGACGAUUCAAGACAUCAACUUUACCAUUCUGCUCCAACAACAUGGAAAGCACCUCGAUCCGACCAUGAAGAGGAGGCAAACUAGCUAAACCAAUAGUUCUAUCCAACACGUUCAUAAGAUCAUCAACCAUAGCUUCAACAACAUCCAAAACCAUUGGCAAACAAAAGUGAUAAUUUUUAUUGUUUGUGGUAAAUUGUGUCAUGAAUUGCCGUGAAUUUGUUAUGUUGUUGGUCUUUUGUUCAGUUGGUGAAACAAUCUGUUGAAAAUUGUUGGCUUUGGUUGAAAUUCUGUUGCAUUUUGCAGGUUUAGCCGAGGCCAUUAGAAGUUGUUUAGAUGUGUCGUCUUCAACACCAACAAUUACCUUAACGGAAUUCGUAGGACCAUCUUCAUUUCCAUCUUGUAAAUUCAAUGCCAAGAUUUCUGUCAUACUCAUUUUCGACCCUUACAGCUCUCAUUUUAGUUGCUUCUCUAACUUGGCUUCUUUGUGGAAAGAUAAGCAAGGGGUGAAUGCAAAGCACGGUCUGGAGGAAUCACAGUCCUUUGGGAGUAAUUCAGAGAGUGGCGAAGUUCCAAUAUAAGAAGGAAGUGGGAGAUUUCCUAGAAGCAAUCAAACACAAUAGAGUAUCAAGAGUAGGUUGAGCCAUGCAGUGGAAGAUUUGCAGCUAAGAAGUCAGGUAGAAAAUAUGGAACUUGAUGACCAUGCAGUUGUCAGUAUUUUCCAUUUUCAAUGCAGUUAUGGAGUGGUCAGCAGGGCAGAAGCCGUUGUAGGAUCUGCUGCUGAAGCAUCACUGCUGGUUGCCAACCUCGUUGUUUAUCAUCAUGAAAUUGCAGGUGGAUCCUGCUGUAUUUUGUUGCUGCGUUUUGUCAAACACCAAGCCUUGUUUCUGCAUGUUCUAUUAUUAGUGUUUUGUACAUGUCCAUGAGGUACCACAACUCAGACAAUCCCUUCUAUUCUCUGCACCAAGACCCGUAAUCGUCGUGCUGACGUUCUUCGCUCAGUAUCACUCCACCUACAAAAUUCUGGGAAUAAUUAUAGGCGAGCCUAAAUACACUGACCACCAACAACGGAAAUACAACACCAAAACUUCUAAGCGACAAUGAUUUCAGGUUCCUCCAGACCAGUUCUCACUUCAGCCCUUAAUUCAACUGCACGUUCAUCUCUCUACCUUCAAUUCAUAAAAGCAAUGCCAUGAGUUGGUUUAUCCACUCCAAUUGAGAAUCUCCCGAUAAAGAACUCAAGGAAAGCAUCAAGCUCAGCUUCAUACUGAAAUAGCAUUCCUGGCUUCGUUAAGGUAAAUACUUUUACCAACUAAUCUUUCAACAUGGCUGACAUUUCAAUGUCCACUCUAGCAGCAUCAACUUGGUUGACUCUUGUUAUCGAGAUUGGGAUCAUUGAUCGGAGAGGGAGGGAAACAGACGUCCAACGAGAGAACAGGUAGCGGGAAGUGAGAGUUCAUGCUUUGUUUCUGGUUAUUUGAUGUCGCGCAACUGCUGUUGAAGGAUUGUGGCAAGUGAUGCAGAGCCCUUCCUUGUGAGGUUUAGUUUCGACAAAUGGUUUUGCAGGUUAUCACGUCAUCGUUAUUGGCCUGCUAGUAUAGGGUUUAUGCAGGACUACUUCAUAGGCAAGAUGUUGUUGUUUGUAAUUUGAUGAUGGCUUAUUGGAUGUUACAGGUUUAUGCAAGGUUGUUGUUGGUAUGAUGCGGGCAUUUGAGGGGAAGCAUGGGGCUUGAAAUCAUCACAUGAGCAAUAAUGGCAUUACAGGGAGAGCUUGAACGCAAGGGAAUGGAACAGUUGGCGCAGUCGGGUUAUGAUGUACCAUGGUCUGCGGGGCCGGAACAACAAGGUUUGAUGUUAGGGUCGACAGAAUACCGCUGCAGGUUUGGCUGCUAGCGGAUUGUUGCAAGUCUGCUUGUACGGAUUUGGUCUAAGGAUGCUGGCGCGGGAAUGUCGCGACACGACUCACUGCCGCUGGAAAAUGAUAGUGAAGGCUUGGAGUGUCUCUCAAACCGGACACCGAAAUUCAUAAAGGGACUGAUUCUCCUGAUUAGAAAACAAACCCACUCGGUGCCGUCACUCAGGAGGUAACACCAAGUCACCAUUGGAUCCUCGUCUAACUGCUGAUGUGCCUUGUUGCAGUCCACCUGCACUAUCUUCCAUAUAGAGUUAGAUGUCCCACUUGCAAGACUUCCAGGCUUCACAGAAUCAAACGCUUACUUUGCUUGAUGUCCACUUUUUGUUUACAACUUAUAACAUGGUGUCUUCAAACAAUUUUGCAUCGGAAUAGGCUGCCACUGAUUUAUAAUUGUCGACUUUUGUGGUGAUGUGGCCUAAAAUAAACAUGUACAUAGUUUUGCAUUAUGUCUUUAGUGUAAUGAAUCUUGUACUAUGUGGUUUAGAUAGUGGAAUUUUUUAAUUCUUAUCAUUAAAUCUGAAUGGGAUUUGGGAUCUGUUGUAAGGAGAUUGGAUGGGUGUGAUUUUGGGAUUUGAUUGGGAUUGUAAUGAAUGGUGUAAUUUUGUGUUACCUCUAUGGAAUGAUUGGAAUUGGAAUUCUGUUGUGCAUUUUGUAACUUUUUGGUUUGAAAUAUUUGGUUUGAGUCUAAUGGUCAUGGAUGGGAUGAAAGGCUAUAAUGGAAAUUGGUUAUAGAAUAGUUUUGUAUUAGAAAUAACUAGUAUUGUAAGUGGUCAUUGAAUAGUUUACGAUCGUGUAAUGAGCGAAUAUGGUUUGAAAAGUUGUUUGAAAAAUUUAAACUGAACAUGGUAUGUGGUUUGAAAGUGACUUUGGUUUCACGAUUGAUCAUGAUAGAUCAAAGAAAAUUAAAGAUUAGGAAAAAGUGUCGAUUGACUCUGGUCAACUGGUUAACAAAAAAACAACAGUUGACCAAAAGUCACCUUAAGUAAAAGUGUGUAUUUUCUUAUGGAUAGUUGAAUAUGUGCCUCUUAAAUACUCCAUGCUAAGAAUAAACUCAGAUGCAUACCAACCAAUCAGCAUAUCACGGCCAUGUAAAGCUUUGAAUGAAUCCCAAUCGAUGAAUCAGGACCAUGGAUUUUCUAAGCACAGGAACCAUCCGUAAUGGAUCAGAUGAACCAGACGAAAUCUCAAUUUUUAGUGUAUAUCCCAUGAUGCUGAUGCCAUAGUUAUAAACCAGGGUUUUCACCCCCCUCAAAGUAGAUCACGUGAUUCCUGACCUUCUAACGCUUAGGGUUUUGAUGAAUCCCGAAUCCAAGGUCAAUUGAGCAAAGCACUUGAACACAAAUUAUCCCUGAUUAGGGUUUUAAGCCAAUCACAAAGCUCCACCAACAACUCCUCAAAUCAUGGGCCCACAACUAGGAUUUUAGAAGCCCGAUCUAUGCACAAAAACCAAACAACAAGAACUCUCAAGACCAAGAAUCAGGGUUGCAACCCACACGAUGCGCGAUACUAAAAUCUUUAAUCCAAUCCUGCUAUGGGAAACAAGAACCUUGAAUCUAUGAUGUUUGUUAGUCGAAGUUAACCAUGAAUGAAUGAUGAAUAUGAGUGAGACAUGAAUGAGGUUAGGUGGAUCUCAGGUUACGGAUUAGAUGAAAAAGCAAAAUGGGGGCAAAUUUUGGGGUACUACAGUUGCCCCUAUUUAAUUUUCUUGGACCUUAAUACAGGAAUUGCGGAAGCUUUUCAUGUAUUCAAGGUAGAAGAGGAUUAAAUACCUACGUGCCCGAAAUUCGUCGGUCCAAAUGAUUGACUUUGUUACCAGUGGGGAGGAUACGUCUUAUGCAAUGCAUGAGGUAUGCUUUUUUUUAUGAUGCAUGCUUUUGCAGGGAUGAGUCUUUAUUAUGGUCGGGAUUUCGACUCAUCGUCAAGAAUUAGGACACGAUCACCAAGAAGUUUCGAUUGGUGCAAACACUACCAUCACGGAACCCCCUGCUUGCUAAGGAACACUGACCAGCUGGAGUCCCCAGGGUGCCCCAGUCAAUUGGAUGUAACAGGCAUCCAAGCAACACUAUUGUUGAGUCACCCAUCACCUAUCAGGUUUAUCGGAUUUCAACGGUAAUGCAAAUUAUUUCUCUUUAAUGUAGCCUUUUAUUAUUCCCCAAAAUUUUAAAGCAUUAUAUGAUUUAAGACAAGUCAGUUAUUUUGCAUACAAAACAUUGAACAACACAUUGGAUGGAAUAACUGAACUUUAUUGAGGAUUAGAGACCCACCUGAGAAGGCCUUCUUGACUACGAACGGUCCCUCAUAGUUGGGAGUCCAUUUGCCUCACGGGUCCGAGUGAAUGGCAGAAUAUCUUUUGAGCACGAGGUCUCCAGCGUGGUACGACCGGGGAAGAACCUUCUUAUCAAAAGCUUGUUUGAGACGCCUUUGGUAUAACUGACCAUGACAGACGGGCGUCUAACGCUUCUCUUCAAUUAGAUUCAGUUGGUCAUAUCGAGAUUGAACCCAUUCAGCUUCAUCAAGAUCUGCUUCUAUGAUGACUCUGAGUGAAGGAAUCUCAACUUCGAUUGGUAGAUCAACCUCCAUCCCAUAAACCAGAGAGUAUGGAGUUGCCCCAGUGGAUGUGCGGACUGAGGUUUUGUAACCAUGCAAGGCGAAAGGUAACAUCUCAUGCCAGUCCUUAUAUGUCUUGACCAUCUUCUGGACGAUUCUCUUGAUAUUCUUGUUAGCUGCUUCUACGACGCCAUUCAUCUUGGGCCGGUAUGGUGAAGAGUUGUGGUGCUCGAUCUUAAAUUCUUCUCAUAACUCCCUCAUCAUAGUAUUGUUCAGAUUACUGGUGUUAUCAAUGAUGAUCUUGCUAGGUAUCCCUUAGCGGCAGAUUAUCUUUUUCUUGAUAAACCGGGUAACCACUUGUCGAGUGAGAUUGGCAUAUGAAGCAGCCUCGACCCACUUCAUGAAGUAAUCAAUAGCGACUAGGAUGAAUCGAUGUCCAUUGGAAGCUUUAAGUUCGGUCAUCCCAAUCAUAUUUAUGCCCCACAUAGAAAAGGGCCAUGGAGAAGUUAGGACAUUCAACGGAGUUGGUGGUACAAAGAUCUUAUCACCAUAUAUCUGGCACUUAUGGCAUUUUUUCACAAAGUUGUAGCAAUCAACCUCCAUUGUUGUCCAAUAAUAACCAACUCGGAGAAUCUUCUUAGCCAUAGCAGGACCUUUCGUAUGUACACCCUCACAACCUUCGUGUAUGGACCUUAUGAUUGUACUAGCUUCGUGUCUAUCCACGCAUCUGAGCAGUACAGAAUCAUAAUUCCUCUUAUACAACACAUCACCAUUUAGGAAGAACUUAGAAGAGAGUCUUCUUAGAUCCUUCUUAUCGAUAAUGGAUAUACCCUCAGGGUACUGUCGUUUCUCCAGAAAUGUCUUUAUGUCAUAGAACUAAGGCUUAUCGUCAGGAUCAACCUCAAUUGCUAGACAAUGUGCAGGUUCAUCUAAGUGGUCAAUCUGGACGGAUGGUGCCUCAUUCUUCCAUUUGACUUUAAACAUAGAUGCCAGCGUAGCUAAAGCAUCUACUAACUGAUUUUCUUCCCUAGAAAUAUGAUGAAAGGAGAUCUCAUCAAAGUAAGGGAUCAGUUUUCUGAUAUGCUCUUUGUAGGGUAUCAACUUGCUAUCUCGAGUCUCCCAAUCGCCUUUCACUUGACUGAUUACUAGAGCUGAAUCACCGAAUACCUCAAGGAUUUUAAUUCUCAAGUCGACCGCCGCCUCUAAACCGUAGAUACAUGCUUCGUAUUCUGCCAUAUUGUUGGUGCAGUCAAAACAUAAUCUGGCGGUAAAGGGGAUGUGGAAACCAGUUGGAGAAGUGAUAAUAACACCUAUACCAUGACCUCGGGCAUUGGAAGCACCAUCGAACACGAGCGUCCAUCGCGAUCCUGGUUCGAGGCUUACCUCGAAGCCUGGCAUAGUAAAACCUCUGAUAAACACGAUGUCCUCAUCUGGAAAGUCAAACUUUAAUGAUUGGUAGCCUUCAACAGGCAGGUGAGCUAGAUAGUCAGACAUAAUACUCCCUUUUAUUGCUUUCUGGGUCACAUAUUGUAUAUCAUACUCGGUGAGCAGCAUUUGCCACCGGGCAAUUCUUCCAGUAACAACAGGUUUUUCAAAUAAGUACUUUAUUGGAUCCAUCUUGGAUAUCAAUAAAUUAGUGUGGCAAAUCAUAUAUUGCCUCAGGCGUCGAGCAACCCAAGUCAAGGCACAACAAGUCUUCUCUAAAAGUGAGUAUCGGGUCUCACAUUCAGUGAAUUUCUUGUUGAGAUAGUAGAUAGCAUGUUCUUUCUUUCCUGUGUCGUCAUGUUGACCCAAAACACAACCCAUAGAUUCAUCCAACACUGUCAGGUACAUGAUGAGUGGUCUACCAGGAACCGGUGGUACCAGGAUUGGUGGUUCUUGUAAGUACUUCUUUAUUUUGUCGAAUGCCCAUUGGCAAUCGUCAUUCCACAUAAUCGAUUGAUUCUUUCUCAACAACUUGAAAAUCGGUUCGCAGGUAGCUGUCAGGUGAGAUAUGAAUCUGGAGAUGUAAUUAACUCGCCCAAGGAAACCUUGGACUUCCUUUUCUGUUCGGGGAGCUGGCAUAUCUUGGAUGGCUCAAACUUUGUCGGGAUCAACCUCAAUACCCUUCUGACUGACUAUGAAACCCAGAAGUUUAUCUGAUCGGACUCCAAAAGUACAUUUGGCUGGAUUCAGACGCAGUUUAAACUUUCAGAGUCUGACAAAUAACUUUCUCAGAUUGACCAAGUGAUCUUCCUAAGUUAUGGAUUUGGCAAUCAUGUCGUCCACGUAAACCUCAAUCUCUUCAUGAAUCAUGUCGUGAAAGAGUGUUACCAUGGCAUGUUGAUAUGUUGCCCUUGCAUUCUUCAAGCCGAAUGACAUGACUUUGUAGCAGUAAGUUCCCUCAGGCGUGAUAAAGGUUGUCUUCUCCAUAUCAUCUGGUGACAUCUUUAUCUGAUUGUACCCGGAGAACCCAUCCAUGAAAGAAAAGACAGAGAAUUGAGAUGUGUUGUCAACCAAAACAUCAACAUGAGGCAAAGGGAAGUCAUCCUUUGGAUUGGCUCUAUUGAGGUCUCGAUAGUCUACACACAUUCUGACUUUACCAUCUUUCUUAGGAACUGGAACGAUAUUAGCAACCCAUUGCAGAUACUCAGAAAUGGCUAAGAAACCAGCAUCUAGUUGCUUUUUAACCUCUUCCUUGAUCUUGAGUGCCAUAUCGGGUAUGGUCCUUUUGAGCUUCUACUUAACUGGAGGACAUUCAGGCUUGAGUGGUAGAUGAUGUUCAACAAUGCUGGUGUCUAACCCUGGCAUAUCCUGAUACGACUACGCGAAGACGUCCACAUAUUCACGUAACAGAUCUACCAACUCGGAGUGUACAUGCUUAGCGAGAGAUGCCCCUACUUUCACCUCUUUUUUGUCAGUUUCAGAACCCAAAUUAAUGACAUCCACUGGUUCUUUGUAUGGCUGAAUCUCUUUCUCCUCGUGCUCAAGGAGUCGUGCUAGUUCAGUUGGUAAUUCGCAAUCUUCCUCACUAUCAUCUUCAGCUCGGUUGAUUGGAAGUCCAGAUUCAUAGUUGAUUUUAGCCAUGUUGUAAUCGGUGAUUUUAUUUUCUCUGCAUAUGAUGAGCUUAUUUUAGUAUUCUUUUUAUUUUUGAGAAAAAGUGGAAAAAAGAAAAAGAAAUCUUUUGCCAUUUCGUUGUUUUUAGUGAAAACAAAAAAUAUCUGAAAGAAAAGGAACACGAGUUUUGCAUGCAAAAAAGUACUUUUAUUUAUUCACAUAAUACUUUUAAACAUGGGGGUCCUUACAAGUUGUCCUCUCGUCUCGGGCAAGGACGAGGGACGGAGAAAACAAAAUGCAUUACGUUUUUUCCAAGUACACCAUAGGUAUCACGGUGGCCAUCCAGUUGGGAAGCUUGAAUCCUGGAGGACAUCUGCGAACAAGGCUGGAUGCCCCUGGCUUGCUACCACUGGACUCUUCGAUGACCGCUACGGUAUGCUCAUUUUGAUAGUCGGCGCUGUUGAACUUGACCGGGUUGAAUUGCUUUUUCUUUGGACUCACCUUGCAUGUUGCUGGGUGAUAACCAAUACCAAACUUGUCGCGCUUUUCUGCCACAUUGACGACCUUACCCCAACCAGGAAGAGGGCCUUUCUCCAAUGUCUGCUUGGCACUCUUCGCUGAGGAUAUGAUGGUAGCAGAUGAUUGAUUGUUGUUGGCGGAUGCAGAACUGACAUUUUCAAACUCUAGGCAGUGGAGCAGAACCUCGACGAUCCCCUCAUCUGUUUCGACAUAUCUGAAAGACGAAAGUUCACUGACCAGCAAAUCCUCUUCACCACACAUAAUUACCAGCUUGUCAUCUAUCAAGUACUUCAGCUUCUGAUGCAAAGUAGAAGUGACUGCCCCAGCGACAUGAAUCCACGGUCGACCCAACAAACAACUGUAGGCUGGAUUGAUGUCCAUGACUUGAAAAGUAAUAUCAAACUGGUGUGGUCCAACACAAAUCGGCAAAUCAACCUCCCCAAUUACCUUCGGGAACCAUCGAAAGCUAUGACGAUCAGUGCACUGGUUCUCAUCUCGGGCCCCUUAAACUGUAACUGACUUAAUGUAGAUUUUGGCAAUACAUUAAGCGAGGAUCCAGUAUCAACAAGGACUCAGGAUAAGAGAGAGUCAGUACAUGUGACCGAAAUAUGUAGUGCUUUGUUGUGGGCCUUUCCCUCAGGAGGUAACUCUUCUUCAUUAAAUCCCAGAUACCUACUAGCGAUGAUGUUGGCAACCACGUCGUCAAAUUGAUCGACCGUGAUAUCUUGCAUCACAUGAGCGGUAUUUAGAACUUUCAACAAUGCUUUGCGAUGAGCCUCAAAACUCAAUAGCAAAGACAAAAUGGAUAUUUUAGAAGGCGUCUGAUUCAACUGUUCCACAAUCUUGAAGUCAUUCUUUCUGAUCAAUUUGAGGAAUUCCUGACUUUCCUCAAAGGUGAUACUCUUCUUGUGAUCCUCAGACUGUUCUUUUUCAACCAUCGGCCCUUUCCCUUUGGAUACUUUGGCCUCUGCAACUUUGUCAUUGUCAAUAACUCUCGUCACCACCGGAGCAGCCGUCACGGUCGGAGUGGCGAGUACAGUUGUCUUUGCCUGCGGUGUGGGCGUAGGAGUUGCCUGCUCUUUAAGUGAGACAAUUGUGGGUGCUGUAGACACCAUAGGAAUGUAUUUAGGAGCAAAUACACGGCCACUUCGAGUCAUGCCUCCCUCUCCAGCGAUAUUGAUGAUCUCUGUAUCAGGAAUGCAGAUUUCUUUCCCUCCCAUUUACGAUGUAGUCUCAUAAUUCCAAGGCACUACCUUGGUGUUCUGAUACGGAAAUGGAGUUGGGACGCGGAAAUGGAUCGGCUGAAUCCUCUUGGGAGGAGCUUCAACCUUCUUCUUCCUGUAUACAAUUGUUAUCGGUUCAAUCACUCUACCUCUUCUGCUGCUUGAGCUUUAGAGAAUUGUAUUAAACCUUGGUCCAUUAGUGCCUGCACGCACUCUUUCAACUGCUCGCAACUAUCGGGAUCAAACUCACAUACUGUACAAUCUUCAUGCACCUCUUCUAAAAACCCAAAUUGUUCAAGUUUUUGUAACACAACAAACAUCGGAGUCUUCACCUCUUCAACUUUCAGUACGACCUCAGCAUUUACCUCCUCAAUGACGGCGUUGACUGACGCGCCGCUAUGAUUCGGCAAAGGAUUGGUCUUUACAUUCGGUUUCUUUGGUAUGAUUGCCCCCACAUGAACCAGAUUGAGGACUAAUUCGGAGUACGGCACCGGGAUUUUGUCAAACUGGGGGCGGUUCCCAAAAUUGUUCCCUCGGUUCUAUGCUCGAUAUUGUUGGUUUGGAUUUCUCUGAUUGGAUGUUGAUGUUCGAUUGUCUCUCUGCGGUUGAUAUUGGAAAGGCGGCUGUUGGUAUUGAGUUGCGGCAAUGUACUUGUAUGGAUAAUACGGCAUAGGGGUUGUCGGAACUCAAUGUCGGGGGAGAGCCUUCGCCAUCACAGUGUUUGCUUCCCCCUCCUUCUUCUUCGUGAAGCCCCCAUGCGGUCUUUUGUUGACUGACUGCGACGCGGUCGUGUCCGUUAUUUUCCCCGAUUUCAACCCACUUUCAACACGUUUUCCAAUUGUGACCAUAUCGGCGAAGUUUGUUGAUGAACUGCCAAUCAUUUUCUCAAAGUACAGCCCAUGCAACGUGCCCAUAAAUAUGUCAACCAACUCAUUGUCAGGUAGUGUUGGUCGAACCCUAGACGCCAUUUCGCGCCACCGUUGAGCAUACUCUUUGAAGGUUUCAUUAGACCUUUGUGACUAGUUCUGUAGUUGGAGCCUUGUCGGAGCCAUGUCAAGGUUGUAUUUGUAUUGUUUCAAGAAUGCCUCAAAGAGCUCUCUCCAUGAUCGGAUCUUCGAGUGCUCCAAACUCAUAUAGCAAUCCAAGGAAGCCCCAAUCAGGCUGUCUUGGAAGCAAUGAAUCAGGAGGUUGUCGUUAUCAAUAUGCGAAGCCAUCUUCCUGCAGUACAUGGUGGGGUGACUGCGAGGACAGCUAAGACCAUUGUAUUUCGGGAGAUCAGGCACUUUGAACUUCUGGGGUAACACCACGUUCGGGACCAAGCAAAGGUCUCGAGCAUCUAUCCCAAAAGAAGAGAAGCCCUCAAUGGCCCUUAUUCUGUCGUCCAGGAGUUGGUAAUCUGCUGGUCUGGCCAGAUAAACAACAGGAGGAGCGACCUGACUAGCCGGUCGAGAGGCUUCAGGAGCAAUUGGCGCUGACAUGCUCGGAUUGAACCAUAUUGGCGGGUAAGAAAAACCUGUUGUCACAGUCUGAGCAGCAGUGGGGGGUUGAAAGUAUUGCAUCCCAGGUUGAGCAUUGGGAGUCUGAGGUGCCCCUGUCUGCAUAUACUGGGAUGCAGGAGUCAUCAUCAUGGGCACAGGUCCUGCCCCUGGGUAGCCAAAAGGGACGGGGAUCUGGCCAGUGCUCGUAGCUUGAGCAGUCUGGCUGGGCAGUUGGAAGUGGAGGCGCGGGCCUCGAUAGUCUUCAUCAUCAUUGGGGAGGUCGUCAAGGACCUGGCCCUGGUUGUCCUCCGGGUCAACAACAAUGACCGGAGUAGUGUGGAGAGCAGGGAGAACCCAAAGAAAACCAGAGUUUCCUGCAACGGUGGCGAGAGCCGAGUGAGGGAAGAAAGCUCCCCCACUAGUGAGGUUGACAGCAAGGUGAGGAGGCAUUCCCCACAGGUAGGCAGCAGCAAGCCUAGUGGGAUCCGCGGGUACCACCUGGCGGUUCCCAGUGUUGGGCACCAUAGUUUCUGCCGGAGGAUCAACGGUAGUGCCAGCAGUAGCAUCAGAAAUGGUCACCCCAGCAGCACGGGUGACAUUGGCAGCAGCAUAGGCAGGGUUCCUCUGAGAUUGGAAGAGCUCCAGGAUGGUCUCCAUAUUGCCCCUGAAGACAUUCAUCUCUCCUUGCACCUGGGCAAGGGAUUCACGAACAGCAACAUUGUCGGCUUCGUAUUCGGCCAUGAUCUUAGCUUUGCUUGAACGUUUGUAGUACGAGUGACGAGUCGUCGUUGUUGCUGCAGUAAAACGGCGAGUGUAAGCAUUUUGUUUUCUGACAGCUUUAUGCUAUGAAUGUAAUAUAUGCAUGUUUAACAAAUAGAAAAAAUAUUAUUUCUAGGGUGUUAGUGUGCCAGUGUGCAUACAUAGUCAUACAGUGAGCAAGGAUAAGACAACAUAAGCAUUUCAACAAAAUCUCUUUUAUUCAUUUGAAUGACAAACAGUACAAAUUAUUACAACUCGAGGUCAUUUCGAUGCACUAGCAUGAAGAUCAAAUUUGAUCAUUCCCAUAACAACCCUACAUACAGAAACAAAAUGAAAAACAGUCUUCGGGGUGUUCUGAGGAAACAUGUCAGCAUAGGCCUUCUUCAAUAACCCAGGAAGGUCCUCGAGUGAUUGGCUAGCAAAUUCGGCCAAGCGAGCAUGUCUGUCUGUCCAAUACUGGGCAUCUCUGACGAGGUUAUGUAUUAAGGAAAGACUUGGUCCAUUCAAGAUGUCUUGUACGAAUUCUUCCUUCUAGUCUAAGAGAACUUACAAGUGAUGACUCUGAAUUUCCCAUUGGGUAGCUUCCUCUUGCAGCUGCUUCCUUUUCUCCAAGUUUUGAUGGGCAUGGCGAUUCAAGGAUCGUAUCUCUUCAAACCUUUUUGUCAAUGUCACUUUGGAGUUAUGCGAGGGUUGUUUCUAGCUUCUUGGCGCGAUCUUGCUCAUCCUUCAACUCCUUUAGCGAUUUCUCCAAUAGGUCUUGUAGAGAUUUGAUUUGACCUUGGUAGUCAAUCUCUCGCUUGCAGGCACGAUACUGGGCUUCAGCUAACUCUUUCUUCUUGUUCGUAAUGGUCUCAAAAGACCCUUUUAGAGCAUCUCCCACCUUUCUCCUUUUGUUUUGCUCAAUCUGGAUGUCAGUAUCUGCUUUGUUGAACCUUUCCCUCUUUUGACUGAGGCUGGCCUUCAGGGUAUUCUUCUCUGAGGUGACUUUUAUCAGGCUGGAACGAAGACCGGCGUUCUCUUUUUUCAACUUCUUGAUGAUUUCCUUGAGGCGAUCCACUUCAGAAGUGACAGCGACAAAUGGCUUGGGGGCUUUGAUGCACAUGGAAGGUUCCCACGGGUAUGGCAGUUUGAUCAACUUGGCCCUUGACUUCACCCAAUUAGCAUAGGAGGUAGUCACAGUACACAGCUGUUUGCCCAGGUCUUUCUUUCCCACCCGCUGUAUUUUGCCCCACGCUCUACGUACUUUCUUCAUCAGCUCUAGACUCUCAACCCCUUCGGCCAACAACAUCUCUUCCAACAAACGGUCUUCAGGUUUCUCUUUGAGCAAAUAUCCCAAUUGUCGUAAUAAGAGGACAGGAUUAUAGUUUAUCACACCCUCUUUUGUGCUGACAAGAGGAACGUUUGGGAACUCCCUACAUCGGAAUAUGAACUCCAUUCUCAAGUAAUUGAGACUAAACCAGACGACGCCCUCAGCAUCUAAUGACAUCAACCUUUGUGACCAUUUCAGAUCACCCACAUUAUCAACAAACGACCCUUUCUUCAGAAGAUGGGACAUAAUCCAUUUCUGAAGCAAAGGAAUACAGCAAUUGAUGGUUCCCCCUUUCUUCAUAUUUCUCCAAUGGAAGGAGAAGAAUACAUUAGCUAGUAAGGUGGGAACCAGGUUCUGGGAGAUGAAUAUGGUGAUAGCGGUCUUGUCAACGAAACCUUCAACAUUCGGGAAUAACACCAAUCCAUAGAUGAGUAAUGCAAAGCUGGCGUAAAAGGUGUCCCAGCUUCCAUUGCUGGCAAAUAUCACAGCAUUCUCAAAUAAGAAUUUGGACGGUAGGCCCUACGUGUUACCCUUGACUCGGAGCGUAGCCUCAACUAGAUCAUUCUUCAUGCACAAGGCCUAAGUUAUAUCUGCUGAAUCUAGGAAGUCUUCAUCAAUCAUGUAGGGUGCUUGGUUCUUGACUGGCAACUGUAGUAGAUAAGCAAACUCCUCUAGUGUGGGAGCUAGAAGGAAGUCCUGGAAUGUGAAGCAGUGCAAGGUGGGGUCAUAGAACUGUGCAAAAGUAAACAUCAACCUUGAAUCUUCCUUGGUAUUUAAAAUCCCCAACAGAUUGCCAUAGGCUCGCUUGAAGGCUACUCGGUAAUCUUCGGUAAGGCACUCGCUGAGCUUCCUCAACUCGUCAACCUUGGAGUCUCUUAAUUUAUAUUGAUAGGUUUUUCUUCGGUCGGUCUUAUCCAUGGUUGUACUGACACUAGCAACUGGAACAGUAGGUCCCUGAAAAAUGCAAAUGUAACAUGUAAUGGUUAAUGCAAUGAUGUAAUGAUGUUAUGUGAUGCAAAUGAUGACAGGAUGUCACAUAGUCAGAAUUCUGGCAUUCGCUGGAUAGACUGCAUAAUCUGUUUGUUGCAGGUUCAAAAGUUCGACAUAUGCACAAGAACACGAGUAUGAAGAGUCUUAGUUUCCUGCAAGAAAGACCCAUAUCCCCUCACAAGUGUGUGCUAUCUUUAAAGGGUGGUCCUAGAAGGUUCCUAGAGUCAAUGACCCAAUUUGAGAUACCAUUGUCUUGGACGAAUGACUCGUCGGACAAUGAUGCUCCCAAAAGGAUCUACUCUAGGUGUGACGUCUCGUGUCAACCAUAAUCAUGGAAUAACUCUACGGACGUCAAACAUGACUUUAGUCACGUUACUAUCCUGUGUGUAUACUCAAGCUCGGGUAUAGAGCUUCUCUCUCGUGUAUCAACAUCCCAACCCAAACAACAGCGCAUACAGAUAUCCAGGAUGCCAGAAUGCAUUAAUAAAGUAAAUAGCAAAUAAAAUAAAGCGAGUAUGGUAUAAAGAUGAACACCUAGAAACUAGCGAGGAAACAACCUAAACUAGGCUCGACUCCUUCUAGCGACUAGGAAGUACUCCAAGUAGCGAAGUAUCCCCAGCAGAGUCGCCAGCUGAAGCUAGCAGAAAUAUACCCGAACGUAUCGCAUGCUCGAACAUACAACAGAGUCGCCAUCGAACUUUAUUUAUCCCCAAAGGGAAGGGAAAACAUCGGUAAAACCCAGGGGAAGAGAUAUACUGGGUAAGGAAGUCGGUUAUGUAAGGGGAAGGUAUUAGCACCCCAAACAUCCAUGGUACUCCAUGGGAACCGUUUUGAUUGUUCUCGCUCGAAUAAGUGUUAACUAGAGAUUACUCGCAAAAGAAUAAGGGGAAGGAAAGAAAUAGAUUAAGUGCUCGGUGAGGAUUGGGGCCCUCAUGCCUAUGUAUCCUCAUAAUGCAAUAAGGAAUUCAGAGCUCCCUAGUUCAGAGAACUAAUGGGGCAGGAGGUGGAAAGAAGUGUGAUCAAAGGUAUGGUCUGAACCAAAAGAUAAUAUUGUUUGAACUCCAACAAGGGGUGAAAAUGUGGACCCAAGAGUGAACAGGUUGUUUGAACCGACAAAUGAGGGUGUAUAGCACUUAUAGCACUGUCUGGAACAACCGAAAAGAGGGGAAUUAGGUGUUUGGGAUAAGCGCCAAACAACUCUUGGUUCACAAGGAGGUACAAGAUGGAGCACAAAGGGAUAUUGUAUUUAGCUCAAAGAUAACUGGUAUAUCACAUGAAGUGAAAGAAGGUAGAGCAUGAAGGUAUCAUGGGAAUGAAUGGAGUGAAGUGACUGAAGUCACAUAAUAGAGUAUCUGGUAAUGAGUGACUGGAUAAGUAUUGUUUGAAAUCGAAAGGUGAAAGUGUAUUGGAAUCCAUAAGAGAAGUGAGAUUUCUACCAUAGAGGAAAACCGCGUUAACCAAUAUGUGGACUAGCGGACCGCCACUGUAGGGUUUUAGCUAAAAAGAAGGAAUUAAAUGUUUGGGAUUAGCGCCAAACAACUCUACGCAUGAAAUGUGGACUGUAUCAAGUGUCCUAAAAGAAUGUGUAUGGAAUACCAAAGAAGGUGUAUUUCGAUGUCAAAGAGACAGUAUGUCACUGGAUGAACGAUUUAUGAUCGAAGGUAGAUAGUGAAUUAUGAAAGAUAUGAAUGGUGCCCUAAGGCGAAGGAUGAAUAAUUAGAAGUAUGCUCACCAAGGAUUCGCAUCCUCGUACCUACGUAUUCUCAUUGUGCAAUGAGAAAGUCAGAGCAUUCGUAGUUCGGAACUACGAGAAUGGAAAGAGAGAUUGGUAGUAUGGAGUGCAAGGAGUAGUGUACCACUUGCUGGUGAAUUGGCAAUUCGAGAUCAAAUCAGGAUAGUAACUUGGAUCCAAGAGAAGGAUAAACUCUUAAUCGAAGAGCAAGGAUGAAGUUAGCAUUUGAGUUGAGAGCCAAACAAGGAUGAGGUUAAUGUUUGGGAUAAGCGCCAAACAAAGGUGAAGUUAGUGUUUGGGAUAAGUGCCAAACAAAGGUGAAGUUAGCGUGUGGGAUAAGCGCCAAACAAGGAUGAAGUUAGUGUUUGGGAUAAGCGCCAAACAAAGAUGAAGUUAGUGUUUGGGAUAAGCGCCAAACAAACCUCGAUUGAAGAGACGGGUUGUCCUUAGGACGUCCUAAAAGGAAGGACAAGGAGUCCAAGGAGAAGUAAGAUUGAUCUUGAAAAGAUGGUAUAGAUUGCAUGAAUGGAGAGUGAUCCAUGGGAUAGAGAAGAUAAAUUGAUAAAUAAGAUAGAGCUCACCAAGAAACCGGGUUCUCCUGCCUACGGAUCCUCAUUGUGAAAUGAGGAAAUCAGAGCUUUCGUAGUUCAGCCCACUAGGGAUGAAAAGAAAUUGAAUGGAUGCAAGAGGAAAUGGAUGAUUGAGAUUGAAUUGAAUAGAAUGAUGAAUUAAGUAUGAGAAUGAAGCGAUAAGAGACUUGACAGUCAAUUGAUCACACUAAAGUCUAUGAAUAAGGGCGAACGCUUUGAAUAUUUAGGGCAUACGCCCCAUACGCAAAGUCGCUCUAGACAAGGGUAGGAGAGACUCCCUCUCAUCAUUUCUUAUCACUUAAGACUUGAAAGGCAUGAUACUUAUCUUGACUGACAAGUUGCUGGUGAAGAACCUUUGUUGUUGAUCCUUGUGUUGAUAUUGAACUUGUGUGAAGACUUGGUAGUUUAAUUGAUUCAUCUUGCACUAAAGUAUAUGAAUAAGGGCGAACACUUUGAAUAUUUGGGGCAUACGCCCCAUACGCAAAGUCGCUCUAGACAAGGGUAGGAGAGACUCCCUCUCAUCAUUCCUUAUUACUUAAGGCUCAUUUCGUACAAUUUGAAUCGUUUUUACCAAGUGUUGACCUUUGAAUUGUCUUGUAUAAUUCGCUGCUUGGUAUGACUGGGGAUGCCUUGAUUGAAGAUCUUGUCUCGAGGCCUUGAGCUCCACAGCGUGAAAGAAAAGUCCUACUAAGUGACCAAGGUGGUCACUCAAUUAGAUUGUGGGAUUAUAUAAGUUCAAAGGAUUUAACUAAUCAAAAUUGCUUUUGAUCAAUUUAAUCGGGGGUUUUGUUUUAGUUUUGAAGGGAACUAAUUUUUGGAUCUAAUUGAAGUUAGUCAUUGUUAGAACUAACCUAAGGGAUCAUGUAUUGAAAUUGAUUAAAAUUCUAUGUUAGAAGUCCUAAGGGAGCAUGUCAAAAUAUUGAUUAAAAUCAUUACUAAAAUUCUAUGUUAAGUCCUACAAUGAUUGCAUUCUAACCCUAAGGAUCAAAAUCAUUAUGAUUAACCUAAUUCCUAAUCCAACUAAAUCACAUUAAUAUCUAAUUAAACCUAUUUAAACAAACGAUUCUAUGUUAACGCCCAAUUGACAAUAAAGCCAAGAAAAUCCUAUUUCCUACCGAGAUAAAAAAUGAUGUAAAUUCUAAUCAGAAAAACAAAGUUAAUCAACAAAAAUUAACUAUGAUUAGUGAAUUAACUAAGACCAAGAAAAUCCUAUUUCCUACCGAGAUAAAAAAUGAUGUAAAUUCUAAUCAGAAAAACAAAGUUAAUCAACAAAAAUUAACUAUGAUUAGUGAAUUAACUAAGAAAUUUAAUGGUGGACAUGAGUAUUGGGCCAGGGGUGAAUUUUGAAUAGGGUUGAAACAAGCAAAGGCUAGUUUGUUCGGGCCAAAGGCCCAAGCCUCACUAAGAAUUCGUCCGGGUUUCAAGAUCCCUACGAAAUCUCCAAGAAUUGGCCAGUCGAAAUUCUCCACCGAAAUUCCAUGAACGGAGUGAGAUGCACCUCACCGGAAGCUGACAGCGUCCUCCCCACGACUCUAAGCCAGUGCUUCUUCAAAUCAAAACCCCACUCCGAUCUAACGCUCAACAUGAACCCUGCCGAACCACACACCCAAAUUUAAAACUCAAUGGCAACAAAAGCAAAACUACAUCUUCCUCAUUCGAUCUCAAAUCGGCACUGAGACAACAAACACGGCGCAAGAAAUUCGGAAUCGCUUCGAUCUUGCACGAACAACCCAAAAUUUGACGAAGAUGAACGAAUUCAGUUUUCUCCCUUCAAUUCGAAAACGAAAUUGACGUCGAUUGCGUUUCGAUCCUCUUCUUUGCUUAUCACACUUCAAUUCGCGACAUUGUUGUUGUUUUAAGAUGAAGGAUGUUGGCGCUGCUCCUUUGUCGCGUGCGACAGCGUAUUGAGAUUGAUACGAAGCCUUGCUCGUGUGCGCUUGCGAUGGUUGUUGAAGCGAGGCAGGCGAUGAAGACGUGUGAAGAUUUUGUGGAGAGGAAGGUGACGAAGAAGAUAGGAGAUUGAAGUUUCUUGAAGGUUUUUCAUAGUUACAAAAAUGAAGAAGAUUAGAAGAUGGUGACAAAGCCGAAAGGGAUUAAAGAAUUCUAACAAAAUGGAAGAGCACAGAAUCAUGAACAGGUCGGAGGAAUUGUAGUUGGAAGAUUCAAGCCAUAAUUCCGCUCCCUUCACAUCAAUAGAAUGGACUCAAGGCCAAAACUUCAACCGAUAUCAAGAACAACAUGGAAACGAGGCUAGCAAUUCGCACAAGCAAUGGAAUGAAAACAUGACGCCAUGAGUUAUGAUAAAUCGAAGUAACUUACUAGAAUGAAGCGCCGCGGAGGUUCCGGUGUCGUCGAUGUCGCUCAUAGGUGAGUUUCUCUAUGUGCUUUCUGCAAUUUCCUCUUCUUCUUUCUUCUUCUUCUGAAUUUGCGAACGAUGAAAAGAGACUGGGGAGGCUUAGCUCAAGCAGAAUUGAAGCUUCGAUGUGAAGCUUCAAUGGCUUCUUUAAAAGAGAAAAAGAGCUCUGGUGAUGGCGAGGGAAAAGGUUGCAAGAGAGAGAGAGAGAGAGUGCAGGUUUAUGCCAAAAAAUGCCAAGGGCUCAAAAUGUGAGUGAUCAAGCCCUUAAAUAGAGUUGAGGUUCGGGACUUGCUAGCUUCGUAUAUAGGAAUUAGUUGAGGGUGGCUUGGAGUUAGUUAAACUCAAAUCACUGAGUUAAAUGGAAAAACUAAGUUAGUUAUAUUAGAGAAACUCGGUUAGUUAUGUGUGUAGAUGUUGGUUAGUGAGCGAGUGGGAACUUGACUGGCUACUGCAGGUUACUGUUAGAUUAAUGUCACAUUGGAAGGGUUUUUAUUGACUCGUUGUUUAUGUUGCAGGUUAGGGACUUUGGCUUGGACUUAUGAAAGGCUUUGGUGUGUAGAAACAAAUGAGU